RNAcentral lists this long non-coding RNA (121118 nucleotides) under Gossypium barbadense (sea-island cotton). RNAcentral describes it as "long non-coding RNA (GBAR_LNC021320)". Lineage: Eukaryota; Viridiplantae; Streptophyta; Magnoliopsida; Malvales; Malvaceae. The record is from RNAcentral.
UUGGAUUUAGAUAAUGAUUUAUCAGUCUUGUUCCUACUCAAAAACUAAAAUCACUGUUAAAUUUGUCUGAAAGAAAUAAACAAUCAGCAAAUAGCUCAAAAUUGCAUAUAAAUUCAAGAGCUUCCUCGUCCAACUUAACAUGCAGGCUGCGCUUGUGCGGGUUCGAGAAGCUGGCCGACUAGCUUGUAGGUCCGCCCUUGAAGGGCCUUAGUGUGGUCGAUUAGCUGCUCGUAACUGCAGAAAUCCAGUAUCGAAAUUGGAAGUCAUUAAGAGAAGAGGAACAAACAAAUGUAGUUAUGGAAAGAACAUAGUAUGAAAGAUGCACAAUACAAAGAACAAGGAAAUCUUACACAUUAGGUUGAUUAGGCUCCAUAAUAACAGUUCCAGUCUCUGAAUCAAUCUUUGCCUCAAGUUUCGAGUUUCGGAUGAGAUUCACAAUCCACCUCUCACCCUCCUCGUAAUUUAAGUUCAGUUUCUCAAAAAGCACCCUUGAAACACAUACAAAAUCCAUUUAAUGUAGGAUCAAAAUCUAAGACAAGCAAUUAAAACAACAUAAUCUCAUAAGUAAAAGCAUAUCUUGAAAGAGUUAAGAAGACAAAUGGGAAGUAAUCACUAUAAUAAGAGAUACUCGAGUCCAUGUUACUCAGAUUUGGGUGAGUUUCAGAUACCGGUAUGUUUAAUUGUUUUCUAAGUUUUUCCAUGUAUUGAAGGAUCAUAUCUUCAUAACCGCAAGACAAAUACUUCAAGAAAAAUGAACAGUCAGGAAAUGCAUAGAUAAUAGCAAACCAAAGGUUUAUGUUGUGAUGUUUUGUGAUCUGUGCACGUGCCUGCUCUGCAGACGAAAACAUGCAUUACAUCUGUUUUGAUUUAAUAUUUUGUACAAAAUUUCAUCAAUCCUUAACAUGCAAUUAGCCAAAAAGAAUUCAUAACUCAGUGCAAUGUUAUGGGAAACCCAGCAUGCAAAGCAGACUGUGAGCCUAUCGACAAUUAAACAUUCAAAUGGAAGUCAUUCCGUGUCAUUUACUCAUAAGAAGAAGUCAAUUAUACACAUAAGAAGCUAAUUAUAUAAGUUUGACAAAGCAGGAGCUUACCCCAUAUCAAUGCGCUGAUGAAUUCUGCAGUAUGUCUCGAAGAUAAAUAAACGAGCAUUCUCAAGAAACUCAUCUUUUAAUGGGACAGUAGAAAAGUUGCCCUCUUCAACUCUUUUUCCAAGGAAGGGAUCAUUCAGUAUCACCUACAACAAAGACGGGAAAACUAAGGGUGUAAUAGAUAGAUCCUACAAUUCCAAUAUCAAACAAAAGCUAAAGGCAACCAAAACAGAUGACAAAACUUCAAGCUAAAACAUUGGACAAAUUUAUGGUAUAAGAUAGUACAAUCUAACUUACUUCUUCGCACUCCUUCAUCUUCUUCUGUGCUCCGUCAAAUUCAUAGUUGACAUAAACACAUGCCAAAAACUCCGUGAUGGGAUCUUUGUAAGAGCACUGAUCUUGCUGGAUAACCCUGAUAAAUUCUUUGAAUUGAGGUCUUCUCCUUUUGUUGACAAUAAAAGCAGUGGCUAAGUACCUUAGAAGAUGGGGAGCACUGGUUUGAAUGGCGUUUAGAUACCUGGAAAGAAGUGAAAUCACCUCGUAAGAUGAGACAAAUACACAAAGUUGGUUAAUAUAAACCCAGAGAAAAUAAUGCGUUAACCAAUGGAAAAAAGCAGUAAAAACAUCUAAAUUCAAACACAAUUUUAUGUUUAGUUCUAACAACAAUCCCCCUUAUGAAACAAAAUUCCAAACUAAGCAGUAUGGCGAACAUAUCACCUACUUUAGCCUCAAAUCUUUGAACAAACAUUUUGCAAAUUACAUGGCAGGCUGUGCGUUAACUUUUCAUAUUAGAAAAACCAUGCAAACGAUAGAAGAAAUCCACAAAGUUUCUAAACAUGUUCCAUUCCAACACAAUCAAAACCGAAGCAUGUGAACACAGCAGGAUCUUGAAACAGAAGUAAGUAAUGGCAUAAAAAGACAGGAAAAUGCACAAAGAACAAAUAAGCACAGAUGUGACUACCACACAAAUGAUGCAACUAACAACAUCAGUAACAAGACAUGGAAACCUUAAGUUUAGUUGUUAAAGUGACAUACUUGUCUUGAUUAAAUAGGUCGAUGAUCUGUGUUCUUCCAUUGUCAUGGUUGAAAAAGAUGAAGAGGCUCCAAUGCAUAAGCCAUAUUCUACUCUGAACUUGGUUCAAAGGUGAUGAGAAGCUCUGCAGCAAAAAGACCAAUAAAUGAGUCAACGAAUAAUCGGAAAGCAAAUUGUCAAAAUAAAAACCGAAUAAUCAAUGGGGAUAUAACCAAAACCUUGGAAUCGAUUAUUUCUUUCAAACGAUUAAGUUCUUCAAGAGCAAUAUCCCAGUUUUGCAUCAGUAUCUCGGCAGCAAGCUUCCCCCACAAUGCACUCAAGCUCCUUUCGCUGUUAGUACAUAAAGCCCGAUACUGAUACAGAUAGUCAGCAGCACCAGAGUAGUUGCCACACUCAAAUUGGAAUUUUGCAUACUGAUAUAAUGCCUCUAUUUGAUCUGGACCAAUCUGUUAAAAAAAUAAUUUUAUCCACCAUUAAAUUAAAAAAAAACUUUAAUUAAUUCAAACCCAGGCAAAAUCAAAACUUUAACAACAAAGAGCAUGCUAGAAUUUUAGCACAAGAAAGCCUAUGCAUCUAUUUGGUUAUUCUUUAUAUUUUCCUUAAAAAUCACAGAAUGUUAUGACUAAUACAAAUUCACACUUGAAUGGGUUACUCACUAAAAAUCAAGAAGGGGUUAAAAUAACAUAAAAAUAACCUUAAAUUCAUCAAAAGGGGAGGGGGAACAGACCUGGUAGCGGUCAUUAAGCAUCUGGAGAUUAUACUGUUUAUCAGCACGCAGUUCCUGAACAGCGUUAGGGUUUUGCAAGAAAGUGACAAGAGGAGCGGCGGCAUCUUCCAAAGCUUUGAGACGAGCGACAACCUCGACUCUCCUAUCGACCAUGUCCUGAGGAACAUCAUCGGUGCGGUAAAGGCUCUUAUGGAUAUCCAUAGCGUAAUCGACCAUAUUUGUCUUGUUCAAAAGCUCGAUCUUUGCUUUCAAGAUCUGUUCAUCUGGGUAUAGUUGUCGCUCUUGCAAGAACUCCAGCAAUGGAAACACUAAGUGCCUGUCUAGGUUCGGGCCGAUACGCGGGGUUAGAUCGUAAGUUGCCAUUGCCGCCGACAGUGUUCUUAGGGUUUGUUCUGGUUUGUGACUUUUUUGUUUGAUAUACCACUCUCUUAAUUCAAAUAGAGUUCAGAGUUAAAAUGUACUUUUAAAAUUAUUUUUUAUUUUCGAAUAUAAAUUUAAUAAGUUAUCUUUACAAAAAUAAAAAAGCUCGAUUUUUUUAUAAAAAAUUAAUUUCUCAAUAAUGAUAUUAAUAUAUUUUAUAUUUAUACAAGUCGAUUUAAAUUAUAUGGCUACAAUUUUGUUUAAUUUUACUCAUAUUUAUAAUUAAAGUAUUCAAGCUCAGUUUAAGCUCGUUUAUAUUAUUAUUUUUAACACUUUAUAUUAUUUUUAAUAGAGAAGAAAUAUACUUAUACAAUUUAAAAAUCAAAGUAAUGUAUACUUUCGUAAUUAUUUAUAUAAUUAAUAUUUUAACAAUCUAGUCGUUAUAUUUAAUAAUUUUAUAUUCAACAUUUGAAUCAUUAAAAUAUUAAUUAUAUAAAUAAUUACAAAAAUAUAUAAAAUUACAUUAAUUUUUAUCUUUUGUAAGUGGAUCCCUCUCCUUUUUAAUAUAAUAUUUAAUAAUUUUUUUUAUUUUUUAUUUAUUAAAAUUUUAUGUAUAAGCAAGUUAAUUUUUUUUAAUGGCAUUGUAAUGUUAUAUGUUACUAUAGAUUUAAUAUUUAUAUGUUCUAAACUACAUAAUAUAUAAAAAUAACAUAAUAUAAUAUAUUACAAAUUUUUAAAAAUAAGCUAGGCCUUGAAUGCUUGAGCCUAAAUCCAAUCCAUAUUUUAAACAAACUUAAUUUUUCGUGUAAGCUCAUUUUUUAAGCAGGCCUCUAAGCUUGGAUAGAUAUUCCGACCCUUAAAUAAAUCUACAGCACACCCAUGAUCCAGCAAAGUAAGCUUUAGUAAAACUAGCAGAUUAAUACUUCAACAACAAUAGGUUCAAAAUCAUGGUAUGUAGUUUUAAUUUGAUUUUGGUAUAAUAAUAACUGUAGUCGACAAUGUUUAUAUUUUCUGUCAAUUUGGAUAUUAUUAUUAUUUUUAGUUAAAUUUAUUUUAAACUUUUAAAAAGAAUUGAAUUUGACUAUUAACCUUUUAAAAAUAUUCGAUUUGCUUUUUUUUAAUGAAAAUUUUGAUUAAAGAGUUGAAAAUUUUAAUAUUGCAGCAUUCGUGACAAUUUACGUGUAGUUCAUGUUAAUUUUUUUUUUGAUUUUUUAUGAACUAUGUAUAUAUUUAAAGUUUUGAAUUUUAUUUAUAAUUAUUAAAUUAUUUAUUGAUAUAUCAUGUAAGAUUAAGAAUGUCAUAUCAAUACGAAGUGCACUUAGAUUAUUAAAUAAUGAAAUUAAAAAGUUUUAUAAUUUGAUGAUAAAAAAAUGCUAAUAAAUUAAUAAUUAAUAACACAAUUUACCUUAAACUUUAACUAUAGUAAUUUGUAGUAUCAUUAUUUAUGACAAAAUUUUUAGUACAAGAAAUUGGAAAAAUAUAAAAUUAGACAAUUAAAUAAUGUUUGCUCAUAAAUCACCAUUGAUAUAAUCACAUUUUCAAGAUCACAAAUACCAUCAAACUUCGACCCAAUUGGAAUCAAAAUGUUUCACAUCAAUCCCUAAUGACCAAAUUUUGGUAAAAAAAUUAAUAUUUUUAAUGAUAAAUAUAUUUUAAUAUUUUAUUAAUUUAAUAUAUUUUAAUCUACGGAUAACCUUGUUAGUUUGGGUAUUUCAUUUUCUUGUUUCUUUUCAGUUUUCAUAAAAUAAUUUUUUCUCCUCACAAAAGAAUGUCGGCCGAAGCACACUAUAGCAAAUAAUGAUUUCACGAAACGUUUUCAUUAUCAUUUCUCUUUAUGAUGUGUUUUUGGCUUUCAACCAAAUAAUAUUUUUUAUUAUUCUUGUAUCAUAAAUUAUUUUAAGUGUGAGCUCGAACUAAUUAAAUUGAAAUACAAAAUUAGAAAAAAAAAAUUUCCUUUCAGGGUAAAAAUGAAAAUUCUCUAUUUUUAAUAGAAACUGAUAGAAUUAUUAUUUCAAAAAAAUAUAUGUAAUAGUUGAGAAUAAAAUUUUCUUAUUUUUCAGUAGAAUAACAAUAUCUUAAAACUGUGUUAAUAGUUAUACUGGUGCCAUAUAUUUAUAGGAAGAAAAUGUAAAACCAUUGUUAAAUUGUAGUAAUUUAUUUCAAAUAGAAAAAAAAAAUUCUACUUAAAGUAGGAGAGGGAUGGACAAGACUCUAGUAUUCCUACUAGGGUUGCUGCCCCUUUCAUAUUAUAUGAAGAAUUUUGGGUCUCUUUCAUAUCGGGUCCAAUUUGAAUAUUUUUUGAAUUUUUUUGAUCCAACACUUUGUAAUGUGAUCCACCCAGUUGGAAUCAAAAUGUUUCUGAUCAAUACGUACUGAUCCAUAUUGGAAUUUUGAUAAUAAAAUUAAUAUUUUUAAUGAUAAAAUGCAUAAAUAUAAAUAUAUUUUAAUAUAUGAAUAAAAUUAUUCGCUUGAGUCUUUAGUUGUCUCUUUUUUUCCUUUUUUCUUUUUAUAAAACAAGUUUUUUUCUUAAAAAAAAUAUACGGGUAGGUCGAAAUACACACUUCUUAGCAACUAAUGGUUCCACGAAACGUUUUCAUUAGCAUUUCCCUUCCAUAAGUGUAAUUUCAUAAGUAGAGUUAAAAAUUUGUUAUGUGUUAUAUAAUAUUUUACUAUACUCUAUAAGACAUUUGUCAUUAUCAUGAUUUUAUCUGUGGAUUCUAAAAACUUCAUUAAUAAUAUAUCAAAUAUUUUCUCUCGCUUUUUUGAGAUAAUUUCUAUAAAAUGUACAUAUGUCAUAAUUAGGGGCGUUUUUAUUUGAAAAACACCACAAAAUUUGUAGAGUAAACUACACUCUAUGUCACUAAAUUAUAUUUUAAUAAUUUAAUUUAGUAUUCAAUUAUGUUAUUUAAAAAUUAAAAUUCAAUUAAUAAUAUAUAUUCAAAUUUAACAAAAGUAACUAAUUUUAAAUUUUAAACUAAAUAAAUAGGAGAAUUAAAUAUUUUAUUCAAAAAUUUGAAGAGUAUAGGAAUUUGGGACAUGAUUAAACCUUGGAGUAGAUAUAGGAAGGACAAUUAAACACUGUAUUUGUUUUAUAACGAAAUAUUAUUAGCUUCAAAUUAGAAUAGGAAAAGUGGAAAACCCGAUUUCAAAAGCAGUGCUUGCACUUUAUAUAAUAAGCAGUUACCUAAUGGAAGUGUUUUAUCAGUAUAGUACACCAUCCGAAUAUACAGAGCCACAAACUAAUCAGUCAACUUCGUUUAUCUCUUUAUUUAUUUGUAAUUUAGUGGUAUAUCUUGUGACUGCUAACUACAAAUACAAUUCAAGCAGCCAAGAAAAAUAAAUAUUGGGUCCUCUAAACUAAAUGCCUUUGUUGAGUUGAUAAUGGAAGCUAAAGUAGGCUAAAUGCAUUGAGAUAUUCUGGGUUCCAAACAAUACUGACUGCCAAAAAGAUAAAAAAUUCUACCUGCAAUCUAAAAUUAAUGCCUGAUAUUCAGCUUUGUAAACCAAAUGGUGCAUGAAUCCCCAUUAUGGAUAAUAAAGCAGGCUAGGAAUAAAAUAGUAGAAAAAAGUCUCAUGUUAACAGAGAUCAAAUUGUCUGAAAACACCUCACCGCUUGGCUUUUCAUCUUGAAAUCAUCAUCUUACUUCAAUUAUUCAAGGAACAUGAUCCUCCCUAUGUCCACCAUUUUUGUCCGUCUCUUCAGACACCUCACGUUCUGUAAUAACAAGGAGUCACGUAUCACAAGAUCAGACUUGCAUUUAUACUUCUGCAUAUAAAUUCAACAUCAGAUGGAUUUACAAUAAGCUUACAAGGUUGCAGUUAACAUGUAUAUAUAUUUCUACGAAUUUCAGUACUCUGUACCUUCUUUGUUUAACUGCUCAAUGGUAGCAUUAAGGUCCCAACAUCUUCUAACAUCCCGUCUUGUUUGUACCACUUGUAGCUUUGGCGUGCUUAAAGCUCCGUUACAAAAAUUCUCCAUUGCGGGACAUUUGCUCACGUAUAGUUCAUCCAAUGAUGGGAACUUCAAAGUGUAAUUCCCUGAACAGAAGCUUUUGAGGUUUUGUAAAUCAUAAAGCUCCAAACAUUUCAACUCCUUGAAAAUAAUCUCAUCAUAUGUUGUUUCAUCUCCAUCACUUGCAAUUACUUCUCUCAUCUUUUGACAUCCAUCUCUCUUCAGUGUAACAAGCUGCUCCAAACAUUGGGCUUUCGGAGAUGUAAUCAACUCUACCAUCUCUUUGCAGUACCAAACCUCCAAAGUUGUAAGAUUUCGCGAAGAUGAGGAAGCACGUGUUAUAUUGGUUAAGCUGCCACACUUGUAAAUUAACUUGAAGCGUUUCAAGAUUAGCACAAAUGUGAUGGAGGGGAGAGCCUUGCUUCCAUAGAUGUGUCAUCUUAUAUUCUUAUCAACACCUUUCAAUGUUAACUGGUUAAUUCUUGGGACCAACAUUGUCACGUCUCUCUCCUCACCAACAUCACCUUCGUAAGGAGACAACUCUCUAAAAUUGCAAUAAACCAUCUCAAUCUUUUCCAAAUUGGAAAAUCUUUGUAGGAAACAGAAUGAAAAAACUGUUGAAUCAUUGAGGUAUUUAGUGAUUUCAAGAACUUUAAUAUGGGAAUCAAUCGUAAACUGGCCACCGGUGAUCAUUGAAAUGUCUUCAGUAGUAAGUGAAAUGUGUUCCAGUUGAGGGAUUAUCUGAGAAGUCAACAAAAAAUGAUAUAUUUGACUGGUUUUUGAAUUGCAGAGGAUUAGGAAGGUCGAACACAAACAUGAGCUAAUAAAAGAACCAAUGAAAUAGAAAACAUGCAUUGAUUAAUUCUGCACUUUUCAAUGCUUGAUUUUGUUGUUUACUAUUAUUAAAAGAAAAAAAAAGGCCAUACGAUAAGAUUAUUAUGAUUAAAAACAAACAAAUAGCUAAAAGAAUGUACUAACUUUUUACGUGUUAGGUUUGAAUCUUUGGAAAUCAAAAGAGAAAGAAAAUAGUAGAUUGAUCCUCUGGUUUUAACAAUUCCUUGUGUACCAGAAAAAUAGAUUGCAAUGCCGUAUUCAUAAUCUUAUAGGAAUAGGACUUUAUAAUAAAAAGCGAAAUAUACAAGGAUCAAUGGUAAAAUAACCCUUUUAGUUUUAAAGACCGAUAUUUGUGUUUCUAGCCGUGUAUGUAGUUGGGGUGUCCAAGUAAAAUGCUUGUUGAUUAAAUUAUAAAGUAAUACCUUAUGAAGAUAGGAUAAAUUCUGAAGUUAGUGAGAAUUUUUUUAAUAAAUGAAAAUUAAAUGCAUUUGGUUGAGAGGUAGUAAACGUUUCAAGUAAGUUACAUGAACCUUCUUUAAAUGAAACUAUUUGUAAAGAAAGGGCGAAGAAACGUACCUUUCCAAUGAGUAACAGUUGAGACACUACAUGUCCAAACUUCUUAAUCUUCGUAGACCAAUAUGUCCUCAACCUUUUUAACAUAGGACACGUUAUGUUGUGCAUUCCUGUGUAGAAACAUAUGAGAUUUGGUAAAGCCCUAAGUACAAGAAAGGAUAAUUGAUUAAAUUCAAACAAAAUUUCAUGUUUGUCUAAUCCUUCACUUUUUAGUCGCAUCAAAACGACAUCGUUUUGGGGCUUUUGAGACAUGCCCCAAACGACGUCAUAUGGUGACCCUUAUAUAUGCCAAAAAUUUCCCAAAAAAUUCAUUUCAGAAUUAGUUUAAAAAAAAUUGAAAACCCUUUUUUCUAUCCAUCCUCCUCUGUGUCCGGCCAUUGAGCCGCCGUGGGCCACCAUGGCCACCGAUCAUCGGCGACGGCGACGGCGACUGUCACCUCCGGUGGCCGGAGUCCAAAAAACCCCUUUUUUCAGCCCUUUUCAACCUUAGAACCCGAAUCUAAAGGCAAAUGCCUUAAAAGAAUAAAAAAAUGAAAAAGAUUUCGGCGGCUUUCGUUUCCCCUUUUAUUGAAGCCCAAACGAAACCCUAAUGGGUUCGGCGGCUUUCGGGAUCGAGGGAGACCCUCGACGGCGGCGCGAGACGAAGCCAAGUAAAAGGUUUUAUAUUUAUUUAUUGUUUUCGACUCUAAAGAAACAAAGUAAAUCACCUUUCUUUUUGCUUAAUGUUUGUAUUCGAUUUUUAUUUUGAUCUUCUCUGUAAAAAUACAUGUGGUUUUCAUGGCUUUUAAGCCAAAUAUUUAUUUUUGUAUUCUUUUUUGUUUUUACUGUUUCUGCCAUUUCCACUGUUUUGCUUUCUGUCCUCUUUCGUUUUCUCUUUGCAAGUACCCAUGGUGGUCAACGACGACGAUGGGAGUUGGCCUUGCCAUUUUGGUGUAAUGGUGGCAAGGGGCGCGUCAGGCCUCGGGCGGUGAGGACACCAGCAUGGUGGGGUGCAACGCAAAAGGGAUACUUAGGGUUUUAGGUUUUCUGAAAAGAAGUUUAGGUUAUGGGCUAUUGGGCUUUGGGUAUUAGGGUUAGCAGAUAGAUUGGACUAUUGAGCUGUUUUUUGUUUGGGCCAAUCUAUUUUGUAAAUGGACUUAGACUUUUAUUUUUGGUUUUUAUUUUGUUUAUUUAUUUUUGGUUUUUGUUUGGGCCGGACGAAAAUGGGCCCUUACAUUUAUAUUUUCUGUCAAUUUGGAUAUUAUUCUUUUUUUUUUUAGCUAAAAUUGUUCUCAACUUUUAAAAAGAAUCGAAUUUAACCAUUAACCUUUAAAAGUAACCAAUUUACUUUUUUUAAUAGAAAUAUUGACUAAAGAGUUAAAAAUUUUAACAUUGCAACUCUCAUGACAAUUCACAUAUAGUUCAUGCUAAUUUUUGUUUUUUGAAUUUUCACGAACUAUAUAUAUAUUUAAAGUUUUGAAUUUUUAUUCUUUAAUUUUUUAUAAUUUUUAAAUUAUUUAUUGAUGUGACGUGUAAGAUAAAAAAUGUCAUAUUAGCAUGAAGUGCAUGUGGAUUAUCAUGCGGGUUGUCACACCUAUAUUGUUAAAAAUUAAUGUUUUAACUAGCAUUUCUAUUAAGAAAAAGCAAUUUAAUUCUUUUUGAAAUAUUAAUGGCCAAAUUUAACUAAAAAAAAGAAAGAGUAAGGCCUAAAAUGAUAAAAAAAUGUAAAUGUUGAUAGCUAAAAUUGUUAUUAUGUCCUUUUUUAUUAUUAUGAAUUUCUGUUAAUAAAAACCAUUUGACUCUUUUUAAAAUAUUAAUAGUAAAUUUUAACUAAAAAUAAUAAUAAAAAGAUGUAAACAUUGAGGGCUAAAAUUUUCACCAUGCCUUAAUAUUUUUUUACAGAUUUGAACAAAAAAUAUCAACAUAAAAGUAUUUAUUAUUAUUUUUAAAUGGUUUUUAAAACUUUUAACAAUUGAGUUGCUGCAUGAGCUUGGGAAACUUUGGAACCUAAAAUAUUGUUUUUAUUGUUUAUUAUAAUAUUAAUUUAGCAUUAUAAAUAAAUUAUUGUAAUAUUAAUAAUGUGAUAAUAAAAAAGUAAUAUUAAUUAAUUUUAAAAAAUGUUUUUUAAGCAAAAUCUUAAAGUAAAAAAUAAUAGAUAAGUUUUAAAAUUAAAAAUAAGAAAAAUAAACUUUCAAAGAUUUAGGGUAGAUUUGGAUGAACAGUACGUCUACAUACAUGCGGUUAGUGUAAAAACAAAGGCAGCAGCGUAAUUAGAUACGAUAACUUGAGAAUAAAUUAAACACACACAGAGCACCCUUCAUCCAAACCCACCCUUAAUCUUGUCUAAACUGAAAAAUAAGAGAGUUCUACAUGAAAGACGGUUUCUUGGGAAUUUAUCAUGGUGCCUUUUGCCCUCAUGAAUAGUUUCCUCUAAGAAAAUAAAAAUGUUAUCUUUGCUAGUUGGCUAAUAUAAAAAUAUAUAUGUUUAUAAUUUUGGAAUAUGUUAGAUUUGUUUGAGGAUCAAAUUUAUAAAAUUUGUAAAUGUAAAAAGUUAAAUUUAUUAAAUUAUUUAAAAUUAGAAUCAAAUUAAUAAAAUAUGUAAAUGUUAAAGACUACUUGUAUUAUUAAAUCAAUUUAAAAACCAUCACAUCAUCAUUUUUAUUAACAAUUUAAUGAGUCUUUAGUUGUCUCCUUCGUUUGCUUUUCUUAUUUUCUUUUUUGUUUUUAUAAAAUGAGUUUUUCUCCUUAAAAAAACAAAAGGUCGGAGAGAAGCACACUAUAGCAAAUAAUGGUUCCACAAAAUAUUUUUCAUAGCAUUUUCCUUUUAUAAGUCUUAAUAUUUGAUACACUUGUAAUAUACAAUUUCUUUUUAAUUUUAUAAGCAGACUUAAAAAAUUGUCAUGUGUCUCAUUUUUUAUAUUUAUAUUUUAAAAUAUUUUAUUAUAUCUCAUAAGACAUUUGUCAUUACAUCGACUCUAUUUGUAGAGUUUAAAAACUUCAUUAACAAUGUACCAAAUAUUUUUUUUUGAGAUAAUUUCCAUAAAACAUACCUAUGCCAUAAGUAGGGGUGUUUUUAUUUGAAAAAUACCACAAAAUUUGUAGGGUAAAUUACACUUGAGGUCACUAAACUAUUAGUAAAUUUACGUUUUGAUCAUUUAAUUUAAAAAAAAAGUUAUAAAAUAGUUACUGAACUAUUCGAAAGUUUUCAUUUAAGUUAUUAGACUGUUAAAAGCACUGCCAUGUGGUCUUCUUGGUUCGCACCGCUUACACUGAUCAAAAGCUCUCCUUCUCUUUCUCUUCUACAGUUUAGUAUUUUUCAUGAAACAACUUUGAACGUCACAAAUCUAUAAACCAAAAUCCAAACAACAAUUUCUUAUUUGAUCUCCAACACUGAUCAUCAAAUUGACUUAGAUCUAAGGUAUGUUAUCCUACUCGUCGAUGUGUAUUGAUCCACUGUAUCAAUUGUUGAAUUGUCACUUGGACCUUGCUAGUAAAACUUUAAAAAAAAAAACUUCAACAACCCAAUGAAUUAAAUAAAAACUUUUGAAUAGUUCAAUGAUCAUUUUAUAACCUUUUGAAGUUGAAUGACCAAAACAUAAACUUACAAAUAAUUUAAUGAUUUUGGGUGUAGUUUACUCUUUUCUUUUCUUUUCUUCGGUGUAAUUAUUUUUAUUCCAUAAUCAUGGCGUGAUUGGGAGUAUUGGCCAAAAUUUUGUAUGAUAAAAGAUGGGUAGAAAAAGAGAAACGGGAAAGAAAGAUAGCAAAAAAGUGUUAUAAUGAAACAAAAGUCCACAACUUUAUUGGAUAAUGUCAUUUUCAAAAUUUAAAUCUAAAUUUUCUUCUUAAAAAUAUAAUAUAAUUUACCACUGUAUUCAUCCUAAUUAUUAGUAAAAAAACUUAUUUUGAUUUGUUGAAGAAUACUAUUUAAGCUAUUCUGAACCUUAUAAAUUUUGAUAUAUUAUUUCUCCUGUUUCUACUCUAAAGAUGGAUAGAGAAGAAAACUAACAUGCACCAUAAAAAAAAUAAUUUUAUCAACAUUUAUCAGUAUCAGAAAAAGGUCAUAAAAUUCUCCUUAUUAAUAUCAACGACUAGGGUGUCGGAGAAAAGUUUUCAGAUAACUUGACCAAUAGUGUUGGUAUAAUGUUUGUAUUUACACCAAGUCUUACAUAUAGUGGUAAAACACAUUGCAUUCUCAAUGAGAGACGUAAAUUCGAACCAUAAAAAUGAUAUUAUUGGGAGGGGUAGUCAUAAACCUUUAACAUUAGAUUCUAAAUCAGGUACGCAGAGAAUAGAAUGGUUAAGAGAUUCAACUUUUUUUAUCUCUUUAUUUAUUUGUAAUUUAGUGGUAUAUCUUGCGACUACAAACUAGAGAAUACAAUUCAAGCAGCGAAGAAAAAUGAAAAUUGGGUUCCAAAAAAUAUUGACUGCCAAAAAGAUCAACAAUUCUACCUGCAAUCCAAAUCAAUGCCUAAUAUUCAGCUUUGUAAACCAAAUGGUGCACGAAUCACCACUAUGGAUAAUAAAGCAGGCUAAUAUAUUUUACAUGUUAACAAGAUCAAAUUGUCUGAAAACACAAAGAAUGCUUGAAAUACAAUCCCAAGAAUAUAAAACCAUAAAAUCUCCAAAGUCAAGAUUCAGUACUUGCUCACAAGAAAUUGCCAUUUAAGAACCUCUUCAAAAUACCUCUCCUUUUGUCUUUUCAUUUCGAAAUCAUCAUCUCACUUCAAUUAUUUUGUCCGUCUCUUCAGACACCUCAUAUUCUGUAAUAACAAGGAGUCACAUAUAACAAGAUGAGACUUGCAUUUAUACUUGAGCAUAUAAAUUCAAUGUCAGAUGGAUUUACAAUAAGCUUACAAGGUGACAAUUAACAUGUAUAUAUUUCUACGAAUUUCAGUACUCUGUACCUUCUUUGUUUAACUGCUCAAUGGUAGAAUUAAGGUCCCGACUACAUUUUCUAACAUCCUGUCCUGUUUGUACCUCUUGUAGCUUUGGCGUGCUUAAAGCUCCAUUGCAAAAAUUCUCUAUCGCGGGACAGUCAAUCACUGUUAUGUCAUCCAAUGAUGGGAACUUCAAAGUGUAGUUCCCUGAACAAAAGCUUUUGAGGUUUUGUAAACCCUUAAGCUCCAAACAUUUCAACUCCUCGAAAAUAAUCUCUUGAUAUGUUGCUUCAUCUCCAUCACUUGCAAUUACUUCUCUCAUCAUUUCACAUCCUCGUAUCUUCAGUGUAACAAGCUGCUCCAAACAUUGGGCUUUCGAGGAUGUAAUCAGCUCUACCAUCUCUUUGCAGUAACCAACCUCCAAAGUUGUAAGAUUUCGCAAAGAUGAGGAAGCACGUUCUAUAUUGAUUAAGCUGCCACACUUGUGAACUUCAAGAGUUUCAAGAUUAGUACAAAUGUGAUGGAGGGGAGAGCCCUGCUUCCAUAGAUGUGUCAUCUUAUCAACACCUUUCAAUGUUAACUGCUUAAUUCGAGGGAGCAACAUUGUCACGUCUCUCUCCUCACCAACAUCACCUUCGUAAGGAGACAACUCUUUAAAAUUGCAAUUGACCAUCUCAAUCUUUUCCAAAUUGGAAAAUCUUUGUAGGAAACGGAAUGAAAAAACUGUUGAAUCAUUGAGGUAUUCAGUGAUUUCAAGAACUUUAAUAUGGGAAAACAAGUCAAUCGCAAAUUGGCCACCGGUGAUCGUUGCGAUGUCGUCAGUAGUAAGUGAAAUCUGUUCCAGUUGAGGGAUUAUCUGAGAAGUCAACAACAAAUGAUGAUAUAUUUGACUGGUUUUUGAAUUGCAGAGAAAUAGGAAGGUCUAACACAAACAUGAGGCAAUAAAAGAACCAAUGAAUUAAAAAACAGGCAUUGAUUAAUUCUGCACUUUUCAAUGCUUGAUUUUGUUGUUUACUAUUAUUAAAAGGAAAAUAAAAUGCCAUAAGAUAAGAUUAUUUUGAUUAAAAAAAUGUGCUAACAUUUAAACAGGGACAUUAGUUCAGUGACAAAGGCUGACGUGUUAGGAACUUUGAAUUUAAGUCCCACCGUAUUCAAAUGCACAAGUUUUCUCUAUAUUUAUUCUGAUUAAUUAUCAUAUUCUUGGUAAAAAUUUGUUUUUAUUCCCAAAAUAUUUAUAAUAAUUUUUUUAUUUUUCAUUUCAAUCUCAACUUUAUUUUUGAUAUUUUUCAUGUUCGCUUUAUAACCCAUAUAUGGGGUUUAUGACUGCUCCUCCCAACAAUAUUAUCUCUAAAAUAUGAAUAUGUGUUCUUUCUUUAAAAGUACAAUAUACUUUAUUACUACACCAAACCCUUAUUAGUUCAAUCCCAACUCUUCACCCCUGAAAUAAAGCUAUGCUAGAUUUCGACAUUCAUUAUGAUGCAUUCUAGUUGAUCUUGUUUUCACCUACUACCCUUGAUCUUUGGAUUAGAACUUUUAAAAUAAAAAAUUAAAUUUUAACAUUUUUAAGUAUAGAGUUCACAAAAUAAAUCUUAUAUGUUGCUAAUGUCACUAUCGGGUUAAUAUAAAAAUAAAACAUUUAAAAAUUUAAUAUAGUUAAGCGAUCAAAAAAGAAAAAAUCGAAUAGUUAAAAAAUUAUUUUGCAAGUUUUCAUAGUUAGAUGAUCAAAAAAUGAAAUUUACUAAUAAUUGGGUAGUACCCUUCUUUAUAUUACCAUAAGUGUAUGAAUUACUUCCAAGUUCCAAUUUUUUAAGUGCUGGGUUUGAAUCUUUGGAAAUCAAAAGAGAAAGAAAUUGGUAGCUUGAUCCUCUGGUUUUAACAAUUCCUUUUUUACCAGAAAAAUAGAUUCCAAUGCCGUAUUCAUAGUCUUAUAGGAUUAGGACUUUAUAGUAACAAGCAAAAUAUACAAGGAUCAAUUGUAAAAUAACCCUUUUAGUUUUGAAGACCAAUAUUUGUGUUUCUAGCUUUGUAUAUAGUUGGGUGUCCAAAUAAAAUGCUUGUGGAUUAAAUUAUAAAGUAAUAACUUACGAAGAUAGGAUAAAAUCUGAAGUUAAUGAUGAAUUUUUUUAAUAAAUGAAAACUAAAUGCAUAUGGUUGAGAGGAAAUAAAUGAUUCAAGUAAGUCUUAUGAACCAUCUUUAAAUGAAAUUCUUUGUAAAGAGAGGAUGAGAGACGUACCUUUUCAACGAGUAGCAGUUGUGACACUACAUGGCUUAACUUCUUAUUCUUUUUUGGCCAAUGUGUCUUCAGCCUUUUUAACAUAGGACACGUUAUGUGGUGCAUUCCUGGAUAGAAACAUACGAGAUUUGGUAAAGUCCAAAAUGCUAGGAAGGAUAACUGAUUAAAUUCAAACAACACUUCAUGUUGGUCUGAUUCUUCAACACUUUUGGAAACAAUCUCCUCCACCCCGCAACUAUCCACAAUAAGGCUUUUAAGUUGAUGAAGAUCUUUGGCCAUUGAAAAUGAAAACAAAGUUUUCAAACUCCAACAUUCUUGAACAUGUACUUCUCGAAGAUUUUCAAAAGAAAUAUUUGCAUUGGGAUCCUUGUUCCAUACAUGCUUCAACUUUGGCAAGCGAAAGAGUUCCACUUGUCUUAAUUUACUGGUCACGAUGCAUGCUUCUUCAAUAUCUAACAUUUGGAUUUGGAGUUGGAACACUUCUUCUAGUGAAGCACAAUCAGUUACUCUUAAUUUCUCCAACCUUUGGAAAACUCCAAGGAAAAAAUGUGGGAAAAUGUUCAACAAUGAAUCACAAUGCUCCACUUCCAACUCUUUCAAAUUAGAAAAUGAUUUUGAACAACACUGCUCAUACCACAUCCUCUUCACAUUCCUCAAAUGGGAGAUUGUGAGGUUCUCCAACUUGGAAAAAACAACCUACAAUGCAUUAUUCAUGCCAAUGAAAACAAUUAUUAGAAGAGGUAAAUAUCACAAGAAGAGAAAAUUUUAAACUAAUAUUUUUAAUUCUCAAGUGUUCAAUUUCCUUAUAAUAUUUAAUAUUUUAAUAGUUCAACUAAGUCGAAAGUUCAAACCUAAUCGAGUGAAUUGUUAUGCUAUGUAAGUAAUAUGAGUUUGAAAUUUUGGAUUUGAAUUUUAUUUGCUAGAUAAAUAGUAAGAAUGGAAUACAUUAUGCAUAAAAAGUAUAAUAACUUAUUUCAAGUUGAUUAAUAUAGUAGGAAUUCAAAUUUAAUACUAAAUAGGCCUUUAAUAAAUUCAUGAAUUUAAAAAAUCAUCAUGAAUGUUAUAUUUAUCCGUAUUUUGUCACUAAAUUUACAUUAUUUUUAAAACCAAAAAUCUAUAUAAUACUUUAUUGAGUUCAAAUUUCAUAACUAAAUUAUCAUAAAAUCUUCAUUAAAAAUAAACUUCAUAGCUCAUAAGUAAUGAUUAGUCAUACGAUACAUGUAUAUAUAUAACUAGUUUGUAUUCUCAUGUGAUGCACAGAUGCACAGAUGUGCAUAUCAAAUUUAUAAUUUUUUUAUAACAUUAGUUUUUGUUUAAAAUAUUUAAUGAAUUUCUUCGAAAAUGAUUAAUAAAUUGAAAAGUAAUGUAAUUAAAUUUUUUAAAAUAUUUAAUUAAUUUAGAAUGAGUUAUAUUACUAUUGUUUAAUUUAUAAAAAUAUUUAAUAUAUCAUGAUUAAAAAAUUCAUCAUGGUUUGAAUAUUAAUAUUAAUAUAUUAUAAUUUAAAUAAUAUUAUUAAUAAAUUCUUAAAAAUUAUUUAUUUUAUAUAUAUUGUUAAAUUAAUUUAUUUUAAUGUCAAAAUCAUUAAUAUUCAAUUUUUUUUUUGUAAUUUUAUAUUUAUCUUUCCUCUACUUUAAUCAAUCCAUUUAAUGAACUCUUAUUAUAUUUAGAAAAAUAAAAAUUUCAUUUGAUAAGUGUUAUUUUUAUGCAUCUUUUUUUUAAAACUAUAUUUUAAGCAUAGCAAUUUAAUAUUCAUUAAUUUUAAUAUGAUAACAUUAAAAGUUAAUUAAAUCAAGUAAAAUCCUAAAAUAAAAGAGAUAAUUUAUUUAAAAUCAAAUUUAUAUUUAACAUAUAAAAAAUUAUAAAUAAAAAAUUGAAAAAAAAAGCAUGCAAUAACUUAAAAAAAUAGAAGUCAAGGAGAAAAAAAAAUUUACCCAAAAUGUUAAUAACAACUUAAAUUAGAGAGUGUAAUGUGUAAAAAAAAAAAACUAUAAUAUGAUGAUGAUUAUUUAUUUUCAUUUUUUGUAACCUCAUAUUGUUGUGGUAUGUAUAUGAUAUGAAAGAUACGCGAACAACCAUAGCCACAUAAAAGGAAAAUUAAAUGUAUAAAUGAAGACUUAUUCAAUAAAAUAAGCCUAACCUUAUCGGAGAAAAAUGCAGUAACGUUAUCAACUUCGUCACCAAUUAUUACUUCUUUAUCUUCAUCUCUUGAAAAUGUAGAAACAAAAGUAGUCAUGUUUGAACAGCCAGUUACCUUAAUUUUAACCAAGGAUGGAAAUUCAAGACAUUUACUUCCCCGAUAAAAGCUUGUCAUAUCUGGACAAGACUCCACUAUAAUGGAUUGGAGGCGAGGAAAUAUGCCAAAGAUCUUGCUACUAUCUGUUAUUGCUUCCUCAACCAUUGUAAUUGGACACUCUUCUUUGAUGACUUGUUCCAAAUUAUCGCAUCUCUUGAUUUCCAUUUGCCGGAGUUGCCCUAGGCUGAAGGCCGUUGAGAGGUAAAAAAUGUACCUCAAAUUGUUGGAAUCACAAAUCUCCAGAAAUUCAAGAGUUGUAAAAUCCAACAUUUUUUGAGGAUUUUUACUCCAUAUGUCUAUCAGCUCCGGAAACUUUGAGAACUUCAAAUGCUUUAGACCACGAUAUCCAACCUAAGAAGCAACAUAUCAAAAAGUCGAACUUUCAUAUCGACAUAUUUAACAAGGGUCCUACAAUGCUAUUGUGAAAAUGAAUUACACAAAUCAUAAUUAAAUGUAUAUAUCUUUCAAUGAAUUUUUAAAUCAGCACCUGCUCUUUGUAUAAUUGCUCCACCGUGGCAUUAAGGUCACCAUCCCAACGUCCCCUAACAUCUGUUUCUGUUAACUGCACUUUAUGCAGUUUUGGUGUGAUUAGCUUUCCUUGAUAGAAGUUCUUCAUUCUAGGACACUGGCUCAAAGUAACUUGUUCUAAGGAUGGACACCAUAAGGUGUAAUUCCCUGAACAAAAGCUUGUGAGGUUUUGUAAACAAUGAAGCUCCAAACGUUUCAGCACUCUAAAAACAAUAUCGUAUGAUGCUUCAUCCCCGUCACUUGCAACUACUUCUCUCAUCACUUCACAUUCUCUUAUCCUCAUAGUAACAAGGCACACCAAACUUUGGACUUUGAAAGAUGUAAUCAAUUCUGACAUCCCAUUGCACUUCCAGACAUCUAAAGUUGUAAGAGUUUUAAAAAAUGAGAGAUCUAAUCCUAAAUUAAUCAAAUUGUGACACUGCCAAACUUCAAGACAUUUGAGGCUUGCACAAAUAUGGUCAAGCAGGGAGUCUUGUUUCCACAGAUGUCUUAUGUUCUUAAUCAGAACCAAUUUCAACUUCUUGAUCUUUGGGAUCGUGAUGAUUAUGUCUUUAUCUUCACAUGCAUCGCUUUCAAAAGAAGCUAGCUCUUUGAAAUUGCAAGAACCCAGCUCAAGGCUUUCAAGAUUGUAAAACCUUUUAAGGAAAGAAAUUGGGAAAACAUCUGAUACAUUAGAGUAGCAAGAAAUCCGAAGAAUUUUUAUAUUGCAAAAUAAGUCGGACUCAUAUUGGCCAUCACUUAUCAUCUCAAUAUCACCACGAUUAAAUGAAACUUUCUCCAAUUGGGGGAUAACCUAAGAAGCAACAAAUAAGAACAAUGAGUUUUAUAGAGUAUUUGAUUUAGAAUCUCAUUUAAAUAGAAAGACCUAACACAAAAUAACAACCAUAAGAUAUGGUAUAAGCCCGUAAAGGAACUACGAAAUCAAAUGCUUGAAGUGAUGUGUAUUUGUAGUUUUAAUUUCUAUAUUAAAAAUAUGCAUGUUAGGUUUUCUUUAAAAAAAAAGCAAUAUAAUUUAUUAACUUGUAAAGAGUUACAAAAAAUUCGAAAUUAAAAUAAAAAUUUAGAGAUUAUUGGUUAGAUAGGAAAAAUAUGAAUUCGGUGAUUAUUUUAAUUAUUUUGUAUUUUCAAAUGAAUAUUUGAAUGGAUGUAUUAGUUGAGAGGUACAAAAUAAUUUAAAUACAAUUUAUAAACUUUGCCAAAAAAAAAAAAAAGGGUGUGGCAGUUCAUACCUUUUCAAUGAGGAAAAGUGGAUGUUGGAUUUGGGAUUCUUCAUGCCCAAAUAUCUUAAUCCUCCCACACCUAAAUAUCCUUAAUUGCUUUAGUGCAGUCCAUGUUGUUUUAUGCAUUCUUGGGUAGAAAUAUGUUAGGUAUGGUAGAUUCCAAAGUUCAAGGUAGAACAACUUAUUAAAUGCAAAACAAAUUUCCUGUUCGUCUGAUUCUUCAACGCUCUUUGAAACAAUCUCCUCUAACCCACACCUAUUAAUAGUAAGUGCUUCAAGUUGCUGAAGAUUUUUGGCAAUUGAAAAUGGAAACAAAGCUUUCAAGCUCCAACAUUCCUGAAUGCGCACUUGUUGUAGGCUUUCAAAAGAAAUAUUUCCUUUGUGAUUCUUGGUCCAAACAUGCUUCAACUUUGGUAGGCGAACGAGAUUCACUUUUUUUAAUUGACUGUCUAUCACAUAUGUUUCCUCAAUAUCUAAAUCUUGUACUUGGAGUUGGAACACUUGUUCUAGUGAAGCACAAUCAAUCACUAUUAAUUUCUCCAAUCUUUGGAAAAGCCCCAAAAGAAAAGGUGAAAAGAUGUUCAACAAUGCAUCGCAUUCCUUAACAGUCAACUCUUUUAGCAUAGAAAAGGAAUUCGUAUGAAGUUGGUCGAACCAUAUCCUCUUUGCAUUCCUCAAAUGGGAGAUUAUGAUUUUCUCCAAGUUGGGAAAAGCAACCUACAAUUCAUUAUUCAUGCCAAUGGAAACAAUGAUUAAAAGAGUUAAAUAUAACAACAAAAAGGAAAAAAGAGAAAUGAAAAAUGCACUGCACUAAAAAGAGCACCUUAUUAUUGAACAAAACUUCAUGGGUAGGGAUAUCUUUCCUCAUAGAAUUAUGGAUGAAUUCCUUCAACUCUGAACAAUUUUCUAUCUCAAGAAUCGUUAAGACUGGGAAUUCAACGGUAUAAUCUUCAUGGCAAAAUCCGAUGAGUUUCUGAAGAUCCUUCAAUUUGAGGGAGUUCAAUCGGGGGAAGCGGAUUAGAGCUCUAUUUUUGAAUGUUUGUUGGAUCAUCUUAUCCGUUGAUAUUAUCUCCUGUAUGCACUUGCAUUCACUAAUUUCCAAGCAUUUGAGCUGGUGCAAAUAUUCAGGCAUGGAGUCAGAUAAUACAUAUUUUAAGUUGGCGCAGCCCUCAAUGAUCAAACUUGUCAAAUUUUGAGUUGAACAAAACGCUUGGGAACUCCAUAUUCUUUCAAUGCCAAUUGAGGAUAGUUUCAACUUCUCCAGCUUAGGAAACAAUAUCUGCACACAAGCACUUGUUUACUUGCCAAAUCUAAUCUAAGGCAAAUUAAAAAAAAGCUCUUUAAUUUGAUAUUUCCACUGGCUUUAAUGCUACACAAAAUAUUAUAAAAAAAAUAUAAUUUAGUUUAUACAAAACAUUAAGUGAAUGUCUUGUGUAAUUGAAUAAUAUUUUGUGUAGUUUAUACAAAACAUUAUAAAAAUUGUAAAAAUAAGUGUAGUGGAUUAAAAUGCUUGCACUGGAUGAAGAAAAAAGUAUUUACAUACCUUUUGCUUGAAAAGGGCACUUUCUUGUGGAGAUAUGGAAGUUGAAAUUUCUUUUUUGGAGCAAAAGCUAAUGAGAUUCGGUAGACCCUGCAGUGUCAGUGACUCAAGUUGAAGAAAUUCAAUUUUCUGAACCGCAUCACUAUCUUUAAGGAUAUAUUGGACCAUCUCACCAUUUUGGAUAUGCAGAUUCCUCAGUUGCUGAAAAUAAUUCCCAACUUCUGAUUCAUGUAACAAAAUCUCCACACCUUUCACUUCAUCUAUAUAUAAAUUUUCAGCUUUCUUUAAUAAAACUUUAACUCCAUUAUUAAGAAAGCUAAUGUUUGUCCGCAGGUUAAGCUUUAGUGUUCUGGAGUAUUUAUAAACCCAAUCCCAAUUCCAAUCCCAAUGCGAUGCUUCUCCGAUGAAAAUAACGUACCUUUGCAACUUUUCAAAGGAGAAGCCUUUGGGAAUAAUCUUGGCAUUAGGGAUCUGAAUUUCUAAAGCAGUUAAACAUGACAAAGCAUUUAACUCAGCAAGACUUGAAUUGCUUUCGUUACUGGAGUGUCCCUCUGCACCCCAUUCAACAAGACUGUCAGGCAUAUACAGUCCUUCUAAUCUAGACAAUUUACACAAGACACCAGGUGAAAUUCUUUUGAGUUUGGAACAACGACGUAAAUUUAACCGCUUUAGCUUAGUCAGUUGUCCUAUUUCCUCCGGUAGCAUUUCAAUAUCAGACUCCAAAAUCGCAAAAAUUUCCAGAUUCUUGAGCUCUCCAAAAAGGGCUAUAUCUCCCAACACACAAUUAGUCAAGCAUAGUGCUCGAAGGUUUCCUAGCAAGGAAAUUGAAGGCAAGGACGAUAAAUUCAUGCCAGACAAAUAUAGGACUUUAAGAUUUUUCGUUUCCUUAAAAAAGUUUGCUGGUAUUUUCAUCCAAGGAUUCUUGCUACCCAUACUUAAAAAAGUAAGUUUGGGGCAUUUCAACUGAUCAGGAAGCUCGCUCAUACCAAAACAUGAUAUUUUAUCGCACUCUUUCACUGUUUCAUCAUCUGGCCAAUCAUUCGAAUCAUGUUUGUAUCUUAAAACAAACACAGAGUUGCCUCUAGAAGCGAUUGAUAUGGCCACAUCAGAAAUAAGAUCAUGCAUAUCAAAUUGCUUAUUGGUAUUACCAUCAAGUAACAAACAAGAGGCUUUGAGAUCACUCACCACUGUCAAUAGUCUAUUCCGUGUUUCUUCAACUGUGUUGACACCAUGAAAUAACCCCAACCCCAUUGCAAACACAAGCAAAAGCUCAAGCGGAGCAUUAUGACCCAUUAGACUGCAAAGCAAGAAAGUCUGUUUAUGGUCCUCGCUUUGUAAACGAUCGAAACUCCACUCUAUAGUUGAAUAUACAGUUGCUGGUACUCCUUUGAAGUUGCUCGACGAUGGCUUGCUUAGUUGUCGCAAAGCAUCCUCCCAUACAAAUUGACGUUUAUUUCUCAAAGACGUCGCAAGUGUUCUAAGGGCAAUUGGUAGACCACCACAUUUUUUAGCUACCUGAGUUGCUAUAGGCAACAAGUCAGAACUUUCAACACCAUCCCCUAUAAUCUUCUUGAAGAAAUGCCAUGCUUCUUCAUGUUCUAAAACGCCGAUUGGAAAACUCUUUUUAGCAUCCAUGUCCAACAAAACAUUAAGAUCUCUGGAUGUUAGCAGUAUGGUGCAUCCCUGAUCCUCUUCUCCCAAAGGAAUCCCCACUUCCAUCAGGUCCAGUUUUGCCCAAACGUCAUCUAAAACAACAAGAAUCUUCUUCUCUUUCUUCAACCUUUCGCACAAACGACUUGCUCUACCAGUCAUACUUUGCUCCUCAAAUUUCAAUCCCAACAUAUCUGCAAUUUGAUCUUGAAUUUUCUGGACGUCAGGAGUAUGAGUCACAACAGCCAUAACCACCGAGUCGAAUAACUUAUCUUCUUUGACUUGUCUGACAACUUCUUUCACAAGCGUAGUCUUGCCAACACCAGGCAUUCCGUGCACUCCUAUUAUGUUGACAUUAGGAUCUUUCACCGCCUCCAUGAUUUUGUUAAACAUCAGCCUUCUUGAAUCAAAGUCCUCAAAAUCUUUAGGAGAUACAAACAAUAUGGGCUGCGGGACAUCCCGAUAUGAUAUUUUGUCAAACCCGCCUUGCUGGAGGAGUUCAUCAACGGCAGCGGUAUCUUCUUCUGCUUUCUUGCUAAGCUGAUAGCGAGCCUUGAAAUUAGGGCACAAGCUGAUGAAACACUUGUUCUUUGCUUCGUCUUCAAGACCCUUCACUUCCUUCAACUCUGAAUCAGUCAUUUGGUCGGCUUUCGCCAGCCAACUGUUGACUUCGGGGUAUAUAUUCUCACCGUUCUUUUCAGCAGCAUCAACAUCUAGCAGCACUCCGUCUCUUUUGUCUUUCAACGUCUCGACUUUCUUCUCGAAACCCGAAACCCUUCUUCUAUAGCGGCAAACAUAGCUGAAAUUACGUCUAACUUUUUGGAACACGUAUCUCGCAACUCCGGCAACAAGGUUGCUAGCGGUGCCCGUAAUAACUUCCAUGUUUUUCUUGGGAAAGGGGUAUUCAAAACUCAAGCAAAAAGUGCAUGUGAUAGAAUAAGAGGGGAGCAGAUUCAAAUAAUAAUUAGGAAACAAGGAAACUGUUGUUACAAACAACAAGCUAAUGCGGAGCAGAAGAUGAUCAGAGGGGAGUAGGAGACAAAGAGUGAAGAAUUGGAAAAGGUUUAUUUUGUGGACUGAACGUAGCUACGAUGGGAAAAUAAGAAGGAAACGGUUGUGGGUUUGGGUAGGCAGUAGCUGAGAUCUCAGUAAUGGAGAUGAGGAACCUGCAAUAUUCAAGCACAACAACCGCUGACUUUCACAUGGGAAGUUAAAAAAUAUCGUGAAUAGUAUUGAAAUGUAGAACUAUUGUUUUUCGAUAUAGAUAAAUGCAAGUUCGGAAAUAAUGGUAUGAAAUACUGACAUCAUAUUAAUAUACUUUUUAAUAAUUUAAUGUUAAUUCAUUCUAAAUUUUAAUAUUUUCAUUAAAAUUUUGAAAUUAAGUUAUUUUACUGGUGAACUGAAAAAACGACUUAUCCUUUUAUUUUCCCCAAGUCAUUUUACACCCGCUUCUCUUAGUUCUUUUGUCAUGUUCUUUUCACAAAAUCAUCUAUGCUUUUCUCCAUUCCUUUCACCAGCAUCGUCCCUUCUCUCAUCGGCGACAUUAAACAAAUCAAAACGCAUUGAGAUAUCUCGAUUUUGGUGCAGUCUCUAUUUUCGCUAUUUCAGAAAUUAAACAUGUGACCUUAUUUAUUCUUGCUCUUCUAAUCUAAAUACCCAUAUCAUUUUGGAUUAUUUUAUUUGUUCCUUUUUCAGAUAUCUAAUAAAUAUUAAGUUUUGGAUUUGGUUUAUUUCAAGGGUAAAUUACAACAAUAGUUACUCAACUUUGAGGUAGCUGACAAAAUAAUCACUCUGGUUUCAAUUUAGUCACUUAAUUUUUGAAAAACAACAAAACAAUUACUAGCAUUAUCGAAAAGUGACAAAUCAAUCAACCACUAACAUUUUUUAUACAGGCCUAACGAGACAGGUGACGUGACUAGUUAACUAGCCACGUUGGAUAUCCACAGUGAAAACCCACCCAGUUUAAGAAGAAAUUGAAAAAAGAAACCUUAAUAACAAUGAUGACAAAGAAGAAGAAGAAGAUGAAGAGACUGUAAAAUCCCUCUCAAAACCUCCAACGGCCCCAAUACAAUAGACCCCACAAACAAACCUAGAGCACCGACAAGUAUUCCGGCCACCACCACUUGCAUUGCCAUUAAAUUGGUUUAGGGUUUUUUUUCCCCAAUAUUCUUCUUCUAUUGUGGGUAAAUUUCAAAGGUUUAACUUUGUCUCAUAGGGAAACUUCUUCUUGAAAUACUAAAUCACCAAAAAAAUAGCCUUCUCGCCUAAUUUUGGUCAAUAACCUUACAUAAGUAACCAGAACAAAAAAACAAAGAUUGAAGGACAAUAAGCAGUAUAAAGCAGGAGAAAGAGAGAAAGAUAUUGGUUUUUAAUAUUUUACCAGUUUCUAAAUCCUAAUUUUGGUUUCAAUUUCUUUUUAUUGUCUUUUCCUUUCUUUUUUUCCUAACUAGUUUGACAAAGUGAUUACAUAGAGGAAACAAACAAGAUGAAAAAGAAAAGCACUCAACAUAGAGAAUAAGAAAAAAAGAGCAUAUGGAUCAGGGUUCUCCCCUUCCAUCUUUUGCUUCCCCACUGUUUUUUUUUUUUUGUUUUGGUCAAAUACUUCAAGUUAACAGGAUGGUGUAAAGGUCGUCGUUUCCAUGUGGGAUGCCAGCAUGGCAAGUUAACGGGCCACUUCAGUUUUUUGUUACAUCUGUAAUGGUAGUGACUAUUUUAUUUUUUUUUGAAAGUUGAGUGACUGAAUUGAAACCAAAGUGACUAUUUUGUUAGCUAUCCCAAAGUUGAGUGACUAUUGGCGUAAUUUACCCUUAUUUCAAAUUUUUUUAUUUUCUUUAAAUAAUUUAUUUCAGAUUCACUAUGUUUUGGUUAAAGCUUGUUUGUGACAUUGGCUCAAAGACUGUGAAAAAUCGGUUGAAGUGUGAUAAGUAGUGCAAAUUUUUGUAUAGAGACAAUAAAGAUUUAAAUGAAACAGAUGGAGUGUGAUGAGAAGAUGAGACUAGUGGUGGUUUUCUCUGGGAUUGAGAAGUCAUAUUUAUGGCCAUGAGUUUUUUCUUAAGCUUGGUAUUAUGGUAGUUAUUGAUAUCAUUGUUAAUCCUUCUUAAUAACCAAGCAACUAUUGUUGGACAUAAAUAAUGUGGCAUCAAACUAUUAAGAGCCUAUAUUAGCUACAUAUUUUCCUCAAAUUUAUCUAAUUUAUUUGGCUCUUUUAAAUUUAUAAAAGAAAAUCAUUUCAGUUAUUAAUUUAAUUUUUCAUCUCUUUUAGCUCUUAAACUCCACGGAUUUAUUUGUUAAAUGGCAAUUGACACAUACAAUAAGUCCAGUUGCUUCUCGUGGAUUUUCAUACCCCUGUUAUGCAAAAAUGGGAUAUGCAUUUGAAAUGGAGGUUAUUAUAUAGAGCAAGAGGGAUACAGAAAUGAAUUGAGUAAUCUCCUCCUUUGUUCAAGAAAAAAAUAUUUCUAGUUUGCAUAGAUCAAUCAUUAAUCCCAAAAAUUUCUACAAUAAAAUUAGAUAGAUUACUAAUAUAGUUCCCUAACAAUUUACUUUUACUAAAAAUUGGAAAAAGAAGAAGAUUGAAACAGGAGAAAUUGUGUUCUCUUGACAAUAAAAAGAGUAAAAUAAGUAUAACUUUGCAUAUCUCGAAAGUAAGAAAGAUUAUGAUCAAACCUGUCAAUAAUUUUUAGUCAUUAAUUGAAUAAUAAAUAACUACAAAGGAUGGAGACAUGCAAUUUAAAUAACAAAAAAAAAAAUUGAAAAUUGUAUCUAGAAUUUUUAAUGUAAAAAAAUUAUAGAUUUUUAUUAUAAUUUUUAUUAUUAAAUAAUUUUGAUAAAUUUUACACUUUUUUUAAUUUUUUAAAAAAAUUUCAAAAACUUUUAUAUAUAUAUAUUUAAAAUUAACUAAUUGUUGCUGUGGCAUACAGGUGGAUGUCAUUUCAACAAAAUUAACAAAUAUAAACUUUUCUAUUCGUUUUGAAACAAAAAAAAAAACCAAAUUAAAAAUUUUUAAAAAAAUAAAAAAAAUUAUAUACAAAAUAAAAGUAGUAACUAGAUGAGUACCCUUUUUAAAAGGACUAUGAAUUUAAUGUGGUACUUUAAAAGGGGAAUAAAUUGUUGUUUGUGGUGCAAGAGGUAAGAUAAAAUGAAUACCACUUCUCUCCUCUUAAAGCAUGCUUUUUGUUUUCUUCUAUUAAGUUAUUUUGAUAAUUAUAGUUGGAAAUUAAUUAAAAUGACAACAUUUACAUACAAAUGAAAAAGAAAUAUUUUGUAGUUGUCACCUUUUAAAUCAAGUAAAAAUGAGCUGGGAACACUAGUUUGAUUUUACUGAUGAGACAAAGUGGUGGACUAGUUUUAUUUAUCACAAAUUAUAAACUUCAUUUAUUUGAUUUAAAUUUAACUAUUAUGAGACAAAGUGGUAUCCUCUUAAUUCAUUAACUACAACUUUUUAUUAUAAUAUACAAAUAAAAUAACAGUACUUGGAAGGAAAUGAGAGAAAGAAAAAGGGUUAGUGGGAACUUAGAUCAUCUUUUAUGUUCUAAAUUUAAGUGCUAUCACCUUCUUUCUGUCUUUUAUUUUUGUUUUUGAAAAGAAAUUAAAAGGAGUCGAUUGAGCGGGGAAUUCGUUUUUUAAAAGAUUCAACAACAAAGGACGGUAAAAGGAGGGGCGAGUGAAAUUCGAAUCAAUUUGAAAAAGUUGAUUUUUUUAAUUUUGAGUUAAUCGAAUUGAGUUGUUUGAAUUAUUCGAGUCAACUCGAAUUACUUUUUGGAGUUUCGAGUUAGAGUUGAGUUAAAUUUUACAAUCUGAAUAAUUUGAAUAAUACAAAUAAUAAAUUGGUAUAAAUACCCUUUUUGAUCCCUGCCAAGUUUAAAAUUGAGCAAAUUUGUCUCUCUUCGAACAAAAAUUAUAAAAUAAACAAAAUAAUUUUCAAAAAUUCAAAAUAUUUAUAAAAAAAUCAAAAAUUUAUAUUUUUAAAAAAAUUCAAAAAAAUUAUAAAAAAAUAUAAAGAAAUAUAAAAAAUUAAAAAUUUUCUAAAAUAAUAAUUUUGAAGACCUAAAUAAGUUCUUUAAUGAUUCAAGUUUAUCAUACUAAAGUAUUCUCUUAUUAUUUUGCUUUGAAAAAGUUUUCAAAUAUAGAUGGUUUUAAAUUUAUGUGCUUUAACAUAGAAUUAGUUAUACUAUAACAAGAUUUUAAUUUGACAUACUUAAAUUUUUUUAAUUUAACUCGAUUCGAAAAAAUUUAAAUCAAGUUAAUAUAAUAAAAUAAGAUUUAUCAACUCAAUUAACUCGAAAAUUUUUUACUCGAUUCGAUCAAACGUUUCACCCUAGUAACAAUCAGUUUAUCCCAAAUCUGUAUUAAAUCUAUAAAUAAUUAUGUAAAACUUGCUUUGAUACAUUGAACAACGUUGUUGAAGUGAUCACAAGUUUGCAAAUUUUAAUCAUCUAAUAUGGGUAGGGAAGAAAAAUAACAAGCGGUAUAAAAAAAAUUUACUUUUACCAACAUUUAUAAGUAUCGGUGAAAUGCCCCUAUCAAGUGCAGGUCAAAAGUUUUCGGCGAGCCUGACAAUUAGUUUAUAUUUGUCGGAGUGACUUUUCCGGCGCUUUAAAAUACCGUUCUAUAUUGCAUUCAAGCAAUAUGGAGUUCAACACAUGUAAAAACCUCCAUCUAUGUCACAAGCUCCAAGCGUUAUGGAGUUUCAAUAUCAUGGUGUUGACACUAGUACUAGUUAGAGAUAGGGGAGAGCGUUCGAUCAAAUCGAAUGAAAAAAUUUUAAGUUAUUCGAGUUAACUAAUCAUAUUUUAUCAUUCUAAUUUGAUUUGAAAUUUUCUUCAAUCGAGUCGAGUGAUAUGGAAUUCGAAUUGAAUUGAAUCAAAUACAUUUGUUCGAGUUAAAUUAAAAAAAAAUUUAAGUCUUUGUAAUCACUAUCACCCACCGUAAUUAAAUUUGUUAUUAACUUUCAUCCCCUUAUAAUUUAUUUAUUAAUCUUUUAUAUAUGGGUUAACUUUUUUGCUUGCUUAGUUGCUUCAAUUAUCUUUUGAUUUUUGUUGUUAUGUAUUUUGAAAUUAAAAUAUAUUAAAUGUAAAAAAUGUGAUUUUUUAAAUAAAAAAUAUCUUAAAAAUAAAAUGUGAAAUUGAUAUCAAUAUAAAAUUUUAAUACGAAUAUUUUAUAGCAUCAUCAAUAAUUCAAUUGUUGAAUUUGAGCUGCAAAAUGUUAGUACAGUUAUCGGAGCAAACCACGUAGAAUUCAUAGUAAUCAGUUCAUUGUAUUCUGAUUCUUGACAAAAUUGUAUAGAAAAUAUAAAGUUAAAUUGUAUAAAAACUAAAUAAAAUUUAGUAAAAGAGAGAAAAUGAUAGUGUGAGAAUAGAGAAAGAUAAAGGGUAAGUGGGGAUUAGUUUUAUGAAACACAAACAGCUUUUGUUUAUAAAAGAAGAAGAUAUAAGAGGUGUUGAAGGGUGCUUUUGCUUUUAAAUCAUUAUAUAACGGAUUUCUUUUAAAAUUAUUGAUAUAUUAUUCUAAAUAAUUAAAUUUACAUUUUUAACAAAUUUUUUUUGAUAUUAUUUGUUCCAAACUUAACUAUUACUAUAAAAUAAUUGAAGGGGCGUGGACGGUGGACUGCACCAAAUGGUCAUCAUCACCUUUAAAAAAAGUUCAAGGAGCCGUGAUUGCCUUUAAAAAACUAACAUCCAAAUGAGGGAUAAAAACAAAAUAGAUAAUUAAAAAAGGUGGGUCCGAAUUUAAAAAGAAGGAUUUGAAGGCACCCCAAACAAAGCAAGGCCCACAUUACACGACGAGCAAGAAAAGACACCACAUCAUACUACAGCAGCUGCAGCAAGCAACACCAAAGUCCCUAUACUGACUAGCAAGCUGUUGGCUUAGAGCAAUAUGAAAGCCCUUAUUUUGUGGUAACUCUGAACCCCUUAAUAGCAUGUAAAGGCUCAGACUCUACUAAAUCACAUAUCUAUAAAUCCAAGAUUGGAAUUAAAGAUGAUGAACCAAUUCCACCAUGUUCAGAUCAAUGAUUCACUAUUUUAUGUGUUGCUUCAAGCAGCAUAAUGGAGACAAUGAUGAAACAUGCAAAGCAGUUUUAACAGGACAAGUUUAAUCAUCUUUCAAACAUAGUAAAAACAUGAAGUAGAGAAUAUAACCAUAUAUUGAGCAACACAAUACAAGCAUGUUAGAGAAAAAAGAGAGACUAUCUAAUUUGAAAUGUUUUGAGCUUGUUUUUGGUUUUGGAAUCAUUUAGAAACAGUUAGCUUGCUAACCACAGAUAUUGACUUUCCAAAUAGAUAGCUUAUUUGAUAGAAAUCUUUCAAGUAGGUUUAAUUAUAGCACUAGUCUCUAACUCUUCCAAGUUUUGAAAAUUACUCCCUCUAUUUUUAACUCUUAAGGACGUAGUCUCAUACUUGUUUGAUUUAAAAAUUAAAUUUUAGUUGAUGACUGAUAGUCACGAAACCAACUAAAAAUAUGACAAAAGCAAGUGCACCUAUCGAGAAGUAGUAUAGCUACGGUGAGUAAAGAUAUAGCUUCCACAAGGACUAAAAGUACUAGUAAUUACCGUUUUCCUAUUAUUUAAACGACAAAUUGGAAUGAUUGAUUUAAACUAAAAUUACUAAAUCAACUAACUAAAGAACUUAGCAAAGAAUAAAUUAGGAAAAUAAUCAAAUAAUUAAUAAUCAAGAGACGAAACAAUACCCAAUCCACCUAAAUUUAAUCUGUCAUUAUGAAUAUGAAUUAAACAAUUUAUUCACUAGGUAUCUUGAUCCAUAGAAAUCCCUAAAUUAUGCUAAUACCUCUAUUCAAGCAUAAAAGCAACUGACUCUAGGUUGAUUAAUUGAAAUAAUUUUUUCUAAUUAAAACCCUUAUUGUCGAAUUAACUCGAUCUAUGGAUCCUCUUAUUAGAUUUGACUCUAAUCUAGUAUAUUUAUGUCGUCCUAUUUCUAGGAUUGCAUGCAACUCCACUCAAUUAUGCUAAAUCUACUCUUAAACAAGGUCUAUUCCUCCUCUGAUUUAAGCAUAUCAAACAUAGAUUAAUAGCAUAGAAAUAUCAAACCAAGAAUUAAGCACACAUAACUGAGAACAAGAUCUAAAUAUUUAUUGUGUAAAAUAGAAAUCGUGAAAAAAAACAUCUCAAAGAUAGUAUAUCUACAAUAAAUAAAAAAACACAUAAUAAACUUCAAUGAAAUUAAAAAGGAGAUAUUCAAUCUUGAUGAAAAUCUGCUUUAGAGUCUACUUCAAUGGUGUUCUUUGAGUUGUUUUCUUCAAUACUCUCUAAUCGCUCCCUCAUCUCUUCCUUUAUUUGGUAUUUAUAGGUCUUAGAAUGCUCAAAAAGCCUAAAAAUUACGUUUUUUCGCAUAUUUGGAAUGCGAAUCACGAAAUUGACACGGGCUGCCACAUGGUUUUAUGGUAGCCCGUGUGACUCACACGGCCGUGUGUCAACCCAUGUAGGAAGGCCGAACCCAUGUGGCUCCUAAAAUAUGCUCUAAUUGUCUAAUUUUUGAAAAUAUCAGAUCCCCACAAAACUGAUCAAACAAUUCGUCGAUCUUCGAAAGUGGGUACUUAUUCUUCAUAGCCAACUCUCGGUAAUCGAUACACAUCCUCAUGGUACCGUCCUUUUUCUUCACAAACAAAACUCGUGCCCCCCACGGAGACACACUGGGACAGAUGAACCCACGAUCAAGAAGCUCUUGAAGCUGAGCCUUAAGCUCCAUAAGCUCUUUUGGUGCCAUACGGUAAGGAGCGAUGGACACCGGAGCUGUACCUAGUAGAAGCUCAAUGCCAAACUUAAAUUUUGAUUUCGGAGAUAAACCCAGUAGCUCAUCAAGAAAUACAUCUGAAAAUUCUCUCACUGUUCUAAUAUCACCGACAGAAGAGUCCCUAGAAACUGAAACACUGAAGUAGGCCAAAUAUGCCUCACACCCUUUCCGAACUAAUUUUUCAACCACUAAAGCGGAGAUUACAUUAGAUAAGUAAUCUCGAAGCUCACCGAUCACAACCACUUCUUUAUCAUCUUUGGUCCUUAGAACGACCCUCUUAGUCGUUCAGUCCAAACUAACUUGGUGCUCUAUUAACCAAUCCAUACCUAGAAUUAAGUCGAACCCCCCAAACGGUAGCUCCAUCAGAUUUUCCGAAAACACAACCCCUUGUACAUUCAGCGUACAUCCCUAUAUAGUCUAUUUACCCAAACAGAUUAUCCCAAUGGACUCAGUAUAAAGAUCUCACCAGAAGUACCCUCAACAGUAAUCCCCAAAUUUUUAGAAACAUAACUAAUUACGUAGGAGUGUGUGGAUCCUAUGUCUAUCAAAGCAGUAUAUGGAGCAUAAAAAAGAAAGAAACAUACCCGUGAUCACAUCAAGGGCGUCUUUGUCUUCUCGGCGUCGAGCAACAUAAACUAGUGUAGGUUACCCCACUUCAGUCUGGUUAGCACAUCUGUCCGGUGCUCUCUAUCCUCAGCCCAAACCAUUACCACCCCUAGCCGGACCACGUGUAUCAGCCUGUUUUCAGUGAAAUUAGAAUAGUAGUUUCGGGACCACAAAUCUAGUCCGCAAGAAAAAUUAUUUUAAAAUUAUUUUAUGGUCUACCAUAUUAUAGGAAUAUCGUAUAAAAAUUUUGUUAAGAAAAUUUUACCGAUUAGAUGUUAAUUGAUAAAAAUACCAAAUUUCAUUAAAUGCAAAAGUUGAGUUCUAGUAGCUAUAAGUAUCAAAUAGCUAUGAAAUUCAAAAUUUGAGGUCCUUAUAUGGCAAAUAGUCCAUUAAGAGCAGUUAGUAGAUAAGUUUGAUGAUUCUUCCAUGAAAAAUUAGAAAAAAAGAGGAUAAAAUUUGAAAGAUGAAAAAUAAAGAUGAUAAAUAAUAAAAUAAAGAAAAUAUCAUCAUUUUAUAAUCAUCUUUCCCAAAUAAAAUAUGGAAACCCUAGCCAUGGAGAAUUAAAGAAAGAGAAAACUUAUUUGGCCUAAUUAGGUGAGUAUUCAAGUCCCGUUUUUAGUAAUUUUUUUUAUUUUUGAUAUCGUAAUAGCUUAAUUUAGUAUCUUGGGGAUUAAUUUGAAAAGUUAUUAAAGUUUUAGGAUUUUGCCAUGGAUGGAUAUGCAUGAAUUAUGAAAUUUAUGGUAGAAAAUGAAAGGUUGUUGAUGGAUAAAUAAUUUUUGUAAAGUGAAUUUUCAUGAAAUUGUGAUUUAAGGACUAAAUUGUAAAUAUGUAAAUAUUCAUGGAAAAUUUUAAAUUUUAUGAAUUACAUGGGCUGCAAAUGUUAUAUGUAAAAAUCGAUUAGGCUUGAAAUAUGGACUCAUUAAUCCACCAUGUGGAUGGUUUUGAUAUUAUAUGACUUUGGUAGAUGCAUAUACAAAAUAAUCACAUGCACUAUCAACUUGUAACUUGUCGUUCGUGAGAUUGUUUAUUUAAAUGAUUAAUUUUAGAUUAUGCAAUUAAAAAAAUUCAUCUUGCUAAUGUUAGUGAGUUUACAUCCCAAGUUUUCAAUGAUUAUUGUAUGUCAAUUAGGAUAAAAGUUAAACAUCUUGUUGCUCAUGUUCACACACAAAAUGAUUUACCUAAAUUGUUUAUGAAAUGCCUCCAACUAAUAGCUAAAUCAUUACUUAUGAGAACAAAACUUUCUGUUUCAACAUGAGAUUGUAUUGAUUUACAUGUUGUACUCAUCAAGCCAAUAAAUUAUAAAUACUCCCCAUUACAAUUGAUUUUCUGUCAAGAGUAAAAUAUUUCCCAUCUUACAAUUUUUGGAUGGGCGGUAUAUGUUCCAACUGCUCCACCAUAAUGCACCUAAUAUGUGCAUUAGGACGUUCAUGCAUAUGGGAGCAGUUGAUUACAUUCUUCCAAGCAUCCCUUCGUGAAAGGCUAUGGCAUCAAGUGUUUUCACACUUGACUAAUCGACUGGUUGCCAUGUUCACACCAAAGAGACCGUCCAAAUUUUGCUGUUUGCAUUUGAAGACUUUUCAUGUGCCACAAGCAGCAUCAAAGAGCUAGAUGCACAUUCAGUUUCCCAAAGUAGCAUCAAUUCAUGUUUACACCUUUUUAACCGAUCAUCUUUUUGCACAUUCAUCUCAACUUUAAAUUACAAUGAAUUAACUAUUUGGGAAUUGCAAAUGACAAGGCUAUUGGCAUCUUCCACACCUAGAAGUGUUCAAGGGAUUUGUUGGACAAUACAAUAGACAUUUAGCUUAUUAAACCUGAUUGUAAACUAUGCCUUUUCGGCUGGUAUAUUGUCAGCAUAUAAAUACUAGGCUUGAAACAUGUUGCAAGGAAUUUUGAUGAAUUUUUAUAUAAUUAAGAGUGUUCAAUCUCUUUGUUCUUCCUUGACUCAAGUUGACUUAUCAAGUUAACCUUGUGGCAUCAAUCUGAUUCUUUUUGAACUUAUCACUUCUAGUAAGUGUGGUGUUCAAGUCCUAUNNNNNNNNNNNNNNNNNNNNNNNNNNNNNNNNNNNNNNNNNNNNNNNNNNNNNNNNNNNNNNNNNNNNNNNNNNNNNNNNNNNNNNNNNNNNNNNNNNNNNNNNNNNNNNNNNNNNNNNNNNNNNNNNNNNNNNNNNNNNNNNNNNNNNNNNNNNNNNNNNNNNNNNNNNNNNNNNNNNNNNNNNNNNNNNNNNNNNNNNNNNNNNNNNNNNNNNNNNNNNNNNNNNNNNNNNNNNNNNNNNNNNNNNNNNNNNNNNNNNNNNNNNNNNNNNNNNNNNNNNNNNNNNNNNNNNNNNNNNNNNNNNNNNNNNNNNNNNNNNNNNNNNNNNNNNNNNNNNNNNNNNNNNNNNNNNNNNNNNNNNNNNNNNNNNNNNNNNNNNNNNNNNNNNNNNNNNNNNNNNNNNNNNNNNNNNNNNNNNNNNNNNNNNNNNNNNNNNNNNNNNNNNNNNNNNNNNNNNNNNNNNNNNNNNNNNNNNNNNNNNNNNNNNNNNNNNNNNNNNCAAUGCAUUAUUCAUGCAAAUGAAAACAAUUAUUAGAAGAGGUAAAUAUUACAAAAAGAGAAUUUUGAACUUAUAUUUUUAAUUCUCAAGUAUUCAGUUUCUGUAUAAUAUUUAAUAUUUUAAUAGUUCAUCUAAAUCAAAGUUCAAACCUAAUCGAGUGAAUUGUUAUGCUAUGUAAGUAAUAUGAAUUUGAAAUUUUGGAUUUGAAUUUCAUUUGCUAAAUAAAUUGUAAGAAUAAAAUACAUACAUUAUACAUAAAGUAAUCGGGAUCCAAUAUGGUAUAUAUUAGAAAAAAAAGUAUAAUAAAUUUUGUCAAGUUCAUUAACAUAGUAGGAAUUAAAAUUUAAUACUAAAUAGAUAUCUAACAAAUCCAUAAAUUUAAAAAAUAAUCAUAAAUGCUAUAUUUAUUUGUAUUUUGUUUCUAAAUUUACAUUAUACUUAAUUGAGUUCAAAUAUAAAUUAUCAUAAAAUCUUCAUUAAAAGUAAACUUCAAAACUCAUAAGUCAUGACUAGUCAGUCUAUAUAUUUAUAUAUAACUAAUUUGUAUUCCAAUGCACUGCAAGGGUAAGAUGUAUAUACUAAAUUUAUAAUAUGUAAUGAAUUUCUUAAAAAAUUAUUAAUAAAUUGAAAAGUAAUGUAAUUAUUUUUUAAAAGAUAUUUAAUUAAUUUAGAAUAAGUAAUAUUAGUAUUAUUUAAUUUUUAAAAAUAUUUAAUAUUAGCAUAAUACAAAAAUUCAUAAUAGUUUGAAUAUUAAUAUUAAUAUUAAUAAAUUGUAAUUUAAAUAAUAUUAUUAAUAAAUUCUUACAGGUCGUUUAUUUUAUAUAUAUUAUUAAAUUAAUUUAUUUUAAUGUCAAAAUUAUUAAUAUUCAAUUUUUUAAUUUUAUAUUUAUGUUUGCUCUACUUUAAUCUAUUGAUAUAACUAACUCUUAUUAUAUUUAAAAAAUAUAUAUUUAAUUUGAAAAAAUAUUAUUGAUAUGCGUCUUUUUCUUAAAGUAUAUUUUAAGCUUAACAAUUUAAUAUUCAAUAAUUUUAAUUUGAUAACAUUAAAAGUUACUUAAAAUAAGUAAAAUCUUAAAAGAAAGAGAUAAUUUAUCUAAAAUAAAUUUUAUAUUUAACAUAUAAAAAUUAAAUAUUUAUUUUUUUAACCUCAUAUCUUUGUAGUAUAUAUAUAACAUGAAAGAGAUGUGAAGAACCAUAGCCAUAUAAAAGAAGAUUUAAAUGCAUAAAUGAAGACUCAUUCAAUAAAAUAAGCCUAACCUUGUCAGAGAAAAACAUAACGAUGUUAUCAACUUCGUCAUCAAUUAUUGCUUCUUUAUCUUCAUCUCUUGAAAAUGUAGAAACAAAAGUAGUCAUGUUUGAACAGUUAGCUACCUUAAUUUCAAUCAAGGAUGGAUAUUCAAGACUUUUACUUCCCAGGUAAAAGCUUCUCAUAUCUGGACAGGACUCCACUAUAAUAGAUUGUAGACGAAGGAAUAUGCUAAUGAUCUUGCUACUAUCUGUUAUUACUUCCUCAACCAUUGUAGUUGAACCUUCUUCUUUGAUGACUUGUUCUAAAUUACCGCAUCUUUUGAUUUCCAUUUUUCGGAGUUGCCUCAGGCCGAAGGUCGUUGAGAAGUAAAAUAUGUACCUCAAAUUGUUGGAAUCACAAACCUCUAAAAACUCAAGAGUUGUAAAAUCCAACAUUUCUUGUGGACUUCUACUCCAUAUGUCUAUCAGCUCUGAAAACUUUGAGAAUUUCAAAUGCAUAGCCAACCUAAGAAGCAACAUAUCAAAAAGCCUAAUUUUCAUACCAGCAUAUUUAACAAGGGCCCUAAAAUGCUAUUGUGAAAAUAAAUUAAACAAAUCAUAAUUAAAUGUAUAUAUAUCUUUUAAUGAAUUAUUAAACCAGUACCUGCUCUUUUUAUAAUUGUUCCACAGUGGCAUUAAGGUCACCAGCCCAACGUCCUCUAAUAUCUGUUUUUGUUACUGCACUUUAUGUAGUUUUGGUGUGGUUAUCUCUCCUUGAUAGAAGUUCUUCAUUCUAGGACACUGGCUCAAAGUAACUUGUUCCAAGGAUGGAAACCUUAAGGUGUAACUCCCUGAACAAAAACUUGUGAGGCUUUUUAAACAAUGAAGCUCCAAACGUUUCAUCGUUGUGAAAACAAUCUCAUAUGAAGUUUCAUCGUUGUUGCUUGCAACUACUUCUCUUAUCAUUUCACAUUCUCGUAUCCUCAUUGUAACAAGGCACACCAAACUUUGGGCUUUGAAAGAUGUAAUCAACGCUAACAUCUCAUUACAUUUCCAAACAUCUAAAGUUGUAAGAUUUUCAAAUAAUGAAAGAUUUAAUCCUAAAUUAAUCAAAUUGUUAAUUGUCUCAGUUCCAAACAUUAAUUUAUUUGAGACUAGCACAAAUAUGGUCAAGCGGGGAGUCUUGCUUCCAUAGAUGUCUUAUGUUCUUAAUUGCAAUCAAUUUCAACUUCUUGAUCUUUGGGAUCAUGAUCACCAUGUCUUCAUCUUCACAUGCAUCGCUUUCAAAAUAAGCUAGCUCUUUGAAAUUGCAAGAACCCAGCUCAAGGCUUUCAAGAUUGUAAAACCUUCUAAGGAGAGAAAUUGGGAAAACACCUGAUACAUCAAAGUAGCUAGAAAUCCGAAGAAAUUUUAUAUUGCAAAAUAAGUCGACCUCAUACUGGCCAUCACUUAUCAUUUCAAUAUCACCGUGUGUAAAUGAAACCUUCUCCAGUUGGGGGAUAACCUAAGAAGCAACAAGCAAGAACAAUGAGUUCUAUACAGUAUUGAUAUAGAAUUUCAUUUAAAUAGAAAGACCUAGCACAAAAGAACAACCAUAAGACAUAAUAUAAGCCCACAAAGGAACUACAAAAUCAAAUGUUCGAAGUGAUGUGUAUUUGUAGUUUUAAUUUCUAUAUUAAGAAUAUGCAUAUUAGAUUUUUUUUAAAUGCAAUAGAAUUUAUUAACCGGUGAAGAGCUACAAAGAAUUUGAUACUAAAAUAAAAUUUAGAACUGUUAAGAGUUUAUCGGUUAGAUAGGAAAAAUAUGAAUUCAAUGAUUAUUUUAAUUAUUUUGUAUUUUCAAAUGAAUAUUUGAAUGGAGGUAUUAUUUGAGAGGUACAAAAUGAUUUAAAUAAAAUUUAUUAACUUUGUCAAAAAAAAAAAGGUGUGGCCGUUCAUACCUUUUCAAUGAGGAAAAGUGGAUGUUGGAUUUGAGAUUCUUCGUGCCCAAAUAUCUUAAUCCUCCCAAAGCUAGAUAUCCUCAAUCGCUUAGGUGCAAGCCAUGUUGUCUUAUGCAUUCCUGGGUAGAAACAUUUCAGGUAUGGUAGAAACCAAAGUUUAAGGAAGGAUAACUUAUUAAAUGCAAAACAAAUUUCUUUUUCGUGUGAUUUUUCAACACUCUUUGAAACAAUCUCCUCCAACCCACAACUAGCAAUAGUAAGUCUCUCAAGUUGUUGAAGUUCUUUGGCAAUUGAAAGUGGAAACAAUGUUUUCAUGCUCCAACAUUCCUUAAUGCGUACUUGUCGUAGACUUUCAAAAGACAUAUUUCCUUUGUGAUAUUGGUCCAAACAUGCUUCACUUUGGUAGGCGAAUGAGAUUCACUUCUUUUAAUUGGCUAUAUACCACAUAUGUUUCUUCAAUAUCUAACCCUUGCACUUGGAGUUGGAACACUUCUUCCAGUGAAGCACAAUCAGUCACUAUUAAUUUCUCCAAUCUUUGGAAAACCCCCAGAAGAAAAGGUGAAAAGAUGUUCAACAACUCAUCACAUUCAUUAACAACCAACUCUUUUAGAAUAGAAAAAGAAUUCGUAUGAAGUUGAUUGUACCAUAUCCUCUUUGCAUUCCUCAAAUGGGAGAUUGUAUUUUUUUCUAAAUUGGGAAAAGCAACCUACAUAAUGACAGAAAGAGCUAAUUACAAUUAGAAAUAAAUUAUAUAAAAUUUUAGCUCUAUGUUUAGAUGAAGGCAUUGGUAAAUCAUAUAAUCAAGAUAAUUAGAAUCAUUGUUGAUUCGAGAAGAUAUAAAAUUAUCUUUUGUAGACUUUUCUGUAUAUAACUAUUUACAUAUACACACGCACUAGUUUCUAAUCUUACAUAUAUAUAUAUGUGUUAGCUGGCUUGUCCUUUGGAUUUGUUGGUUUAGAAAAAGGAAAAGAAAUGGAAAUGGUUUUGAAUUACAUUUGGGAAACAAAAAUUUUCUUUUAUCACUGUACUAUAUUAUUUAAUUUUGAAUCAUUUGAAUUUUAUUUAUUUAAUUAUUCUUCCACAAACAUUUUAAUUCUUUAUUGAAUUUUACUAUUCAACAUUAUUGUUUGUAAAUGAUUUGAAGACAAAGUUGAAUAAAGAAUAAUAUUCUUUCAGAUAUAUUAUUAUAAUAAUAUUAGUUAAUUACUAAAAAUAUUAAAAAAAACAACACAAAACCUAUUAGUUAAGAAAAUAAUUAAAUAUUCUUACUAAGUGCUAGCUUUAUUGUUGUUUCAUUCUUCAAGAUGUUAGGGACUGUAGAGGAGGUUAGUGAGGAAUAGUGAUAUAGCUUAUGGGUCAUGAAUAGCCAUAUGACUUAAAUGUAAAAAAUGAAGAUUCAUUAAAAGAAAAUCUAACCUUCUCGGACAAAAAUGUAGUAGUGUUAUCAAUUUCUUCACCAAUUAUUGCUUCUCUAUCUUCAUCUCUUGAAAAUGUAGAGAUAAAAGUAGUCAUGUUUGAACAGUCAACUACCUUAAUUUCAAUUAAGGAUGGACAUUCAAGACCUUUACCUCCCAAGUAAAAGCUUGUCAUAUCUGGAAAGGACUCGACUAUAAUGGAUUGUAGACGAGGGAAUAUGCUAAUGAUCUUGCUACUAUCUGUUAUGCUUCCUCAACCAUUGUAGUUGAACCCUCUUCUUUGAUGACUUGUUCCAAAUUACCGCAUCUCUUGAUUUCUAUUUGCCGAAGUUGCCCCAGAUCGAAGGCUGUUGAGAGGUUAAAAAGGUAUCUCAAAUUGUUGGAAUCACAAACUUCCAGAAAUUCAAGAGUUGUAAAAUCUAACAUUUCUUGAGGAUUUCUACUCCAUAUGUCUAUCAGCUCUGGAAACUCUGACAACUUCAAAUGUUUUAGACCACGGAUAUCCAACUUAAGAAGCAACAUAUAUAAAAGUCAAACUUUCAUACCAACAUAUUUAACAAGGGCCCUACUAUGGUAUUGUGAAAAUAAAUUACACAAAUCAUUAUUAAAUGUAUAUAUCUUUUAAUGAAUUUUUAAAUCAGUACUUGCUCUUUGUAUAAUUGCUCCACGGUAGCAUAAAGGUCACCGGCCCAACGUCCCCUAAAAUUUGUUUCUGUUAACUGCACAUCAUGAAGUUUUGGUGUGAUUAGCUCUCCUUGAUAGAAGUUCUUCAUUCUAGGGCACUAGCUCAAAGUAACUUGUUCAAAAGUUGGAAACCUUAGGGUGUAAUUCCCUGAACAAAAGCUUGUGAGCCUUUGUAAACAAUGAAGCUCCAAACGUUUGAGCGCUCUGAAAAUAAUCCCGUAUGACGUUUCAUCCCUGUUGCUUGCAACUACUUCUCUCAUCAUUUCAUAUUAUCUUAUCCUCAUUGUAACAAGGCACACUAAACUUCGGGCUUUGGUAGAUGUUGUCAGCUUUGACAUCUUAUUGCAUUUUCAGACAUCUAAAGUUGUAAGAUUUUCAAAAAAUGAAAGAUCUAAUCCUAAAUUAAUCAAUUUGCGAUACUUCCAAACUUCAAGACAUUCGAGAUUUGCACAAAAAUGGUCAAGCGAGGAGUCUUGCUUCCAUAGAUGUCUCAUGUGUCCUUAAUCGCAACCAAUUUCAACUUCUUAAUCUUUGGGAUCGUGAUGAUCAUGUCUUUAUCUUCAUGUGCACCGCUUUCGAAAGAAGCUAGCUCUUUGAAAUUGCAAGAACCCAACUCAAGGCUUUCAAGAUUGUAAAACCUAUUAAGGAAAGAAAUUGGGAAAACACCUGAUACAUUAGAGUAGCAAGAAAUUCGAAGAAAUUUUAUAUUGCAAAAUAAGUCAACCUCAUACUGGCUAUCACUUAUCAUCUCAAUAUCACCACGAGUAAAAGAAACCUUCUCCAAUUGGGGGGAUAACCUAAGAAGCAACAAGCAAGAACAAUGAACUCUAUAGAAUAUUUGAUUUAGAAUUUCAUUUAAAUAAAAAGACCUAACACAAAAGAGUGUGGCAGUUCAUACCUUUUCAAUGAGGAAAAGCGGAUGUUGGAUUUGAGAUUGUUUGUGCCCAAAUAUCUUAACCCUCCCACACCUAAAUAUCCUCAAUCGCUUUAGUGCAGGCCAUGUUGUUUUAUGCACUCCUGGGUAGAAAUAUGUUAGGUAUGGUAGAAACCAAAGUUUAAGGAAGGAUAACUGAUUAAAUGUAAAACAAAUUUCCUGUAGGUCUGAUUCUUCAACACUCUUUGAAACAAUCUCCUCCAACCCACAACUAGCAAUAGCAAGUCUUUUAAGUUGUUGAAGAUCUUUGGCAAUUGAAAAUGGAAACAAAGCUUUCAAGCUCCAACAUUGCUGAAUGCGUACUUGUUGUAGACUUUCAAAAGAAAAUUUUCCUUUGUGAUCCUUGGUCCAAACAUGCUUCAACUUUGGUAGGCAAAUGAGACUCAUUUCUCUUAAUUGACUGUCUAUCACAUAUGUUUCUUCAAUAUCUAACUCUUGCAUUUGGAGUUGGAGCACUUCUUCUUGUGAAGCACAAUUAGUUAGCAUUAAUUUCUCCAAUCUUUGGAAAACCCUGAAAAGAAAAGGUGAAAAGAUAUUCAACAACGAGUCACAUUCCUUAACAGUCAACUCUUUUAACAUAGAAAAGGAAUUUGUAUGAAGUUAGUUGUACCAUAUUCUCUUUACAUUCCUCAAAUGGGAGAUUGUGAUUUUCUUCAAGUUGGGAAGAGCAACCCACAAUUCAUUAUUCAUGCCAAUGGAAGCAAUGAGUUAAAGAGUUAAAUAUAACAACAAAAAGGAAAAAAGAGAAAAGAAAAAUGUACUGCACUGAAAAGAGCACCUUAUUAUUGAACAAAACUUCAUGGGUAGGGAUAUCUUUCCUCAUAGAAUUAUGGAUGAAUCCCGUCAAUUCUGGACAAUUUUCUAUCUCAAGAACAGUCAAGGCUGGGAAAUCAAUGGUAUAAUCUUCAUGGCAAAUUCUGAUGAGUUUUUGAACACCCUUCAAUUUGAGGAAGUUCAGUCGGGGGAAGCGGAUUAGAGCUCUACUUUUGAAUGUUUCUUGGAUAAUUUUAUCCGUUGAUAUUAUCUCCAGUAUGUUGCGGAAGCGACGAUAAUAUUAAUAACAAUAUUAUCAGAAAUAUUUAGAUAAUUAUUAUGCCAACAAUUAUACUAAGAAAAUUCCCAGUUAAAUUGGAGGGGUCACAAAUGGUCCCGCUUAAAACCCAACAACUAGACAGAACUCACUUAGAUAUUUAUAGCAAUAAUAACUAAAUAAAUAUAACCAACAUAAAGCUAUUAAAUAUAAGCAAACAAAUAAGAAAUAAAAUACCAGAGAUUUAACGAGGUUCGGCCAAUUUAGCUUACGUCCUCGGACACUACCAAAUUAAUAUUUCUUCUAGAAAUAUUACAAAGGAGAAGAUUUUGGGAUGAUACAACCAAAGGGGGAGGGGUUCUAUAUAUAACAAACCAAACCCCCUCCCUUUCUAUCUUUUCCUAAUGUGGGAUAUUGCCAAUAUUCAACAAAUCUCCACCUUGGCGAUAUUCCACAUCUUCGAACAUCUUCUCAUAACACUAACUUCAAUAGUGUCUUCAAAUUUGCAAUCAAUCGCCUUCUUCCCUUUUGGUAGUUGUGCCAGCUUCCACGUCUUGUUUUUCUCUAGGGAUUGCAUUUCCUCUUCCAUUGCACCUAACCAUCUAUUAUUCUCUAAACUCUGAAUGGCUUUGGUGUAAGUGGAUGGAAUAUUAUCAACAACUGGAAGUGCAUAAGCUACCAUGUCAGUGAAACGAGCAGGUUUCUGAAUUUCUCGUCUCUGCCUUCUGACUGCAAUUGGCUCUGAUUGCUGUUGAGGUUCUUGGGUAGAAACCUCUUCCUCAUCUGACUCUGCAUCUGCCAAUGAAGAAUCACUAGUGGUACCUUCUGCUGGAAUUACCACACUCUGCUCAAACUCCACCUGCUGCGGAGUACACUCCACCUGCUGCGAAGUACUACUCACUCCUUCUGGAUUUACCUUAUUCAACAUGGCAGAUUCAUGAAAGGUAACAUCCCUACUGAUUAUCGUCUUCUUUGCCUCUAGACACCACAAACGAUAUCCCUUAACACCAGCAUUGAAGCCCAUGAAUAGAGCCUUCUUUGCUCUUGGAUCUAACUUUGAUUCUUUCACAUGAUAAUAUGCAAUAGAACCAAAAAUGCGCAAGGUGUCAUAAUCAGUAGCAGGUUUUCCAUACCAUUUCUCCAAAGGAGUCUUGCCAUUUAUAGCAGAUGAUGGCAAAUGAUUGAUGAGAUGUUGAGCGUACGUCACAGCCUCAGUCCAAAACUUUCUAUCUAAUCCAGCAUUAGAUAACAUACAUCGAACUUUCUCCACAAGCGUUCGAUUCAUACGCUCUGCCACCCCAUUCUGUUGCGGUGUUCCACCUACGGUGAAGUGCCUUACUAUGCCACAAUCUUGGCAUAUCUUCAGGAAAGGAUCGCUUUUAUAUUCUCCACCGUUGUCUGACCGGAGAACCUUAAUCUUUCUUCCUGUCUGAUUUUCAACUUUAGUUUUCCACUUAAGGAAAACUUCAAGCACCUCAUCUUUGUUCUUCAUAGGAAACACCCAAACUCGUCUGGAAAAAUCAUCAAUAAAGGUGACAAAAUAACGUCUUCCUCCAAGUGAUGGAGUCUUGGACGGUCCCCAUACAUCAGAAUGCACAUAAUCCAGAAUACCUUUAGUAUUGUGAAUCCCAGUGCCAAAUUUCACCCUUCGUUGUUUUCCCAGAACACAAUGCUCGCAAAAUUCAAGUUUGCAAGUCUUUGUACCUUUCAAUAAUCCUUGCUUGGCUAGAGUUUGCAAGGAUUUUUCACCAGCAUGGCCCAAACGCAUAUGCCACAGCUGUGUUGCCUCAGCGUCCUUCUUGGUACUCGAAAUUGCUGCUGCUGUUGUCCCGACCACUGUACUACCUUGGUAGUAAUACAGAUUGUUCUUUCUUAUGCCUUUCAACAUCACCAAUGCUCCUGAAGUUUCUUUAAGAACUCCAUCUCGUAUUGUCACAACUAGGCCUUUAGAUUCUAACGACCCCAAAGAGAUGAGAUUCUUCUUCAACUUUGGGACAUAUCGUACAUCCCGCAAAAUUCUAGUAGAUCCAUCAUGACUCCUCAGUUUAAUUGAACCUAUCCCGGCUAUUUUACAUGUGUUAUCAUUACCCAUGUAAACAACCCCUUCAUCUAGUUUUUGAAAUUCAAAGAACCAUUCCCGAAUGGGACACAUAUGAUAGGAACAACCAGAAUCCAUGAUCCACUCAUCUGCAUAUAAUGUUGAAGAUGUCAUACUAAGAGAAAAGUCUGACUCUGCUUCACUAUUGCAUUCUGCAACAUUUGCAUCUUGCGGAGUCUUCCCUUUUUUCUUCAAUUUUGGACAAUCUUUCUUCCAAUGUCCUUUUUCUUUGCAAAAAGAACAUUCAUCUUUGGCAACAGCUCGACCUUUGGACUUUCUACUCUUCCCCUUAGACUGACUUUGCUGACGACCUCUUGUUACCAAUGCUUCCACUGCUGCUUCACCUGAACCUUUCAACUUAUCCUUUCGGCGUAGUUCAUAGCUAUACAAUGCAGCAGUUACUUCAUUGAAAGUUACUUCCGAUUUUCCAUGAAGUAGAGUAGUUUCAAGGUACUCAAACUCCUCAGGAAGCGAUCCCAACAACAUUAACGUCAAGUCUUCGUCUUCAAAAGUCACAUCCAAAUUCAACAAAUCAGCCACCAGCUGAUUAAAAUUGGUAAUGUGCUCGUUCAUCGUGGUACCAGGAACAUAAUUGAAACGAAACAGUCUUUUCUUCAUAUGCAACUUAUUUUGACUGUUCUUCUUCAAGAAUUUCUCCUCCAAUGCUUUCCACAAUUUACUUGCAGAAGUCUCUUUACUGAAUGUAUACUUCUGCUCUCUGGAAAGACAUGAUCGAAUUGUACCACAUGCCAAUCGGUUGAUGGUCUUCCAUUCUUUAUCAUCAACCCCUUCUGGUUUUUCUUCCUCAAUGGCAAUAUCUAGACCCUGUUGAAAGAGGGCAUCUAGAAGCUCACUUUGCCACAUGCCAAAAUGACCUGUUCCAUCAAAAAUUUCCACUACAAAUCUCGUAUUUGUAGUUCCAAUCCUCGGCAAAAUGUACGAAGUGGAAGUUGUUGAUAUGGAUGGUUUUUCUUCUGUCAUUUUUGCCAUAGCUUCUACUUAAUAGCCACCAAAUGCAGAAUACCCACAAGCUUUAGGAAAUGUUUCUGAUGUGUAAGAUCAGACUAAGCUGCAAACACAGAGCAUACUACAAAACCUUGGCUCUGAUACCAAUUGUUACGGAAGCGACGAUAAUAUUAAUAACAAUAUUAUCAGAAAUAUUUAGAUAAUUAUUAUGCCAACAAUUAUACUAAGAAAAUUCCCAGUUAAAUUGGAGGGGUCACAAAUGGUCCCGCUUAAAACCCAACAACUAGACAGAACUCACUUAGAUAUUUAUAGCAAUAAUAACUAAAUAAAUAUAACCAACAUAAAGCUAUUAAAUAUAAGCAAACAAAUAAGAAAUAAAAUACCAGAGAUUUAACGAGGUUCGGCCAAUUUAGCUUACGUCCUCGGACACUACCAAAUUAAUAUUUUUUCUAGAAAUAUUACAAAGGAGAAGAUUUUGGGAUGAUACAACCAAAGGGGGAGGGGUUCUAUAUAUAACAAACCAAACCCCCUCCCUUUCUAUCUUUUCCUAAUGUGGGAUAUUGCCAAUAUUCAACACAGUAUGCACUUACAGUCACUAAUUUCCAAGCAUUUAAGCUGCUGCAAAUAUUCAGCCAUAGAGUCGGAUAAAACAUGUUUUAAGUUGGUGCAGCCCUCAAUGAUUAAACUUGUCAAAUUUUGAGUUGAACAAAAGGCUUGAGGAAUCCAUAUUCUUUCAAUGCCAAUUGAGGAUAGUUUCAACUUCUCCAGCUUAGGAAACAAUAUCUGCACACAAGCACUUGUUAACUUGCCAAAUCUAAUCUUAUUAAAGGCAAAUUAAAAAAAGUUCUUUAAUUUGAUAUUUCCAUUAGCUUUAAUGCUACACAAUUAGUUUAUACAAAACAUUAAGUGAUUUGUGAUAAUUGUCUAAUUGGAUAAUGUGUUGUGUAAUUGAAUAACAUUUUGUGUAGUUUAUACAAAACAUUAUAUAAAUUGUAAAAAUAAGUGCAGUGGAUUAAAAUGCAUGCACUGGAUGAAGAAAAAAACAUAUUUAAAUACCUUUUGCUUGAAAAGGGCAAUUUCUUGCGGAGAUAUGGAAGUCGAACCUUUGUUGGUAGAGAAAAAGCUAAUGAGGUUUGGCAGACCCUUGAGCGUCAGAGACUGUAGUUGAAGAAAUUCAAUUUUGUGAACAUCAUCAGUAUCUUUAAAGAUAUAUUGGAUCAUCCCACCAUUCUGGAUAUGCAGAUUCUUCACCUGCUGAAAAUAAUUCCCAACUUCGGGUUCAUGUAACAAAAUCUCCACACCUUUCACGUCAUCUAUAAAUAAAUUUUCAGCUUUCUUCAAUAAAACUUUGACAUCAUCAUUAAGAAAGCUAAUGCUUGUCUGUAGGCUAAGCUUUAGUGUUCUGGAGUAUUCAGCAACCCAGUACCAAUUCCAAUCCCAAUGCGAUGCUUCCCCGAUAAAAAUAAUGUAUCUUUGAAACUUUUCAAAGGAGAAGCCUUUGGGAAUAAUCUUGGCAUUAGGGAUCCGAAUUUCUAAAGUAGUUAAACAUGACAAAGCUUUCAACUCAGCAAGACUAGAAUUGCUUUGUUGACUAGAGUGUCCCUCUGCUCCCCAUUCAACAAAACUGUCACCAAUAGAUAGUUAUUCUAAUCUAGACAAUUUGCAGAAGACACCAGGUGGAAUUCUUUUGAGUCUAGAACAAUAACGUAAAUCUAACCGCUUUAGCUUAGUUAGUUGUCCUAUUUCCCUGGGUAGCAUUUCAAUAUCAGAACUCGCAAAGCUAAUAAUUUCCAGAUUCUUGAGCUCUCCAAUAAGGGCUAUAUAUAUCUCCCAACACACAGUUACUCAAGCAUAGUGUUCGAAGGUUUCCUAGCAAGGAAAUAGAUGAAGGCAAGGACGAUAAAUUCAUGCCAGACAAAUAUAGGACUUUAAGAUUUUUCGUUUCCUUAAAAAAGUUUGUUGCAAUUUUCAUUUAAGGUUUCUUGCUACCCAUACCUAAAAAAGUAAGUUUGGGGCAUUUCAACUGAUCAGGAAGCAGGCUGAUGCCAUCGCAUAAUAUUUUGUCGCACUCUUUCAAUGUUUCAUCAUCUGGCCAAUCAUUCAAGUCAUGUUUGCAUCUUAAAACAAACACAGGGUUGCCUUUAAAAGCGAUUGACUUGGCCACAUCAGAAAUAAGAUCAUGCAUAUCAAAGUGCAUAUUGGUAUUACCAUCAAGUAACAAACAAGAGGAUUUGAGAUGCGUCACCACUGUUAACAGUUUGUUCCUUGUUUCUUUAAUUGUGCUGACACCAUGAAAUAACCCUAACCCCAUUGCAAACACAAGCAACAAAUCAAGCUGAACAUUAUGACCCAAUAGACUGCAAAGUAAGAAAGUCUGUUUGUGGUCCUCACUUUGUAAACGAUCGUAACUCCACUUUAUAGUUGAAUAUACAGUUGCUGGUAUUCCUGUGAAGUUGCUCGACGAUGUCUUGCUUAGUUGUCGCAAAGCAUCCUCCCAUACAUAUGGAGGUUCAUUUCUCAAAGACGUCACAAGUGUUCUAAUGGCAAUUGGUAGACCACCACACUUUUUAGCUACCUCAGUUGCUAUAGGCAACAAGUCAGAACUUUCAACUCCAUCCCCUGCAAUUCUUGAAGAAAUCCCAAGCUUCUUUGUCUUCUAAAACUCCAAUUGGAAAUCUCUUUUUAGCAUCCAUAUCCUUCUUCAACACAUUACGAUCUUUGGACAUCAGCAGUAUGGUGCAUACCUGAUCCUCAUCUCCUAAAGGAAUCCCCACUUCCACCAGACCUAAUUUUGCCCAAAUGUCAUUUAAAACAACAAGAAUAUUCUUCUCUUUCUUCAGCCUUUGGCACAACCGACUUACUCUUCCAGUCGUAAUUUACUCUUCAAAUUUCAAUCCCAACAUAUCUACAAUUUGACCUUGAAUUUUCUGGACGUCAGGAGUAUGAGUCACAACAGCCAUAACCACCGAGUCAAAUAACUUAUCUUCUUUGACUUGUCUAACAACUUCUUUCACAAACUGUUGAAAAUUGGCCAACCAUGCUGCUGUUAUAUUUUUGGUUAAGUGCAUGCAGCUUGUAAACAUGCUGCAGCACGUAUGCUUACUGUAAUAACAUGGUUGUUUGGUUACUUUGUUAAGCUACUUAGUUGAAAAUGAAGUAAGUUGGUAUUGUUUUGAUGUUUUUAGGUGCUGAUUAACAUAAUUAGCUUGUGUGCAAGUUAAUUUUUACUUGUUUCAAAGUAUGAUUAGUGGUAGUAGGUAGUAUUUGAUGAUGUAUUUGGCUAUAAAUGUAUUGUUUUUUCUAGUUGAAUGAAUGAGCAGAAUGAGUUAUCAGCCAUAAACUCCCUUGCUGCACAUUUGUGAGCAAGUAAAAAUAUUUCUUGUAUCUUGCUUCAUUGUUCUGUGCUCUCUAUUUUUUUCCUUUGCUCCUCCUCAUCCCUAGCAAUUGAUAUCAUGAGCCUAAGUCUUAGAGGGCCAUUGAUUUUACUUCUGUUGCUUGUUAAAAAGAAAGAAGCUGUUAAAGCACAAACAUGUCAUUAGGGACUGCUUGUAAAAAAGACAGUAACAGCUCACCCCUGUAAGGCUCCCAAACAAGCUUGGGAUAAGCUGAAGGAGGAUUUGAUGGAGUAUGUGCAUGGAGACACUCCACAAGAGGGAGUAUGUGCAAGAAGAAACAUGACUAUAAUGAGCAAAGAAACAAGGCAAAAUGUGUUUGAAAGCAAGUUGUCAACCAAGGCUGUGAAGGAGGAGAAGACUCCAUUUGAUGAACAAAUCUUUGGCACAAAAGACUGGGAUAAUCAAGUGUGUAAGUUAGAUUUGGUUGAGAAUGAAGCCAAGGUUGAAAAUGAAUUGCUUGAGCAGAGACAGCUUGAAACAAAGCAUCUAAGGACUGCCAAGUUCAAAAAACUUGAUGAAUGAUUUGUAUUUGCAGCAUGGAGUCAAAGGAGGAGUGUUGAAAAUUGGCCAACCAUGCUGCUGUUAUAUUUUUGGUUAAGUACAUGCAGCUUGUAAACAUGCUGCAGCACGUAUGCUUACUGUAAUAAUAAGGUUGUUUAGUUACUUUGUUAAGAUACUUAGUUGAAAAUGAACUAAGUUGGUAUUGUUUUUUUUAGGUGCUGAUUGACAUAAUCAGCUUGUGUGCAAGUUAAGUUUUACUUGUUUCAAAGAAUGAUUAGCGGUUGUAGGUAGUAUUUGGUGAUGUAUUUGGCUAUUUUGUUGGGGAUGAGGAGGAGCAAAGGAAGAAAACAAAAGGAAGAAAACAGAGAGCACAAAACAAUGAAGUAAGAUGUAAGAAAUAUUUUUACUUGUUCACAAAUGUGCAGCAAGGGAGCUUAUGGCUGAUAGCUCAUUUUGCUCCCUUGCUGCACAUUUGUGAGCAAGUAAAAAUAUUUCUUUCAUCUUGUUUCAUUGUUCUGUGCUCUUUGUUUUCUUCCUUUGCUCCUCCUCAUCCCCAACAAAUGGUAUCAUGAGCACAAGUCUUUGAGGGCUUGUUUUUGCUUCUGCUGCUUGUUAAGAAAGACAAUAAGCUGUUAAAACCUGUCAUCUUUGAGGGCUGCUUGUAAAAAAGAUAGCAACAGCUCACCCCUGUGAGACUCCCAAACAAUCUUGGGAUAAGCUGAAGGAGGAGUUGAUGGAGUAUGUGCAUGAAGACACUCCACAUGAGGGAGUAUGUGUAAGAAGAAACAUGACUGUAAUGAACAAAGAAAUAAGGCAAGAUAUGUUUGAAGGCAAGUUGUCAACCAAGGCAGUGAAGGAGGAGAAGACUCCAUUUGAUAAACAAAUAUUUGGCAUAAAAGACUAGGAUAGUCAAGUGUGUAAGUCAGAUUUGGUUGAGAAUGAAGCCAAGGUUGAAAACGAAUUGCUUGAGCAGAGCUAGCUUGAAACAAAGCAUCUAAGGAUUGCCAAGUUCAAAAAACUUGAUGAGUGAUUUGUAUUUGUAGCAUGGAGUCCAAGGAGGAGUGUUGAAAAUUGGCCAACCAUGCUGCUGUGAUGUUUUUGGUUAAGUGCUUGCAGCUUGUAAACAUGCUGCAGCACGUAUGCUUGCUGUAACAGCAAGGUUUUUUGUUUAGUUUCAUUGUAAUCAAACUAGUUGAAAAUGAACAAGUUGAUGACAACUUGAUGCAUUAGGUGUUGAAUGAUUAGUUUAGGUGGCUUGUUUAUGUGUACAAGCAAUGUUUAUCAAGUUACUAGGCUACUUAGUGGUAGUAGGUAGUAUUUAGUGAUGCAUUUGACUAUAAAUGUAUUGUUUUUCUAGUUGAAUGAAUGAGCAAAAUGAGCUAUCAGCCAUAAGCUCCCUUGCUGCAUAUUUGUGAGCAAGUAAAAAUAUUUCUUGCAUCUUGCUUCGUUGUUCUGUGCUCUCUGUUUUCUUCCUUUGCUCCUCCUCAUCCCCAACACAAACAUAGUCUUGUCGACACUAGCCAUUCCGUGCAUUCCUAUUAUGUUGACAUUUGGAUCUGUUGGUGAUUAGAACUCGAACUUUGAUGAUUAAUCGAGAGAUUUGAAGCAGAAAGAAGAGAAAGGAAGUUUUAAGAUAGAAAAUAAUUGAAGACUGGAAUAAUAAUUAAUUUGCACCUCAACUAUUUAAAUACAAAAGUUCAAGACUAAAAAUAGAAAAAAAAGGUUCUAAAAAUUUGCUAAAAAUCUGGUAACAAUAUACCAAACAAAUCAAAAACUAAGCUCCUAAAGUUAAGGAGAAUUAUUAAAACUUAGCAACAGAAAAAAUUAAAUGGCAGCAAUCUUAAACACAUGAUCUCAACACUCCUCCUUGUUUAGAUGCUACAAAUUCCAAGUUUCUUCCUGAAGGUUUCAAACUUGCUAAGUGGCAAUAGUUUGGUGAAGAUAUCUGCAAUUUGCAGUAACAAAGAGCACAUCACCACUCUUUUGAACUUUUUGCACAAAAAAUAACUUGAUGUUGAAAUGCCUAGUCUUCCCAUGAAAGACUAGAUUGUUAGAGAUUGCAAUGGCAGCUUGGUUAUCAACUAGAAUCUUUGUGCUUUGAAAACUUCACUCCAUAACUCCAGGUCCCCUUGAUGUAUCUUAUAACUCUUUUUGCAGCUCUCAUGUGAGUCUCAUUAGGACAAUGCAUGAAUCUGGAGAGAAUACUCACAGCAUUCAAGAUGUUGGGUCUGGUUGCUGUUAAGUACAUUAGACAACCUACCAAACUCCUGAACUCAGCUUCAAUGACUUUGGUAGAACCAUCAUCUUUGAUUAGCUUCUCUUUUUGAUUCAUAGGAGUACCCAUUGCUUUGCAAUCUUCCAUAUGAAAUUUUCUAAGUAUCUCUUUUGCAUACUUUCUUUGACAGAUGAAGACUUCAUUUUGGCUUUGUUUGAUCUUAAUGCCAAGGAAAUAAGACAUCAGACCAAGGUCUGUCAUUUUGAAGACCUUUUUCAUUUCCAAUUUGAACUAAUUAACUUGAUCGAUAUUGCUCCCUGUAAUCAAUAAGUCAUCUAAAUAAAGAGAAAUGACUAAAGUGUUUGUACCUUCAUGCUUGACAUACAGGGUGAGCUCAGAUUGACUUUUCUGAAAACCAAGACCCACCAAAUGAUCAUCAAUUCUGCUAUACCAUGCUCGUGGAGCCUGUUUUAGGCCAUACAGAGCCUUCUUCAGCAAGUAAACUUUGUCUCCAUUGCCUUUGCAUACAAAACCUUUAGGUUGCUCAACAAAUAUUUCUUCUUGCAAGACUCCAUUUAGGAAUGCAGAUUUAACAUCUAACUGAAAAACUUUCCAGUUCUUUUGUGCAGCAAGAGCAAGCAGUAACCUUACAGUGUCAAACCUGGCAACAGGUGCAAAUAUUUCUGAAUAAUUGACUCCAAAGACUUGUGCAUAUCCCUUCACAACAAGUCUUGCUUUGAAUUUGUUAACUGAACCAUCGGGAUUUAGUUUCGUUCUGAACACCCAUCUUACUCCAAUUAUCUUUCUGUUCAGAGGUCGAUCAACCAGCUCCCAAGUUUUAUUUUUCUCGAUCAUCGAAAGCUCCUCCUUCAUUGCAGCCAUCCCAUGUUGAUUAUUUUUUGCAUCAUGAUACCCUGUAGGCUCACAAAUAGCUAUGUUACAUCUUUGGUAAAUGUCGGAGAGCAGCCUUGUACCUCUGACAGGUGUAUCAUUAGCCAAAACAUCAUGCCCUUCAUCUUCAAGCUCUUCUAACAUGCUGUCAAUGGUAAAAUGAUUUGGUGCACUAGAAUUUUGGUUCGUCUUGGUCGAGUCUUCCCAAUUCCAUUGCUCAUUUUCAACAAAAUAAACAUCUCUGCUCACAAUAACACGUCCAGUGUAUGGUUGAAAGACACUGUAAGCUUUAGAUACAGUGCUAUACCCAACAAAAAUUCCAACAUCUACCUUUUUGUCAAGCUUAUCACGCUUGACCUGUGGAAUGUAAGUGAAACACAGGCAGCCAAACACUCUAAGAAACUUUAAAGAAGGUUUGUAACCAUACCAAGCUUCAAAUAGCAUCUGAUCCUUCACAACUUUUGUUGAAAUCCGAUUUUGCAAGAACACAGCAGUGUUUGUAGCUUCUCAUGAAGCUUUUUGGAAGAUUCUUCUCAUGAAGCAUACAUCGAGUGAUCUCCAUUAUAAAUCUGUUCCUCCUUUUACUGACUCCAUUUUGUUGUGGAGUGUAUGGCGCCAUCAACUGAUGCUCAAUUCCAACCUCUUCACAAAACCUAUUAAAGGUUUCUGAAGUGUACUCCUUGCCAUUAUCAGAUCUUAAAACCUGAACCAUGCAUUCACUUUCAUUCUCAACUCUAGCUUUGAAUUUCCAGAACACACCAGUAACAUCUGAUUUUUGCUUCAACCAAAAAAUCCAACACAUUCUUGUUAGAUCAUCGAUAAAGGCUAUGUAAUAGAGGUUACCAUUUAACAAAAGCAUUUUCUGAGGACCACAAAGAUCAGUAUGAACAAGCUGUAACUUCUUCGAGGCUCUCCAUGCUUGUUUAGGAAAGGGUUGUCUAUGUUGUUCCCAAAUUUGCAAGAUCGACAAUGAGGUAGAUUAUCAUCAAUUUCUGUAAGUCCUUCCACCAGCUUCUUCGACUACAUUUGAAGCAAUCCUCGAUGGUGAAAGUGUCCAAGUCUCUUGUGCCAAGUCUUAGUAGCACUAACUCUGGAUUUAAAAGCCAUUUGCCCAUUUUCCAUUGGAUUAAGAGCAAAAAUUUUUCCCUUCAUUUUGACAUUGAACAAGUCUCUUUCAUUAGCAUCUCUGAUCAAGCAUUGCUUAUUCUUAAAUAGCACUUUAUAGCCUUUAUCCAGCAACUGACCAACACUUGAGAGAUUUUGAUCAAUUUUAGGUACAAACAAAACAUCUUAAACGAAUUUUGUACCUUCAUAGAUUGUAAUAGCUGCUGUGCCUUUUCCUUUGACUUCCAAGUACUUACCAUUUCUAAUAUUCACUCUUUUGACUUCAGUGUUUCUCAAUUCCUCGAAGUGCUCCUUGUCAUACGUCAUGUGGUUUGUGCACCCACUAUCAAUAAACCAGCUCUUACUUGAUUCUCUGCCCGAGAAACAAGUAACCACGAACAAUUGAUCUUCUUCUUCUUGAUCAGUUACCUGUGCAUCUACUUCUUGCACCUUACCUUUGAUCUUGCAAAUGAUUGCUUCAUGUCCAAGUUGAUUGCAUUUGGAGCAUUUGGCGUCAGGUCUUUUCCAACAUUUGAAUGGUGGAUGACCUUUCUUCUCACAAUGGUGACAAGGUGGUAGGAUUUUUUGACACCUCCUCUUUUUCUCUUCUGAUAAUUGUUUGAUGAAUUUUCUCCACUCGUCGACUGGUUCAUAAAAUUUUUCUUCUUUUUAUACCUGUUGUUGUCUUGAUGCUUGACAGGUAAGGCACCUUCCAUCACUCCCUCUUGCCUCAUGGAUCUUCUUUGCUCUUGUGCUUGUAAAGCAUUUAAGAGCUCUGCAAGAGAGAUUUUUUAUAGGUCCUUGGUGUUUUCCAGAGUAGUAAUGGUGGCUUCAAACUUCUCUAGAACAGUGACCAACAGCUUUUCUACUAUUCUAGAGUCAUUCAACUCAGAACCAAGCAAUCUCACCUUGUUGGUAAUGCUGAGAAGUUUGUCAGAAUAUUCUUUCACUGACUCAGACUCAUUCAUCUUCUGCAACUCGAAAUCCCUGAUUAGAUUCAGGACUUUCAUUCCACGAAUCCUCUCAUCUCCUUCAUAUUCAGCCUUGAGGUAAUCCCAUAUUUCCUUUGCUGAUUUCAGAGACAUUAUUCGUCUGAAAAUCAUUUGAGACACAGCUGCAAAUAAGCAAGCUUUUGCCUUUGAUUUCCUUGUCUUCUUUUCCUUUUGUGCUUUAAUUUGUGCCACAGUAGGAUUUGCUGGAAGAGGUGGGACCUCGUAAUCCUCUUCUACAGGUUCCCAAAGAUCCAAAGCCUCUAGGUAAGUCUCCAUGCGUACUGCCCACAUCUGGUAAUUGUCUCCAUUGAAGAUUGGUGGUGCAGCAACUGAAAAAAUGGACCCUCCUUCCAUCUUAACACGCAAAUAACCUCACAAAUCCCUCAAGAAAAUAGAUCCGAUACCACUUUGUUGGUGAUUAGAACUCGAACUUUAAUGAUUGAUCGAGAGAUUUGAAGCAUAAAGAAGAGAAAGGAAGUUUUAAGAUAGAAAAUAAUUGAAGACUGGAAUAAUAAUUGAUUUGCACCUCAACUAAGCUCCUAAAAUAAUUUAAGAUACAAAAGUUCAAGACUAAAAUAGAAAAAAAAAGGUUCUAAAAAUCUGCUAAAAAUCUGGUAACAAUAUACCAAACAAAUCAAAAACUAAGCUCCUAAAGUCAACGAGAAUUAUUCAAACUUAGCAACAAAAAAAUUUAAAUGGCAGCAAUCGUAAACACAUGAUCUCAACAGGAUCUUUCACUGCCUCCAUGAUAUUGUUAAACAUCAGCUUUCUUGAAUCAAAGUCCUCAUAAUCUUUAGGAGGUACAACCACUAUGGGCGGGGGGACAUCCAGAUAUGAUAUUCUGUCAAAUCCACCUUGCUGGAGGAGUUCAUCAACGGCACCAGCAUCUUCUCCUGCUUUCUUGCUAAGCUGAUAGCAAGCCUUGAAAUUAGGACACAAGCCGAUAAACAUUUGUUCUUUGCUUCGUCUUCAAGACCCUUCACUUUGUUCAACUCUGAAAUGAUCAUGUUUUCGACUUUCAUCAGCCAAUUGUUGACGUCGGGGUAUAUAGUCUCGCCGUUCUUUUGAGCAGCAUCAACGUCUAGUAGCAUUCUGUCUCUUCUGUCUUUCAACACCUCAACUUUCUUCUCGAAACCCAAGACCAUUGUUCUAUGGUGGCAAACAUAGCUGAAAUUAUGUUUGAUUACGUUUGAAAUUACGUCAUCAUUUUUCUAACAUUUUAAGGAAGUGUGACUAAAACAAAAUUGAUCAAAAUUGUUAAUAUUAAAAUUAAAUUUUUUUAUAAUUUGAUGAUCAAAACACAUAUAAUUUACGUUUUGAUUAUUUGAUUUCAAAAUGUUACAAAAAAAUACUAAAUUAUUCGAAAGUUUUCAUUUAAGUUAUUGGGUUGUUAAAAGCGCUGCCAUAUGACCUUCUUUAUUCGCACCGCUUUUCUGAUCUCUGACAUUGAUCGUCAAAUUAACUCGGGUUUAAGGUAUGUUUUUCCACUCAUCGAUAUGUAUUGAUCUACUAUAUUGAUUGUUGAAUUGUCACUUGGAGCUUACUAGGAGAACUUUAAAAAAAAGAAAGAAAAGUUUUAACAGCUCAAUGAAGAGUUUAGUGACCAUUUUAUAAAUUUUAAAAGUUUAAAUGAUCAGAACGUAAAUUUACUAAUAAUUUAUUGACCACGGGUAUAAUUUACCAUUUUUUUUAUGUUUCUUGCUGGGUCUAAUUAUUUUUAUUCCAUAAACCAUCAUUGUAUGAUUGGGAGCAUUGGCCAAAAUUUUGUAUGAUAAAAGAUGGGUAGAAAAAGAGAAACGGGAAAGAUAGCAAAAAGUGUUAUAAUGAAACAAAAAAGCACAACUUUCUCUGAUAUCUACCUAACGGAUAUGAAUUUAAUAAUCUCGUCUCCAAGGUAAAUUUUCUCCCUAAAAUGGUGUUAUAUUAUAGGCAUCGAAAUAUUUUGGGUUCCAAAUAAUAUUGACUGCCUAAAAGAUCAAUAAUCCAAAAUUAAUGCCUAAUAUUCAGCUUUGUAAAGCAAAUGGUGCAUGAAUCACCAUUAUGGAUAAUAAAGCAGGCUAAUAUAUGUUACAUGUUAACAGAGUACAAAUUGUCUGAAAACACAAAGAAUGCUUGAAAUACAAUCCCAAGAUUAUAAAACCAUCAAAUCUUCAAAGUCAAGAUUCAGUACUUGUACAAGAAAUUGCUUUUUAAGAACUUCUUUAAAAUACCUCACCUUUUGAGUUAUGUAGUUGGGGUUUCCGUUGUUGUUUAAAUUAUACAGUAAUAACUUAUGAAGAUGGGACAAAAUUUUUGUUAGGAUGAAAAAUUUUAAUAAAUGAAAAUUAAAUGUAUUUGAUUGAAAUGUAAUAAAUGAUUGAAGAAAGUCAUAUGAACCAUCUUUAAAUAAAACUAUUUGUAAGGAAAGAGCGAAGAGACGUACCUUUCUAAUGAGUAACAGUUGUGACACUACCUGCCCAAAUAUCGUAAUUUUCAUUGGCCAAUAUGUCCUCCCCUUUUUUAACAUAGGACACCUUAUGUUGUGUAUUCCUGGGUAGAAACAUACGAGGCUUGGUAAAGCCCAAAGUGCAAGGAAAGAUAACUGAUUAAAUUCAAACAAAGUUUCAUGUUGGUCCGAUCCUUCAACAGUACUCUUUGAAACAAUCUCCUCCACCCCACAACUAUCAACAAUAAGACUCUUGAGUUGUUGAAGAUCUCUGGCCAUUGAAAAUGGAAACAGAGUUUUCAAACUCCAACAUUCUUGAACAUGCACUUCUUGAAGAUUUUCAAAAGAAAUAUUUUUAUUGGUAUCCUUGUUCCACACAUGCUUCAACUUUUGCAAGCGAAAGAGUUUCACUUGUCUUAAUUUACUCGUCACGAUGCAUGCCUCUUCAAUAUCUAACCCUUGAACUUGGAGUUGGAACACUUCUUCUAGAGAAGCACAAUCGAUUAUUGUGAGUUUCUCCAACUUGGGAAAAGCAACCUAUAAUGCAUUAUUCAUGCCAAUGAAAACAAAUAUUAGAAGAGGUAAAUAUUACAACAAGAGGAAAUUUUAAAUUUAUAUUUUUAAUUCUCAAGAAUUUAAUUUCUUUAUAAUAUUUUAAUAAUUCAACUAAGUCAAAGUUUAAACCUAAUGAGUGAAUUGUUAUGCUAUGUAAGUAACAUGAAUUUGAAAUUUUGAAUUUAAAUUUCAUUUAUUAGAUAAAUUGUGAAUGAAAUACACACAUUAUGCAUAAAAGAAUUAUACUUUUGUCUGGUUGAUUAAUAUAGUAGGAUUUCAAAUUUAAUACUAAAUAAGAUACCAUAUAAUAAGAGUUCAAAUUUCAUAAUUAAAUUAUUAUAAAAUCUUCAUUAAAAGUAAAUUUCAUAGUUCAUAAGUCAUUGAUAUAUGUAUAUAUAUAAAUAGUUUGUAUUCCCAUGGGAUGCAGGGGUUGGGUGUGUAUAUGAAAUUUAUAAUUUUUUUUAUAACAUUAGUUUUUGUUUAAAAUUUUUAUUGAGUUCUUUCAAAAAUUAUUAAGAAAUUGAAAAGUAAUGUAAUUAAUUUUUAAAAAAUAUUUAAUUAAUUUAGAAUAAAUUAUAUUACUAUAUUUAAUUUUUAAAAAUAUUUAAUAUUAGCUUAAUACAAAAAUUCAUUAUGCUUUGAAUAUUAAUAUUAAUAUAUUAUAAUUUAAAUAAUAUUAUUAAUGAUUUCUUACAAGUUAUUUAUUUUAUAUAUAUUGAUAAAUUAAUUUAUUUUAAUGUCAAAAUUAUAAAUAUUCAAUUUUUUGUAAUUUUAUAUUUAUCUUUGCUUACUUUAAUCGGUUAAUCUAAUUAACUCUUAUUGCAUUUAAAAAUAUAAAUUUAACUUAAUAUUUGUCUUUUUUAAAAUUAUAUUUUAAGCUUAAAAAAUUAAUAUCCAUUAAUUUUAAAAUGAUAACAUUAAAAGUUAAUUAAAUUAAGUAAAAUUAAAAAAUUAGGAGAUAAUUUAUUUAAAAUCAACUUUAUAUUUUACAUAUAAAAAUUAUAAAGAAAAUAUUGAAUAAAAAGCAUGGAAUAACUUAAAAAAUAAAAGGGAAGGAGAAAAAAAAGUAAUUUACCCAAAUUGUAGAUAAAUGCUUCAAUUGGAGAGUGUCAUGUGUAAAAAAACCAAACUAUAAUAUGAACAUGAUUAUUCAUUUUCAUUUUUGUAACCUCCUAUUAUUUGGAGAUGUGAAGAACCACAUCCACAUAAAAAGAAAAUUAAAUGUAUAAAUGAAGACUCAUUCAAAAAAAUAAGCCUAACCUUGUCAGAGAAAAAUGUAGCAACGUUAUCAACUUCAUCACCAAUUAUUGCUUCUUUAUCUUCGUCUUUGGAAAAUGUAGAAACAAAAGUGGUCAUGUUUGAACAACCAAUUACCUUAAUUUCAACCAAGGAUGGACAUUCAAGACCUUUACUUCCCAUGUAAAAGCUUGUCAUAUCUGGACAAGACUCCACUGUAACGGAUCGUAGACAAGGGAAUAUGCUAAUAAUCUUGCUACUAUCUGUUAUUGCUUCCUUAACCAUUGGACCCUCUUCUUUGAUGACUUGUUCCAAAUUACCGCAUCUUUUGAUUUCCAUUUGUCGGAGUUGCCCCAGGCUGAAGGCCAUUGAGAGGUUAAAAAUGUAUCUCAAAUUGUUGGAAUCACAAACCUCCACAAAUUUAAGAAUUGUAAAAUCCAACAUUUCUUGAGGAUUUCUACUCCAUAUGUCUAUCAGCUCUGGAAACUUUGAAAACUUCAAAUGCUGUAGACCACGAUAUCCAACCUAAGCAGCAACAUAUCAAAAAAUCGAACUUUCAUACUAACAUAUUUAACUAGGGCCCUACAAUGCUAUUAUGAAAAUAAAUUACACAAAUCAGAAUUAAAUGUGUGUAUAUAUAUAUAUCUUUCAAUGAAUUUUUAAAUCAGUACCUUCUCUUUGUAUAAUUGUUCCACUGUGGCCUUGAUGUCACCAUCCCAACGUCCCUUAAAAUCUGUUAUUGUUGACCGCCGGUUAUGCAGUUUUGGUGUAAUUAGCUCUCCUUGAUUGAAGUUCUUCAUUUUAAGACACUGGCUCAAAGUAAGUUCUUCUAAGGAUGGAAACCUUAAGGUAUAAUUCCCUGAACAAAAGCUAGUGAGGCUUUCUAAACAAUGAAGCUCCAAAUGUUUCAACGCUCUGAAAACAAUCUCAUAUGAUGUAUCAUUCUCGUCGCUCGCAAUUAUUUCUCUCAUCAUUUCACAUUCUCUUAUCCUCAUUGUAACAAGGCACACCAAACUUCGAGCUUUGGAAGAUGUUAUCAGCUCUAACAUCUUAUUACAUUUGAAGACAUCUAAAGUUGUAAGAUUUUCAGAAAAUGAAAGUUCUAAUCCUAAAUUAUUCAAAUUGCGACACUGCCAAAGUUCAAGACAUUCAAGACUUGCACAAAUAUGGUCAAGCGGGGAGCCUUGCUUCCAUAUAUGUCUUAUGUUGUUAACUGCAUUCAAUUUCAACUUCUUGAUUUUUGGGAUCGUGAUGAUCAUGUCUUUAUCUUCACAUGCAUCGCUUUUGAAUGAAGCUAGCUCUUUGAAAUUGCAAGAAACCACCUCAAGCCCUUCCAAAUUGUAAAACCUUCUAAGGAAAGAAAUUGGGAAAAUAGUUGGUACAUUAAAGUCGCAAGAAAUUCUAAGAAAUUUUAUAUUGUAAAAUAAGUCGGCCUCAAACUGAGCAUCGCUUAUCAUCGCAAUAUCACCAAGUCUUAAUGAAACCUCCUCCAAUUGGGGGAUAACCUAAGAAGAAACAAGCAAGAACAAUGAGUGCGGUAGAGUAUUAGAUUUAGAAUUCCAUUUAAAUAGAAAGGCCUAACACAAAAGAUUAGCUAUAACACAUAAUAUAAGCCCAUAAAUGACCUAUGAAAUCAAUAGUUUGAAGUGAUUUGUAUUUUUAGUUUUAAUUUCUAUAUUAAAAAUAUGCAUAUCAGAUUUUUUUUAUAAAAAAUGCAAUAGAAUUUAAAAAUAGGUAAAGAGUUACAAAGAAUUGGUUACUGAAAUAAAAUUUAGAAUUGUUAGAGAUUAUAAGUUAGAUAGGGAAAAAUAUGAAAUUGCAAAUUAUUUUAAGUAUUUUUCAUUUUCAAAUGAAUAUUUGGAUGUAUUAAUUGAGAGGUACAAAUUGAUUUAAAUACAAUUUCUAAGCUUUGCUAAAAAAAGGGUGUCAAACCAUACCUUUUCAAUGAGGAAAAGUGAUUGUCCAAUUUGGGAUUCUUCAUGCCCAAAUAUCUUAAUCCUUCUACAGUUGUAUAUCCUCAAUUUCUUUAAUGUAGGCCAUGUUGUUCUGUGCAUUCCUGGGUAGAAACAUGUUAGGUAUGGUAGAUUCCCAAGCACAAGGAAGAACAACUGAUUAAAUGCUAACCAAAUUUCUUGUUCAUCUGAUACUUCAACAUUUUUUGAAACAAUCUCCUCCAACCCACACUCACCAAUACCAAGUCUUUCAAGUUGUUGAAGAUCUUUGGCGAUUGAAAAUGGAAACAAACUUUUCAAGCUCCAACAUUCAAGAAUAAAUACAAUUUGCAGAUUUUCAAAAGAAAUAUUUCCUUCACGAUACUUGGUCCAAACAUGCUUCAACUUUGGUAGGCGAACGAGAUUCACUUCUCUUAAUUGACUGCUUACCACAUAUGUUUCUUCAAUAUCUAACCCUUGCACUUGGAUUUGGAACACUUCUUCUAGUGAAGCACAAUCAGCCACUAUUAGUUUCUCCAAUCUUUGGAAAACCCCCAAAAGGAAAGGUGGAAAGAUAUUCAUAUGAAAGGAAUUCAUAUGAAAUUGGCUGUACCAUAUCCUUUUUGCAUUUCUCAAAUGGGAGAUUGUGAUUUCCUCCAAGUUGGGAAAAGCCACCUACAAAUCAUUAUUCAUGCCAAUGGAAGCAAUGAUUAAUAGAGUUAAAUAUAACAACAAAAAGGUAAUAGAAAAAAGAAAAAUGUGCUUUACUAAAAGAGCACCUUAUAAUUGAGCAAAACUCCAUGGGUAUGGAUAUCUUUACUCGUAGAAUUAUGGAUGAAUUCCUUCAAUUCUGGACAAUUUUCUAUCUCAAGAAUUGUCAAGGUUGAGAAUUCAACAGUAUAAUCUUCAUGGCAAAAUCCGAUGAGCUUCGGAAGACCCUUCAAUUUGAGGAAGUUCAAUCGAGGGAAGCGGAUUAGAGCUCUAUUUUUGAAUGUUUCUUGGAUUAUCUUAUCCGUUGAUAUUAUCUCCUGUAUGCACUUGCAUUCACUAAUUUCCAAGCAUUUGAGCUGCCACAAAUAUUCAGGCAUGGAGUCGGAUAAGACAUACUUUAAGUUGUCGCAACUCUGAAUGAUCAAACUUGUCAAAUUUUGAGUUGAACAAAACGCUUGGGGACUCCAUAUUCUUUCAAUGCCAAUUGAGGAUAAUUUCAAUUUCUCCAGCUUAGGAAACAAUAUCUGCACACAAGCACUUGUUUACUUGCCAAAUCUACUAGGCAAAUUCAAAAAAAGCUCUUUAUUUUGAAUUUCAAUUACCUUUAAUGCUACACAAAAUAUUAUAAAUAUAUAUAAUUUAGUUUAUACAAAAUAUUAAGUGAUUUGUAAUAAUUGAUUAAUUGGAUAAUGUUUUGUGUAAUUGAAUAAUAUUUUGUGUAGUUAUGAUUACACAAUAUAUUACAAAAAUUGAAAUAAUUUGUGUAACUCAAUAUUAUUUUGUAUAAUUGAAUAAUGUUUUCUUUAAUUCUAUAAUUACACAAAACAUUAUAAAAAUUGUAAGUGUAGUGGAGAGGUAUGUAAUUAGAGUUGAUGAAAAGAUUAUUUUAAAAAAAUUCAUCCUAGAAUCUUGACUUAAAUAGAGUGGUUGUUAAAUUUCUUGUUAGAUACUUGUUUAAUUUUUAAAUUAGUUUUUUAAAAAAUAUAUUAAAAAAUAGUUUUUUUAAAUGCUAUUAAAGGGAAACUAAUUUUUUUUUUAAAAUUUAUGAUUGUAGUUUUCAAUAUAACAUAUUUUUUGUUCGAGGAAAAUAUUUAUAUAUGCGUGAGAAUUAAUUGGCAUUCAAUAUAGACAAAAGCUAUUAUUGUAUAAAAGAAAAGCGUUGGGAAAUGCAUGCACUGAUGCACUGAUGAAGAACAAAAAUAUUUAAAUACCUUUUGCUUGAAAAGGGCAAUUUCUUGGGGAGAUAUGGAAGUUGAACCUUCUUUUUUGGAGCAAAAGCCAAUGAGAUUCGGUAGACCCUGCAGCGUCAGUGACUCGAGUUGAAGAAAUUCAAUUUUCUGAACACCAGCACUAUAUUUAAGGAUAUAUUGGACCUUCUCACCAUUUUGGAUAUGCAGAUUCUUCAAUUGCUGAAAAUAAUUCCCAACUUCUGAUUCAUGUAACAAAAUCUCCACAUCUUUCACUUCAUCUAUAUAUAAAUUUUCAGCUUUCUUCAAUAAAACUUUGACUCCAUUAUUAAGAAACCUAAUGCUGGUCUGUAGGUUAACCUUUAGCGUUCUGGAGUAUUCACGAACCCAACCCCAUUUCCAAUCCCCAUUCCAAUACCAAUCCGAUGCUUCUCCGAUGAAAAUAAUGUAUCUUUGCAGCUUUUCAAAGGAGAAGUCUUCGGGAAUAAUCUUGGCAUUAAGGAUAUGAGUUUCUAAAGCAGUUAAACAUGACAAAACAUUUAACUCAGCAAGACUAGAACUGCUUUGCAGGCUGGAGUGUCCCCCUGCUCCCCAUUCAUAACUUUUAUCCAUAUACAAUUCUUCUAAUCUAGAAAAUUCACACAAGACACCAGGUGGAAUUCUUCUGAGUUUGGAACAAUAACGUAAAUCUAACAGCUUUAGCUUAGUCAGUUGUCCUAUUUCCUUGGGUAGCAUUUCAAUAUCAGACCUCGUAAUCUUAAGAAUUUCCAGAUUCUUGAGCUCUCCAACAAGGGCUAUAUCUCCCAACACACAAUUACUCAAGCAUAGUGCUCGAAGGCUUCCUGGCAAAGAAAUUGAUGAAGCUAAGUUCAUGCCACUCAAAAUUAAGACUUUAAGAUAUUUCGUUUCCUUAAAAAAGUUUGUUGGUAUUUUCAUCCAAGGAUCCUUCCUACCCAUACUUAAAAAAGUAAGUUUGGGGCAAUUCAACUGAUCAGGAAGCUCGCUGAUACCACCACAUAAUAUUUUGUCGCACUCUUUCAUUGUUUCAUCAUCGGGCCAAUCAUUCAAAUCAUGUUUGCGUCUUAAAACAAACACAGGCUUUCCUUUAGAAGCGAUUGACACGGCCACAUCAGAAAUAAGAUCAUGCAUAUAACAAACAAGAGGCUUUGAGAUCACUCACCACUGUCAACAGUUUGUUCCUUGUUUCUUUAAUUGUGCUGACACCAUGAAAUAACCCUAACCCCAUUGCAAACGCAAGCAACGAAUCAAGCAGAACAUUAUGACCCAAUAGACUGCAAAGUAGGAAAGUCUGUUUAUGGUCUUCGCUUUGUAAACGAUCGUAACUCCACUCUAUAGUUGAAUAUACAGUUGCUGGUACUCCUGCGAAGUUGCUCGACGAUGGCUUGCUUAGUUGUCGCAGAGCAUCCUCCCAUACAAAUGGUGGUUCAUUUCUCAAAGACGUCGCAAGUGUUCUAAUGGCAAUUGGUAGACCACCACAUUUUUUAGCUACCUCAGUUGCUAUAGGCAACAAGUCAGAACUUUCAACACCAUCCCCUAUAAUCUUCUUGAAGAAAUGCCAGGCUUCUUCAUGUUCUAAAACGCCGAUUGGAAAACUCUUUUUAGCAUCCAUGUCCUUCUUCAAAACAUUAAGAUCUCUCGAUGUCAGCAGUAUGGUGCAUCCCUGAUCCUCGUCUCCCAAAGGAAUCCCCACUUCCAUCAGGUCUAAUUUUGCCCAAAUGUCAUCUAAAACAACAAGAAUCUUCUUCUCUUUCUUCAACCUUUCGCACAAACGACUUGCUCUUCCAGUCAUACUUUGCUCCUCAAAUUUCAGUCCCAACAUAUCUGCAAUUUGAUCUUGAAUUUUUUGGACGUCAGGAGUAUGAGUCACAACAGCCAUAACCACCGAGUCGAAUAACUUAUCUUCUUUGACUUGUCUGACAACUUCUUUCACAAGCGUAGUCUUGCCAACACCAGGCAUUCCGUGCACUCCUAUUAUGUUGACAUUAUGAUCUUUCACCGCCUCCAUGAUUUUGUUAAACAUCAGCCUUCUUGAAUCAAAGUCCUCAAAAUCUUUAGGAGAUACAAACAAUAUGGGCUGCGGGACAUCCCGAUAUGAUACUUCGUCAAACUCCCCUUGCUGGAGGAGUUCAUCAACGGCAGCGGCAUCUUCUUCUGCUUUCUUGCUAAGCUGAUAGCGAGCCUUGACAUUAGGACACAAGCCGAUAAAACACUUGUUCUUCGCUUCGUCUUCAAGACCCUUCACUUUGCUCAACUCUGAAAUGAUCAUGUCCUCUACUUUCAUUAGCCAAUUUUUGACGUCGGGGUAUAUAGUCUCGCCGUUCUUUUGAGCAGCAUCAACGUUUAGCAGCACUCUGUCUCUUCUGUCUUUCAACAUGUCAACUUUAUUCUCGAAAUCCAAGACCAUUGUUCUAUGGUGGCAAACAUAGCUGAAAUUACGUUUGAGUUUUUGGAACAAGUAUCCGACAACACCGGUAACAAGGUUGCUAGCGCUGCCCAUAGUAAUCUCCAUUGAAAAGAGGGGGGGGGGGGUUCAAAAGUACUUAAGCAAAGGGUAAGUGAUAGAAUAACAGAGGAGAAACAGAUUCAAAUAAUAAGGAAACAAGGAUGAUGAAUCAGGUUAGACAAAGUCUCAGCUCUUUAAAAAAAAAAAAAAAAAGAAGCAAUGGAGGUAUGAAAUUGUGAAGAAAAUGGAAACAGUUGUCACAAACUCCAAGCAAAUUUCAAGACUGCCGUGUGGAUUGUAUAAUAAGAAAGCAACAAAGAUUGAAGUAGUGGAAAGGGUUUAUUUUGUGGAUCAGGUAGAAGGAAGAACUAAACGUAGCUAAGAUAAGAAAAUAAAGGAGAAAAGAGAUGUGGGUUAUGGGUAGGCAGUAGAGGAAUGUGUAAAUAUCUUAAAUUUAUAUACAGGAGAGAUAAGAAAUUGAUGAGGAAACUCCAUUAUUUUGUCUACCACAAGUCACCCAUGACUUCCAGAAUUAUUAUUAUUUUUUUGAAGAAAACUUCAAGAAUUAUUAUUAUUGUAAAUAAUCGUCAAGGUUUUCUUAGAUGUAGCCUUUGUUUUGAAUUUAUUCAUCAUUGUCACUGCCAACUUAAGAAUAUAAUCUUUAUCUUAAUUUAUUAAAAUAAAAUCAACAAUAUCUAAUUUUUUUUUCUUUUUAAAACCUUAAAUUGGUUGUUAUUGGUUUUAUUUUAUUAAAGUAAGAUAAUUAUACCAUAAGUUAAUCUAAAAUAGUAUCUUUAAUUUUAUUUUUGUUAUUCUAAUUAAGAUAAUUGCUUUAAUCGACCACUAUUGUUAAAAAUUUAGUUAAUCAACUGAUGGUUUGUUGACGUGACAUUUUAUGGCCUUUGACUAAAAUUAAGAACCUUUCUAUAAUUAGUUCAAUUUUUUUUUAUCUAUUUACAACAUAAGAACUUCCGAUAUAAUAAUUGAAUUGUUAAAAUAUUAAUUGUAUGAAACAAUUACGAAAGUGUAUAAAAUCACUUUAAUUUUACACCAGUGUUAGUGGAUCAUUACCCUAAAAAUUAACUUACUCUUCUAAAGAAUUUUCUUAUUUGCGAUAUUAAUGUUUUUAGGAUAAAGUACAAGAAUAGUCAUCUAAUUAUUUAGUUCGUUCUAUUUUGGUCAACUAAAUAUUAAUAUUUUUUGUUUUAAUCACUCAACUUUUUAAAUUUAAUAUUUUAGUCACUCUUUCAUUAGUUCUCUAAUAGAAGUCUAACGCGAGCUUUGUUUUAUUGAUCUAAUAAUAAAUUUAUCCCUCCAAUAUUUAUGCAUUAUCAAUUUGAUCCUAAAUGUCAAAUUCAACAAAUUUAGUCCUCAAUGCUUACAAGAUUUAUAAUUUUAAUCCUAAUUAUAAAAAUUUUAAAAAAAAAUUUAAAAAUCUUAAAAAUUUAAAGUACAUAUAAAUUUUUAAAAAGUUAAAAAAAUCAAGAUUUUUGUACCCAAAAUUUUUUCAACAAUAUCUUCCACUUUGUUCUUUCUUCACUCAAUUGAUGAGUUGGAAAUAUCAAAUGUUAUGGUCUUGACUUACAAUCUCUCCCUAUUGCUUGAGUUAGAAAUGAUGAAGACAUGAGAACACUAUAGCUUGAAAUGGGUACUAUCCAUGUUGCAAAGGGCAAGCUCGUCGGAGUUGGUAUCGUCAACCCAACCAUUUUUUUGGGUUUAUAAAUUUCUCAAAUUUGAGUUUCUUUCUGGGUUUUAAUUAGACAUUUGAGACAAACAAUAUAGUAAAAGAAAAAGGACUAAAACAGAAGAGAGUGAAUCAAAAAAUAGCUUUAAUUUCUGAAAUUUUCACUUGUUGAGAAGAUGAGCAAAGUUGAUAAGAAAAUGUAAAUAUAAAUUAUAAAUUUUUUAAAUAUAUUUUAUAAUUUUUAGAAUUAGAAUUAAAAUGAAAAUUUUGUAAAGAUUGACACUACACCAAAACAGGUUUUUAGCGGCGUUUUUUUAGGCCUUUAGCGGCGCUUUUUAACGCCACUAAAGAUAUAGCGCCGCAAAAAAUGCCGCUAACGAAAACGUCGCAAACGUUUGCAGCGUUUACAAACAAAAACGCAGCUAAAGACCAUGUUCUUUAGCGGCGCUUGUAAAAAAAUGCUGCUAAAGACCACGUUCUUUAGCGGCGCUUAGAAAAAAACACCGCUAAAGACCACGUUCCACAGCCAUAAAGAUGAUAAUACAUUAGUUACCCAUUAGUUACCCAUUAGUUACCCAUAGUUUGAGAUAUUCAAAUUUAGUUACCCAUUAGUUACCCAAAUACUACCAUUAGUUACCCUUUUAUGCUUCUCCAAAAAUCGCUGUAAUGGAGAAGCAGCAGGCUAAGAUGAAUACUUUUGAAGAAUGCCAAAUCUUCCUUAUUAAAGGAGAUGGAAAGAAAGUGACCCACAACUUGCCAAGCUUAGCUUAAACUUUGCUUAUUGAAGAACACCCACAAUCCAUCAUGUACAACGCUAUUAAACUUUAAGUUAUUUUAUGAGUUUUCUUCCAAAAAAAAAAUCUAAACAAAAUAAUCACAAUAAAUAAUUAUAUAUUCAACAUGAGUUGUGCAAAACAUAACUCAAACCAACUAAAGGAGCAUUUGUCAUUGGCGAAAGCACUUUUUUUAUAGCUUCAACAAAUCAUAUCCGACUUUCCCAAAAUCGGAAGGUCUGUCCCUGUCUUCAAUCUUAACAAUUUCAUUUUCAUGGCCACGCCAUUGAUGCUCCUAGUUUUAUUAUUGGCUGUGUUUUGUAUUCGGGCAACCCCUAAAUAGACAAAAUUUUACCCCGAACAAACCCUUCUAUUUAAAUUGCUAAAUAAAUAAUUCACAAGUUCCCCAAAUUCCCAAACAAGAAUGGUGUUUUAACCUAAACCGCAAACCCCAAAAUCUAAUUUUUUUUCUAAGCCCCAAAUUCGAAAAACACAAUGCACCCAAAACCCCAAAUCAAGACGAUGUUCUUCAGAAGGAUUAAACGCAUACCUUUUAACCAGAUAUUCUGCAACUACUGUCAAGAAUGGCGCAAUCGUUGCUUUCUCUUUGAUGAUUUCAGAUUUCUCCUCCCCUUUCUUCCUUAGAAUAUUUUCUUAGGUUUUUUCCCCUUCCCAAUCGUGGUUUUCACUUGCCUUUUCUUUCUGUCUUUGUCGAGUGAGUAAAAAUGGCAAGUUAAACAACAUCUGCAGAAACGGCGUCGUUGAGAAAAAAAUAUUAAAACACCUUUGCGGCGUUUAUAGACCAAACGCCACAAAAAAAUAAACCUUUUAACAGAAACGACGUCGUUUUGUUAGUUUGAAAUUGCAUUUUUUGUGGCGUUUAAUAAAAACCGCCACGUAUACUUAAGUCUAUUUUAAUCCAAACGUUGACGUUUUAAAUAAAUUAUUCUAAAAUUUUUCUAAGUUAAAAAUCUGUUCCGAAAACGGCAUCGUUUAGCCAUUAUAUUAACACCGUUUUGUGGCAUUUUUGGUUCAAACGCCGCAAUUUCUUCCACAUUUCCGGCGUUUUCCUAAAAAUGCCACUAAAUAUUACACCUGUGAACAGAAACGACACCGUUUUUGUGGUCUGGAAUUGCAUUAUUUGUGGCGUUUUCCUAAAAACGUCACCAAAAGUUUAACUAUUCAUUCGAAAAUGGUGCCGUUUUUAAUUUUUUUGUUUUUUUUUAUUUCAUUUCUUAUGUAUUUGGUCCUAUAUAUAUAUAUUUCCAAAAUAAAUAAUUAUACCUAAAUAUAUAACCAUCCAUAUAAUAUAUAUCAAUAUAUUUUUUAACUUAUUUAUGAAUUCUAUUUAAAAUAAUAUUUAAAUAUAUCAAUUGGUACUUUAGAUUGAUUUUUUAAAAUAUUAUUUAAAUAAAUUAAUCUAAACUAACCUAAAAUCCUUAUUUGACCCUUAAGCCCUAAAUCUUUAACCCCUAGAUCGCAACUUGUAACCCCUAAACCCCUAGCUAACUCUUAUAUCCCAAACCCUAAAUUUGUACCCCCUAAUCCUUAAAAUAGCACGGCCAUCCAAAAUAAUCCCUAAAUCUUUAAUAAAUAUCAUAAAAUAGUUAUAAUUGAUUAAACAAUAAUUAAUACUAAAAACUUUUUGUAUAAAGUUUGCUGACGUGGCAUGAACAGUUUGUGUUUUUAGCUUGGAAAACUUUGAAAGGCCAUAACUUUUGGCUCGGUUGUCCGAUUGAGGCGAAUUUUUUUUUGAUUUCGAAUAACUUUUCAAGAUCUACGCGCUGGCAAACAGCCAAAGGUGGUUUGCCAAAGUUUUCAUCAAAAAAGAUCCUCUUUUGCCCCUCAAUUUUUAUUUUUUCGGUUUAAAAUUGAAUUUUGAAACAUUCAAAUCGUUAUUUUCCUCAUUUAUUUGAAGUAAACACCGGAUAUUUUUUUACACAAUUGUCUUAUAUCAUCCUGUUAUAGGUAUAACAAAGCUCAUUCCACUUUUGAGAAGUUCCCUAACAAUUUCCAUUUUAUUCAAUUUAGUCCCUAAAACCUAAAUAGUCAUAUUUUCAAAUCUAAGCUUCGUUUUUCAAUUCAAUUUCAAUUUCAUCAUUCUUUCAAUUCAAAUUCAAAAAAUUAUUUAAGUAUAUAUUUAACUGUUAUUCAUGAAUUAUUUGAGCAUUACUAUUCAGAUUAGUAUUUAAAUUAAUAAUAUACCGAAACCAAAUCCUAUACCGAACCGAAAAAUCCUGAACAAAUUUAUUAUUACCUCUUUUACAAUUAUAUAUAUAAGAAUAUAUUUAAAAUAUAAUUUGGCAAUACUAAUUAAUCUAAACCCUAGCUAAACCCUAAAUCCUUAAUUAACUCCUAAUAACCCCUAAGUGCUAACCCCAACCCUAACCCCUAAACAUUAUAUCUCAGCCCUUACACCAUAUCCCUAAAUCCAAUAUUAUAUAUAUACUCCUGAUCAAUUAUAAUAAUAACCUUAAAAUAGUAACCCCUAAACCGACUUAAAAUCUUAAAUUAAUAAUAUCAUAUAUAUAUACCCCUAAAACCUAAAACCCUAUAUUAACUAUACUGAUACGCUUAAUUCAAUAUUUUAAAUUUAAAUUAAUACUUACUAUCUCUUUUAAUUACGAUAAUAAUUUCAAAUUUUUAAUAUAUAAAUUAAAAAACAAUCAGUAAUGUACCCAACAAAAACUUUAAAAUUAUUUUAAAUAAUACUAUUUUAAUUUUUCCAUGUGUUUUAUUUCAAAUUAUUUAUACCUGUUAUUUUUUAUUGAAUAUUUUAAAUAUUCUAUUAGAAAUAUGUUUAAUUUGAUUCAAAUAAUAUAAAUAAUAGUUCAAUUAAGAUAAUUUUUUUACGGCAGAUAAACAAAAACGCCGCUAAAACACCUAGAUUAGCGGCGCUUUACAAAAAACCCCACUAAUUCCCCCCAAAGGCCACAAAACGGCACCGUCUGGGUGUAUUAUUUGCGGCGUUUUUUAUAAACGCUGCUAAUGUUCACUCUUUAGCGGUGCUUUACAAUAAACGCCACUAAUUCCCCCCCCAAAGGACACAAAACGGCACUGUCUGGGUGUAUUAUUUGCGGCGUUUUUAUAAACGCUGCUAAUGUUCACUCUUUAGCGACGCUUUACAAUAAACGCCACUAAUUCCCCCCCCCAAAGGCCACAAAACGGCACCGUCUGGGUGUAUUAUUUGCGGCUUUUUUAUAAACGCUGCUAAUGUUCACUCUUUAGCGGCGCUUUACAAUAAACGCCACUAAUUCCCCCCCAAAGGACACAAAACGGCACCGUCUGGGUGUAUUAUUUGCGGCGUUUUUUAUAAACGCUGCUAAUGUUCACUCUUUAGCGACGCUUUACAAUAAACGCCACUAAUUCCCCCCCAAAGGCCACAAAACGGCACCGUCUGGGUGUAUUAUUUGCGGCGUUUUUUAUAAACGCUGCUAAUGUUCACUCUUUAGCGACGCUUUAAAUAAACGCCACUAAUUCCCCCCCAGAGGCCACAAAACGGCACCGUCUGGUGUAUUAUUUUCGGCGUUUUUUAUAAACGCUGCUAAUGUUCACUCUUUAGCGGCGCUUUACAAUAAACGCCACUAAUUCCCCCCCAAAGGCCACAAAAUGGCACCGUCUAGGUGUAUUAUUUCCGGCAUUUUUUAUAAAUGCUGCUAAUGCUCACUCUUUAGCAGCGCUUUUCCUUAAACGCCACUAAUGCUCACUCUUUAGCGGCGCUUUUCCUUAAACGCCGCUAAUGCUCACUCUUUAGCAGCGUUUUUGCUCCAAACGCCGCUAAAAGUGCCGCUAAAAGCUUGUUUUGGUGUAGUGUGAGGCUAAAUUGUUGAAUUUUUUAGAUUUAGAUAAAAAUUAAUAAAAUGUGUAAACACUGAAUAGUUAAAAUUUUUAUUAGAUUAAUAAAAAAAAAGCUCAUGUUAGACUUUUAUAAUUAAGUUAAUGAUAGGAAAGACUAAAAUAUUUAAUUUCAAAAUGUUAAAUAAUUAAAAUUAAAUUAAAAAACAAUAAUUAAGUGAUAAAAGAAAACAGAUUGACUCAUUCCACAUAUUUAGUAUUUUAUAAAAGUAUGCUUCGAAAAUGUACAUUUAAAAAGUAAAUUAUAAUAUAGGGUGAUUUUUAUUUUGGUCAUUUUAGAAUAUCAUGAUUAAAAAAAUGGAUUAAAUUAAUUAUUGUAUCGAUAAAUUCAACUCUUACAUUAUUAAAUCAAUUUCUUAUUCCUUUUUCUUAUAUAUUUUUCAUUGAUUUAUCCAUGUUACCGUUAACAUGGAGUGUUGACAUUCAUGACAGAAAACCUUGGUUAGAAGGUAUUGGAGCAGAGGAGGAAAAGAAUAAAAAGAAAAAGAAGAUUGGGAAAUUAAUAAUUGAAUUAAACAAUUGAUGUAGCAUGUGCUUCUGAGGAUCAUGUCAGUAAAUGUCUGCAUUGAUUCCUCCCUCAAAUGUCGGAAAAUGCAACUACUUAAUUAUGUAUGCAAUAUAUCAGAAGCCAAUCUCUCCACAUGUAUGAUAGACUGGAAUCUAUGCCUAAGCAUAUACCAAAUCAUUUAUUCAUUGCAGAGUCAAAUUAUAGAGUUAAUUCAAGAGAUGUGCCAUUUCAUGCUUAAGAUCCAUUAAGGAACGGAAGGACAGAGGGGAAGGGUUUGCUUUAAAAUUAAUAAAAUUACAAAUUAAUUUAUAAUAAAAUUAUAUUUUGGCCUCCUUCAACAUGAGAAAGAAUUAUUUAGUUUCUUCAAAAAUAAUAAAAAUAUAAAUUAAUACAUCAUAAAAUUCUUAAAAAUUUUAUAAUUCUAUUUCGAUCCCCUUUCGUCCCUGAAAAGGAUAUGAUAGAGAUGAACCGAUAGAGGAGAUACAACGGCAGAAUCAAGUAGUGAGUUCCCAGGGUCCCAAAUUUGUGUUCACAAGGAGGAACUUGUAUUAAAUUCAUUAUCCUUUGCAGAUUAAAGCCUAAUGCUGAUGGCUAGGCUUCACCAUCACAAGCAAUGGAAUUAAGUUUAAAUUCAUCAUCAUCAUCAUCACCAGCAGCGACAUCUUCGACUUCAUGUAGUUCCUUGUAUCAAAGUAAAGAUCCCAUUCCUCUACUAUCACCUCUUGUUUAGCCUACUUUGCUUCAAUCAUCUGAUCUCCAUCAAGAAGGGAAUACAGCAACAUAAAUCUCUCUGGGAGGUGUUAAGGUUUCCUUGUUAUAAAUACUUGAUUUAUCCUGUCUUCCCUGUGUUUCACAUUGGAUUGUCAUCACUACAUAUUUUCUGAUACUCUUCUGUUUACUAAAACUCAUGUCUUUAACAGCAUUUGAAGAAGCAUUCCAUUUCAUUGAUUUUAAUGGUUUAAUUCAUAUAUGUAAUGAAUCAUUAGAUUGGCAGAACACAAUAUGGAAGAGCUUCAAUAUCUUUUCCCAAAAAAUGACAUGUUACUGUUGAUUUAAUAUUUAUGUCUUACUAUAGAUUUAAUAUACAGUCAACUUAAUUUUUUAAUAUUUAUGUUAUAAUAUUAUAUGUUAUUAUGGAUUUAAUAUUUAUGUGUUAUAAACUACAUACUAUAUAUAAAAAUAACAUAAUAUAAUAUAUUACAAAAUUAGAAAAUAAAUUCAGGCGAGCCCUAACUUAAUUCUUAUUUUAAAUGAGCUUAAUUUUUUUGUCCAAACUCAUUUUUCGGGUAGGUCUUCAGGUUUGAAUAAGUAACCCAACCCUUAAAUAUGUCUAUUACACAUACACGAUCUAAACACAAAUAAGGCUUUAGUAAAACUAGAAAAGUAAUACUUGAAACACCUAUAGAUUCAACAUCAUCGUAUGUUGUUUUAAAUUGAUUUUUGAUAUAACGACAAAUUGAGUUCUUAAUGUUUAUAUUUUUUGUCAAUUUGAUUAUUAUUCUUUUUCUCUAAACUAAAUUUGUUCAACGAAAUGUUUCCAUUAGCAUUUCCCUUUCCCUUUUAUAAGUGUUAAUACUUAUACAUUUGCAGUGUGUUUUUUUAAUUUUAUAAGCAGAUCUAUUUAUAUAUAUAUAUUUAAAAAUAUUUUUAUAUCACUUGUUAUCAUCUCGAUUUUACUUGUAGAGUCUACAAACUUCAUUAAUAGUGUAUUAAAUAUUUUCGGUUCUCCAUUUUUUGAGAUAAUUUCCAUAAAACAUACCUAUGCCAUACUUAAGGGUGUUUGUAUCUGAUAAACACCAUAAAAUUUGUAGGGUGAAUUAAACUCAAGGUUAUUAAACUAUUAGGAAGUUUACGUUUUAAUCAUUUAAUUUUAAAAAAGUUACAAAAUGAUUAUUGAACUAUUUAAAAGUUUUCAUUUAAGUCAUUGAGCUGUUAAAAGCGCUACUAUAUGGGUUUCUUCGUUCGCACUGCUUGCACCAAUAAAAAACUGUCAUUCUCCUUUUCUUCUACAGUUUGGUUUUUUUCAUGAAACAACUUUGAACGUCACUAAUCUGCAAACCAAAAUCCGAAUAACUUUCUUCUUUAAUCUUCGACAUUGAUCGUCAAAUUGACUUGGAUCUAAGGUAUGUUUUUCUAUUCGUCAAUGUGUAUUGAUCCACUGUAUUGAUCAUUGAAUUGUCACUUGGAGCUUGCUAGUAGAACUUAAAAAAAAAAACUUUAACAACCUAAUGAAUAAAAUAAAAACUUUCGAAUAAUUCAAUGACCAUUUUAUAACUUUUUGAAAUUAAAAUACCAAAAUGUAAGCUUACUAAUGAUUUAACGACCUUAGGUCUAAUUUCCCUUACUAUUAUUCUUACUUUGUAUGAUAAAAGAUGGGUAGAAAAAGAGAAACGGGGAAAAAAGAUAGCAAAAGGUGUUAUAAUGAAACAAAAGUCUGCAACUUUUUUUUAUAUCUAUCUCAUCAAUUUGAAUCUAAAUUUUCUUUUUAAAAAUGUAAUGUAUUUUACUACCGUUAAUUUAUUAAUUAAAAACUUACUUUGAUUUGUUGAAGAAUACUAUUGAAACAAUCCGAAUCUUAUAAAACUUGAUAUAUUAUUUCUUUGGUUUCUUCUCUAAGAUGGGUAGAGAUGAAAACCAACAUGCACUAUAAUAAAAAUUAUUUCUACAAAUUAACAUUUAUAAGUACCAGUAAAAGAUCAUAAAAUUUUCUUUAUUAAUAUCACUGAUUAGGGUGUCGGAGAAAAGUUUUCAGAGAACUUAACCACUAGUGUUGGUAUAAUGUUUGUAUUUGUACUAACAAAUCUUAAGUAUAGUGAUAAAACACAUUGCAUUUUUAAAGAAAAUCACAAAUUCGAAUUUUGGAAAUGAUAGGAGGAUUAGUCACAAAUCCCAAAUAUUGAAUUCUAAAAUAGAUACGGAGAAUAGAAAAGAAAAAUUAAUGAUCAACCAAUCCCACCAUAUUAAGAUCAAAGAUUCACAAUUUUAUGUGUUGUUUCAAGAAGCAGUUUAACAGGGCACUUUUAAUCAUCUUUCAAACAUAGCAAAUAAAAAAAAAUGUAGAGAAUAUAAUGAGUAACAGAAUAUAAUCAGUCAACUUUGUUUAUCUCUUUAUAUAUUUGUAAUUUAGUGGCAUAUCUUGUGACUGCAAACUACAAUUCAAGCAGCAAAGAAAAAUGAAUAUGGGGUCCUCUAAACUAAAGUAGGCUAAUAUAUUAUAUGCCUUCACAUAUUUUGGGUUCCAAACAAUUUUGACUGCCAAAAAUAUCAACAUUAAUCCAAAAUUAAUGCCUAAUAUUCAGCUUUGUAAAGCAAAGCAAAUGGUGCAUGAAUCCCCAUUAUGGAUAAUAAAGCAGGCUAAUAUAUUUUAUAUGUGAGGAAAAAAUAGUAGAAAACAGUCUCCUGUUAAUAGAGAUCAAAUUGUCUGAAAACACAAAGAAUGCUUGAAAUACAAUCCCAAGAAUAUAAAACCAUCAAAUCUCCAAAGUCAAGAUUCAGUACUUGCACACAAGAAAUUGCCAUUUAAGAAUCUCCUUAAAAUACCUCACCUUUUGGCUUUUCAUUUCGAAAUCAUCAUCUCACUUCAAUUAUUCAACGAACAUGAUCUUCCUUAUGUCCGUCAUUUUUGUCCGUCUCUUCAGACGCCUCACAUUCUGUAAUAACAAUAUGAGAGUUUGUAAUGGACCUUGACCCUGCCCCUAUGCCAAGCACGAGCAGCAAUGAAGAUCCACUUGGCAAACCGUUAGGAAGUAAUAGACCCCAACGGGAGAAAAGGACACCUGUGGUCCUGCAUGGAUACGUGGUGGGCUAGCCACAAUUUAGGUACCAUUCGGAUGAAUGGCAUUGGGUAUUGUUGUAUAAAUAAGGGUAGGUAUUACCAGGUGAGGCAUGAUAUCACUUUUUUUUAGCAAUAGCUGCUACCUCUCUUCUUCCCUCAGCUGUACUGAGUUUUCUAUUCCCUUCUCAAUCCUUCCUUUCUGUCUCAACCUUGUAACUCAUCCUCCAUGUACUCAAUGAAUCAGAAAUACUAAAAGUUUCCUUUAAAACUGUAAUUGCUUGAAUCCUUGACUAAGCCUUCAUAUUUUGGUGCUUUCAUUAAGCUCACUCCUCCUCCCUAUGGCAGACAACACCCGUUUGGCUCGCCUUGACACAACCGUAACCUCCUUGCAACACGACCUUUCCGCCCAAGCCACAGUCCUCAACAACCAAUCCACCGCCUUGAGCUCUCUUCAAUCCAUCGUUACUACCCAACAAAACACCAUGGAAGAUAUCAACCGACAGCUACAAAACCUAAAUAAAAUCCUUACUGAAAAACAACCCUUCCCUGACCGCCAGGCAAAACCCGAUGGGUUCACCACCGAAUCUUCCACUACGGGUACUCGCCGACGCCCAGUCAAUGAUGACGAUUAUAACCGCGACGAUUUCCCAUUUAAACCCAAACCAGCCCGUGUUGAGCUCUCGAAAUUUAACGAUUCAGACCCCGAAUCGUGGAUUUUCAAUGCCAACGAAUUCUUCGAUUUUUACGAUACAGAUGAUACUGUUCGGAUAACAAUGGCAGCUUUUCAUUUUGAAGGCAAAGCUAGGCGAUGGUAUAGAUGGAUGAAAACUAACAAGCAGCUCUCGUGUUGGGACCAUUUCACGCGUGCAAUGCUUGACCGUUUCAAAUUUACAACUCUCGAAGAACCCCAAGGUUUGUUGUCAAAACUUCAACAAACAACCACAGUCGAGGAGUACCAAAGCCGAUUUGAGUCUCUUUCCAAUCUAACGACCGAUUUGCCCCCUUCCUUUUUUGUGGAUUGUUUUAUAUCUGGACUACGAGCCGACAUAAAAAAUGAGGUUUUAUCUUUUCGACCCACUACACUUAACCAUGCCAUUAGUUUGGCCCGCCUACAAGAGGCUAAACUAUCCGAAACCCGAAAACUCUUAUUAAAACAAAUACCUUACCCCAACUCUUUCACUCCUGGGCUGCUACCAAACCCAUCAAUCCCACUUAAGCGUACUCCAGACCAAUCUAAAUCGCCAAUUCCUCCAGCUGCCCGUCGAUUAACACAGGCCGAAGCACAGCGUAGGAGAGAAUUAAAUUUGUGCUUCUAUUGUGAUGAAAAAUAUGUGAGGGGGCAUAAAUGCAAUAAACCCCAAUUAUUCCUUUUAGAUGACACCUACCCUAGUGACGAAGACAAACAAUCACCACAACCCCUUGAGCCUCCAACCGAUCGUCCAAACUCCACCGACACACCUAUUGACACCCCAACAAUUAAUUCCACCCCCACAGAUUCGACAGCCACUACAAUGAUUUCUUAUAAUGCUAUGUCUGGUUGCCUCUCUCCAGCGACCUUGCGAUUCAUGGGUUCGAUACAAGGACAUUCGGUUCAGAUACUUUUGGAUGGGGGAAGCACACACAAUUUUAUUCAGAGCCGUGUUGCUCAGUUGUUAGGCCUUGAUAUUGAUCCAUCGGCAUCUUUUCCAGUAUUAGUUGGCAAUGGGGAGAGUAUCCACAGUGAAGGGCGAGUAAAAAAUGUGAACUUACAUAUACAAGGUACUGAUAUUAUUACUGAUUUUUAUGUCUUACUUCUUCAUGGCUCGGAUGUAGUCCUAGGAGUGGCUUGGCUGGCAACUCUUGGCCCUGUCAUAACCGACUAUGCUUCUUCAACCUUUCAAUUCGGUACUGGAUCGUUGCAAGUUACUUGGCAAGGACUACAUGGCUCGGGUCCUGAGUAGAUUCAGCUAAACUCAUUAAGGCGUACCCAUGAAGUGGGAGCUGUUGCAGCAUUCUAUAGCCUACAAAUAUCGUUUGAUCCGUCCCAUACCACACCUAACACACCUACAGCUUUUACCCUAUUACUUAACCAGUUUCGAGACGUCUUCACUCGAACAUCUGGCCUACCCCCAACACGUCCGACGGACCACUCUAUACACCUCAAACCUAACUCCGCCCCGAUCAAUGUACGCCCCUACCAAUAUCCCCAUUUCCAAAAACAAGAAAUUGAGCGACAAGUAUCAGCAAUGUUGCAGGAAGGAAUCAUUCGGCCGAGUACCAGCCCCUUUUCCUCACCAGUGUUGCUAGUUAAGAAAAAGGACGGCACUUGGAGAUUUUGUGUCGAUUAUCGAGCCUUAAAUGCAGUAACAAUCCGUGAUCAAUUUCCAAUUUCGACGGCGGAUGAGCUCUUUGAUGAACUAUUCGGGGCUACAAUCUUUUCGAAGUUAGACUUGCUUACCGGGUUCCAUCAAAUUUUGAUUUAACCAGAGGACAUUCCAAAGACAGCUUUCCGCACUCAUGAGGGCCACUACGAAUUCCUCGUCAUGCCGUUCGGCCUUACAAACGCCCCCUCUACCUUCCAAGCCACGAUGAACGGUAUCUUUAAACUUUUUCUCCGUCAAUUCGUCCUCAUUUUUUUGAUGACAUCUUGGUUUACAGUAAAACACAGGAAGAUCACUUCAACCAUUUGCACAUCGUAUUUGAAACCUUGCAAGCUCACCACUUGGUCGCAAAAGAAAGCAAGUGUAUUUUCGGGCAGUCUCAAAUCGAGUACUUAGGACAUAUCGUCAACGGCAACGGACUUCAAGUUGAUCCUUCAAAAAUUACAGCAAUUCGUGAUUGGCCAAUUCCAGUUACUGUUAAGAGUGUCCGUGGAUUCUUAGGCCUGGCGGGAUAUUACAGACGUUUUAUUAAAGGCUUUGCAAAGAUCGCAGCACCACUCUCUAACCUUCUCAAAAUCGACAAUUUUAAUUGGACACCCGCGGCACAAUCGGCAUUCAUCCAGUUGAAAGAAGCCUUAAGCAGUGGACCUCUCUUGGCCCUUCCAGACUUUUCAGCCCCAUUUACAAUCGAAAUCGAUGCAUCCGGAACGGGAAUCGGCGCCGUAUUGGUUCAACGAGGAAAACCCAUUGCCUACUAUAGCCAAAAGUUAUCCACCCGAAUGCAAGGCGCACCAACAUACCAUCGCGAGAUGUUUGCUAUUACCCAAGCAGUGGGCAAAUGGAGACAAUACUUGUUGGGGAGACGAUUUUCCAUCAUCACGGACCAAAAAGCCUUGAAAAAUCUCACCGUACAAACAAUACAAACACCAGAACAGCAGCAUUGGCUCUACAAAUUGAUUGGGUUCGACUUCGAAGUAUUAUACAGACCAGGGAAGUUAAAUACAGUGGCCGACGCCUUAUCUCGCUACCCGACAGGCUGUCUUCUUACCUUGUCAGUUCAAGAAUUUACUCGACUUGCAGAAUUUCAGAAAUUAAAUAGCUCUCACCUCGAUCUAUUACACAUCCACGCUCAGCUGGCUGCUUGUAACUCUGAAUUUCAAGACUAUUCGGUGCAUGACGGAUUAUUACUCUUUAAAAACAGAUUGGUAGUGCCCACGGACGCCACCUUGCGUAAAGCUCUACUCGAAGAAUUCCACUGCUCAGUCGUCGGUGGACAUGCUGGAAUAUCACGCACCCUCUAUCGACUAGCAGCAAAUUUUUACUGGCCCUCCAUGCGUAAAGAUGUACAACAAUUUGUUCGUGAAUGUGUUGUUUGUCAAACAAUGAAAGCCUCUCAAUUGGCCCCCGCCGGUUUACCUCAAUCCUUACCCAUGCCAACACAAGUUUUCGAGGAACUCACUAUGGAUUUCAUCACCGGUCUCCCCCCAUCUUUUGGUAAGACAAUCAUAUUUGUCGUCGUGGAUCGAUUAUCCAAAUAUGCUCAUUUUUUUGCCUUGCCCAGUACCUUUACUAGUACGAAAUUAGCUGAGGUGUUUUUAAAUGGGGUGGUUAAAUUACAUGGAAUUUCCACAAAAAUAAUUAGUGAUCGGGAUCCUUUAUUCCUGAGUUUUUUUUGGGAUGAGCUCACUAAAUUACAGGGCACUACAUGAGCAUUGAGCUCUGCUUAUCAUCCAGAGACAGAUGGACAAACCGAGGCCGUCAACAAAGUUUUGGAAAUGUAUCUCAGGUGCUUUGUUGCUGACAUUCCUAACUCUUGGGUUAAAUUUCUGCCAUGGGCCGAAUAUUGGUACAACACUUCACAUCAUACCUCAGCCGGAAUGUCCCCAUUUAAAGCUUUAUAUGGCCGCGACCCACCAACAAUUAUUCGAUAUAUUCCAGGCACGGCUAAACUUUCAGCCCUCGACCAUGACCUGUCCAAUCGCGACAUUAUACUCCAACAGCUUAAACACAAUUUACUUACAGCCCAGAAUCGUCAAAAAAACCAAGCUGAUAAACAUCGUCGAGACAUCUCUUAUGCUAUUGGUGAUUGGCUUUUCGUUAAACUUCAGCCCUAUCGACAGCUUUCCCUUCGCCUGCACAGAAAUCAGAAACUCAGCCAAUGUUACUUUGGUCCUUUUAAAGUCCUAAAACGCAUUGGCACCGUGGCUUAUAAGCUUGAUUUACCGCCAUCUUCUCGCAUACACCCAGUCUUUCAUGUUUCAGUUCUGAAGAAAUGCAUCGGCAACCCCGACAGCCAAAGUAUUCCUCUACCCCUCAUUGACCCUAAUACUUCGAACCUUGCGGACAAGGUUCAUCUUGCAGAAGGGAGUAAUGUAAUGGACCUUGACCCUGCCCCUAUGCCAAGCACGAGCAACAAUGAAGAUCCACCUGGUAAAUCGUUAGGAAGUAACAGACCCCAACGGGAGAAAAGGACACCUGUGGUCCUGCGUGGAUACGUGGUGGGCUAGCCACAAUUUAGGUACCAUUCGGAUGAAUGGCAUUGGGUAUUGUUGUAUAAAUAAGGGUAGAUAUUACCAGGUGAGGCAUGAUAUCACUUUUUUUUAGCAAUAGCUACUACCUCUCUUCUUCCCUCAGCUGUACUGAGUUUUCUAUUCCCUUCUCAAUCCUUCCUUUCUGUCUCAACCUUGUAACUCAUCCUCCAUGUACUCAAUGAAUCAGAAAUACUAAAAGUUUCCUUUAAAACUGUAAUUGCUUGAAUCCUUGACUAAUCCUUCACAGAGUUGCAUUUAUACUCUAGCAUAUAAAUUCAACAUCAUCAGAUGGAUUUACAAUUAAUAUGUAUAUAGUUUUCUACGAAUUUCAUUACUCUGUACCUUCUUUGUUUAACUGCUCAAUGGCAGCAUUAAGGUCCCAACAUCUCCUAACAUCCCAUCUUGUUUCUACCUCUUGUAGCUUUGGCGUCCAUAAAGCUCCAUUGCAAAAAUUCUCCAUUGCGGGAUAGUCAAUCACUGCUACGUCAUGCAAUGAUGGGAACUUCAAAGUGCAAUUCCCUGAGCAAAAGCUUUUGAGGUUUUUUAAAUCAUAAAGCGCCAAACAUUUCAAUUCCUUGAAAAUAAUCUCAUGAUAUGUUUGUUUCAUCUCCAUCAAUUGCAAUUACUUCUCUUAUCAUUUCACAUUCUACUUUCGUAACUAUUUAUAUGAUUAAUAUUUUAACAAUCUAAUUAUUAGAUUUAAUAAUUCUAUAUUCAACAUCUGGAUCAUAAAAAUAUUAAUUAUAAAAAUAUUCUGAAAGCAUAUAAAAUUACUUUAAAUUUUACCUUGUGUAAGUGAAUCCUAAUCCUUUUUAAUAUAAUAUUUAACAAUUUAAUAAUUUUUAUUUAUUAAAAUUUUAUAUAUAAACAACUUAAAUUUUUUAAUGUUUACAUAUAAUAUUAUAUGUUACUAUAUAUUUAAUAUUUAUGUGUUAUAAACUACAUAAUAUAUAGAAAUAACAUAAUAUAAUAUAUUACAAAAUUAAUAAAUAAUCUCAAGCCUUAACUGCUUUGAACCUAAGCUCAACCCAUAUUUUAAAUAAGCAUAAUUUUUUUAUCCAAACUCAUUUUUUUUAGUAGAUCUUCAAAUUUGGGUGGAUAGCCCGCCUCUCAAAUAAGUCUAUAUCACACCCACAAUCUGAACACAAUUAAGGCUUUAGUAAAACUGGCAAAGAUACUUGAAACACCAAUAGGUUCAAAAUCAUGGUAUGUUGUUUGAAAUUGAUUUUUGAUAUAAUAACAAAUUUAGUCCUCAAUAUUUAUUGUCGAAACCUUUUUGGUGAUUCGGCUUUUUAUUCUUAAAAAAAACGAAGAUGGAGUCGCUACCAAUCCUUUUUAUUAGGUGUGAUCGGAUAACUUCGUAAAUUGAUUAUUUUAAUACAAAAUUUAGAUUUACUAAAACGAAAAAGAUUUCGGCUUUUCCCCCUUUCUGGUUGCGCCCUUUCAUUUCUCCUUUUAUUGAAGCCCAAACGAAACCCUAAUGGGUUCAGCGACUUUCGAUAUUGAGGGAGACCCUCGACGGUGGUGCGAGACGAAGCCAAGUAAAAGGUUUUAUAUUUAUUUAUUGUUUUCGACUAUAAAGAAACAAAGUAAAUCACAUUUCUUUUUGCUUAAUGUUUGUAUUCGAUUUUUAUUUUGAUCUUCUAUAUAAAAAUACAUGCGGUUUUCAUGGCUUUUAUAGCCAAAUAUUUAUUUUUGUAUUCUUUUUUGUUUCUACUGUUCUGCCAUUUCCACUGUUUUGCUUUCUGUCCUCUUUCGUUUUCUCUUUGCAAGUACCCAUGGUGGUCAACGACGACUAUAGGAGUCGUGCCUUGCCAUUUUGGUGCAAUAGUGGCAGGAGGCGCUUUAGGCCUCGGGCGGUGAGCACACCGACGUGGUGGGGUGCAGCGCAAAAGGGGUACUUAGGGUUUUAAGUUUUCUGAAAAAAAGUUUAGGUUAUGGGCUAUUGGGCUUUGGGUAUUAGGUUUAGCAGAUAGAUUGGGCUAUUGGGCUCUUUUUUGUUUGGGCCAAUCUAUUUUGUAAAUGGACUUAGACUUUUAUUUUUGGUUUUUACUUUGUUUAUUUAUUUCUGGUUUCUGUUUGGGUCGGAUGAAAUUGAUCCCUUACAUUUAUAUUUUCUGUCAAUUUGGAUACUAUACUUUAUUUUUUUUAGCUAAAAUUGUUCUCAACUUUUAAAAAGAAUCGAAUUUAACCAUUAACCUUUUAAAAAUAGCCAAUUUGCUUUUUUUAACGAAAAUAUUGACUAAAGAGUGAAAAAUUUUAACUUCGCAACUCUCAUGACAAUUCACAUAUAGUUCAUGUUAUUUUUUUUUGAAUUUUCACUAACUAUAUAUAUAUUUAAUGUUUUGAAUUUUUAUUCUUUGAAUAUUUUUUUAUAAUUUUUAAAUUAUUUAUUGAUGUGACAUGUAAGAUAAAAAAUGUCAUAUUAGCAUGAAGUGUACGUGGAUUAUCAUGCGGGUUGUCACACCUAUAUUGUUAAAAAUUAAUGUUUUAACUAGCAUUUCCAUUUAAAAAAAAAGCAAUUUGAUUAUUUUUGAAAUAUUAAUGGCCAAAUUUAACUAAAAAAAGAAAGAGUAAGGCUUAAAAUGAUAAAAAAAUGUAAAUGUUGAUAGCUAAAAUUGUCAUUAUGUCCUUUUUUUUAUGAAUUUCUUUUAAGAAAAACCAUUAGACUCUUUUUGAAAUAUUAAUAGUCAAUUUUAACUAAAAAUAAAAAAUAAUAAAAAGAUGUAAACAUUGAGGGCUAAAAUUUUCACCAUGCCUUAAUAUUUUUUUUUACAUAUUUGAACAAAAAAAAUCAACAUAAAAGUAUUUAUUAUUAUUUUUAAAUGGUUUUUAAAACUUUUAACAAUUGAGUUGCUGCAUGAGCUUGGGAAACUUUGGAACCUAAAAUAUUGCUUUUAUUGUUUAUUAUAAUAUUAAUUUAGCAUUAUAAAUAAAUUAUUGUAAUAUUAAUAAUAUGAUAAUAAAAAAGUAAUAUUAAUUAAUUUUAAAAAAUGUUUUUUAAGCAAAAUCUUAAAGUAAAAAAUAAUAGAUAAGUUUUAAAAUUAAAAAUAAGAAAAAUAAACUUUCAAAGAUUUAGGGUAGAUUUGGAUGAACAGUACGUCUACAUACAUGCGGUUAGUGUAAAAACAAAGGCAGCAGCGUAAUUAGAUACGAUAACUUGAGAAUAAAUUAAACACACACAGAGCACCCUUCAUCCAAACCCACCCUUAAUCUUGUCUAAACUGAAAAAUAAGAGAGUUCUACAUGAAAGACGGUUUCUUGGGAAUUUAUCAUGGUGCCUUUUGCCCUCAUGAAUAUUUUCCUCUAAGAAAAUAAAAAUGUUAUCUUGGCUAGUUGGCUAAUAUAAAAAUAUAUAUGUUUAUAAUUUUGGAAUAUGUUAGAUUUGUUUGAGGAUCAAAUUUAUAAAAUUUGUAAAUGCGGAAAGUUAAAUUUAUUAAAUUAUUUAAAAUUAAAAUCAAAUUAAUAAAAUACGUAAAUGUUAAAGACUAAUUGUAUUAUUAUAUCAAUUUAAAAACGGUCACAUCAUCAUUUUUAUUAACAAUUUAAUGAGUCUUUAGUUGGCUCCUUCGUUUGCUUUUCUUAUUUUCUUUUUUGUUUUUAUAAAAUGAGUUUUUCUCCUUAAAAAAAAAAAGGUCGGAGAGAAGCACACUAUAGCAAAUAAUGGUUCCACAAAAUAUUUUUCGUAGCAUUUUCCUUUUAUGAGUCUUAAUAUUUGAUACACUUGCAAUAUACAAUUUUUUUUAAUUUUAUAAACAGACUUAAAAAAUUGUCAUGUGUCUCAUUUUUUAUAUUUAUAUUUUAAAAUAUUUUAUUAUACCUCAUAAGACAAUUAUCAUCACAUCGACUCUAUUUGUAGAGUUUAAAAACUCCAUUGACAAUGUACCAAAUAUUUUUUUUGAGAUAAUUUCCAUAAAACAUACCUAUGCCAUAAAUAGGGAUGUUUUUAUUUGAAAAACACCACAAAAUUUGUAGGGUAAAUUACACUUGAGGACACUAAACUAUUAGUAAAUUUAAGUUUUGAUCAUUUAAUUUUAAAAAAAGUUAUAAAAUGGUUAUUGAACUAUUCGAAAGUUUUCAUUUAAGUCAUUGGACUGUUAAAAGCACUGCCAUGUGGUCUUCUUGGUUCGCAUCGCUUACACUAAUCAAAAGCUCUCAUUCUCUUUCUCUUCUACAGUUUAGUUUUUUUCAUGAAACAACUUUGAACGUCACUAAUCUAUAAAUCAAAAUCCAAACAACUUUCUUAUUUGAUCUCCAACACUGAUCAUCAAAUUGACUUAGAUUUAAGGUAUGUUAUUCUACUCGUCGAUGUGUAUUGAUCCACUGUAUCAAUUGUUGAAUUGUCACUUGGACCUUGCUAGUAAAACUUAAAAAAAAAAAAAACUUCAACAACCUAAUGAAUUAAAUAAAAACUUUUGAAUAGUUCAAUGAUCAUUUUAUAACUUUUUAAAGUUGAAUGACUAAAACAUAAACUUACUAAUAAUUUAAUGAUUUUGGGUGUAGUUUACUCUCUUUUUUUUUUCUUUUCUUCCUCGGUGUAAUUAUUUUUAUUCCAUAAUCAUGGCGUGAUUGGGAGUAUUGGCCAAAAUUUUGUACGAUAAAAGAUGGGUAGAAAAAGAGAAACGGGAAAGAAAGAUAGCAAAAAAGUGUUAUAAUGAAACAAAAGUCCACAACUUUAUUGGAUAAUGUCAUUUUCAAAAUUUAAAUCUAAAUUUUCUUCUUAAAAAUAUAAUAUAUUUUACCACUGUAUUCAUCCUAAUUAUUAGUAAAAAAACUUAUUUUGAUUUGUUGAAGAAUACUAUUUAAGCUAUUCUGAACCUUAUAAAUUUUGAUAAAUUAUUUCUCCUGUUUCUACCCUAAGAUGGAUAGAGAAGAAAACUAACAUGCACCAUAAAAAAAAUAAUUUUAUCAACAUUUAUUAGUAUCAGAAAAAGGUCAUAAAAUUCUCCUUAUUAAUAUCAACGACUAGGGUGUCGGAGAAAAGUUUUCAGAUAACUUGACCAAUAGUGUUGGUAUAAUGUUUGUAUUUACACCAAGUCUUAGACAUAGUGGUAAAAUACAUUGCAUUCUCAAGGAGAGACGUAAAUUCGAACCAUAAAGACGAUAUUAUUGGGAGGGGUAGUCAUAAACCUCUAACAUUAGAUUCUAAAUCAGGUACGCAGAGAAUAUAAUGGUUAGAGAUUCAACUUUGUUUAUCUCUUUUUUUUAUUUGUAAUUUAGUGGUAUAUCUUGCGACUACAAACUAGAGAAUACAAUUCAAGCAGCAAAGAAAAAUGAAUAUUGGGUUCCAAACAAUAUUGACUGCCAAAAAGAUCAACAAUUCUAGCUGCAAUCCAAAUUAAUGCCUAAUAUUCAGCUUUGUAAACCAAAUGAUGCACGAAUCACCACUAUGGAUAAUAAAGCAGGCUAAUAUAUUUUACAUGUUAACAAGAUCAAAUUGAAUGAAAACACAAAGAAUGCGUGAAAUACAAUCCCAAGAAUUAAUAUAAAACCAUCAAAUCUCCAAAGUCAAGAUUCAGUACUUGCUCACAAGAAAUUGCCAUUUAAGAACCUCUUCAAAAUACCUCUCCUUUUGUCUUUUCGUUUCGAAAUCAUCAUCUCACUUCAAUUAUUUUGUCCGUCUCUUCAGACACCUCAUAUUCUGUAAUAACAAGGGGUCACAUAUAACAAGAUGAGACUUGCAUUUAUACUUGAGCAUAUAAGUUCAAUGUCAGAUGGAUUUACAAUAAGCUUACAAGGUUACAAUUAACAUGUAUAUAUUUCUACGAAUUUCAGUACUCUGUACCUUCUUUGUUUAACUGCUCAAUGGUAGAAUUAAGGUCCCAAGUACAUUUUCUAACAUCCCGUCCUGUUUGUACCUCUUGUAGCUUUGGCGUGCUUAAAGCUCCGUUGCAAAAAUUCUCCAUUGCGGGACAUUUGCUCACGUAUAGUUCAUCCAAUGAUGGGAACUUCAAAGUGUAGUUCCCUGAACAAAAGCUUUUGAGGUUUUGUAAACCCUUAAGCUCCAAACAUUUCAUCUCCUCGAAAAUAAUCUCUUGAUAUGUUGCUUCAUCUCCAUCACUUGCAAUUACUUCUCUCAUCAUUUCACAUCCUCCUAUCUUCAGUGUAACAAGCUGCUCCAAACAUUGGGCUUUGGAGGAUGUAAUCAGCUCUACCAUCUCUUUGCAGUAACCAACCUCCAAAGUUGUCAGAUUUCGCAAAGAUGAGGAAGCACGUUCUAUAUUGAUUAAGCUGCCACACUUGUGAACUUCAAGAGUUUCAAGAUUAGUACAAAUGUGAUGGAGGGCAGAGCCUUGCUUCCAUAGAUGUGUCAUCUUAUCAACACCUUUCAAUGUUAACUGCUUAAUUCUUGGGAGCAACAUUGUCACGUCUCUCUCCUCACCAACAUCACCUUCGUAAGGAGACAACUCUUUAAAAUUGCAAUUGACCAUCUCAAUCUUUUCCAAAUUGGAAAAUCUUUGUAGGAAACGGAAUGAAAAAACUGUUGAAUCAUUGAGGUAUUCAGUGAUUUCAAGAACUUUAAUAUGGGAAAACAAGUCAAUCGCAAAUUGGCCACCGGUGAUCGUCGCAAUGUCAUCAGUAGUAAGUGAAAUGUGUUCCAGUUGAGGUAUUAUCUGAGAAGUCAACAACAAAAAAUGAUGAUAUGUUUGACUGGUUUUUGAAUUGCAGAGAAAUAGGAAGGUCUAACACAAACAUGAGGCAAUAAAAGAACCAAUGAAUUAAAAAACAGGCAUUGAUUAAUUUUGCACUUUUCAAUGCUUGAUUUUGUUGUUUACUAUUAUUAAAAGGAAAAAAAAGCCAUAAGAUAAGAUUAUUUUGAUUAAAAAAAUGUACUAACAUUUAAACAGGGGCAUUAGUUCAGUGAAAAAGGCUGACGUGUUAGGAACUUUGAAUUUAAGUCCCACCGUAUUCAAAUGCACAAGUUUUCUCUAUAUUUAUUCUGAUUAAUUAUCAUAUUCUUGGUAAAAAUUUGUUUUUAUUCCCAAAAUAUUUAUAAUAAAUUUUUUAUUUUUUAUUUCAGUCUCAACUUUAUUUUUGAUAUUUUUUAUGUUCGUUUUAUAGUCUAUAUAUAUAUAUGGGGUUUAUGAUUGCUCCUAAUGUUAUCUCUAAAAUUAGAAUAUGCGUUCUUCCCUGAAAGUACAGUAUACUUUAUUACUGCACCAAACACUUAUUAAUUCAAUCCCAACUCUUCACCCCUAAAAUAAAUCUAUGCUAGAUUUGGACAUUUAUUAUGAUACAUUCUAGUUUAUCUCUUUUUCACUUACUACCCUUGAUCCUUGGAUUAGAACUUUUAAAAUAAAAUAAAAAAUUAAAUUUUAACAUUUUUAUGUAUAGAGUUCACAAAAUAAAUUUUAUAUGUUGCCAAUGUCACUAUUGGGUUAAUAUGAAAAUAAAAUAUUUAAAAAUUUAAUAUAAUUGAGCGAUCAAAGAAGAAAAAAAAUUAAAUAGUUAAAAAAUUAUUUUACAAGUUUUCAUAGUUGGAUGAUAAAAAAAAAUUGGGUAAUAACCUUUUUUAUAUUACCAUAAGUGUAUGAAUUACUUCCAAGUUCCAAUUUUUUAAGUGUUGGGUUUGAAUCUUUGGAAAUCAAAAGAGAAAGAAAUUGGUAACAAUUCCUUUUGUACCAGAAAAAUAGAUUCCAAUGCCGUAUUCAUAGUCUUAAGGAUUAGGACUUUAUAGUAACAAGCAAAAUAUACAAGGAUCAAUUGUAAAAUAACUCUUUUAGUUUUGAAGACCAAUAUUUGUGUUUCUAGCUUUGUAUAUAGUUGUGGUGUCCAAAAUAAAAUGCUUGUCCAUUAAAUUAUAAAAAUCUGAAGUUAAUAAUGAAUUUUUUUAAUAAAUGAAAACUAAAUGCAUAUGGUUGAGAGGAAAUAAAUGAUUCAAGUUAGUGAUCUUAUGAACCAUCUUUAAAUGAAAUUCUUUGUAAAGAGAGGAUGAGAGACGUACCUUUUCAACGAGUAGCAGUUGUGACACUACAUGGCUUAACUUCUUAAUCUUUUUUGGCCAAUGUGUCUUCAGCCUUUUUAACAUAGGACACGUUAUGUGGUGCAUUCCUGGAUAGAAACAUACGAGAUUUGGUAAAGUCCAAAGUGCUAGGAAGGAUAACUGAUUAAAUUCAAACAACACUUCAUGUUGGUCUGAUUCUUCAACACUUUUGGAAACAAUCUCCUCCACCCCGCAACUAUCCACAAUAAGGCUUUUAAGUUGAUGAAGAUCUUUGGCCAUUGAAAAUGAAAACAAAGUUUUCAAACUCCAACAUUCUUGGACAUGUAUUUCUCGAAGAUUUUCAAAAGAAAUAUUUUCAUUGGAAUCCUUGUUGCAUACAUGCUUCAACUUUGGCAAGCGAAAGAGUUCCACUUGUCUUAAUUUACUGGUCACGAUGCAUGCUUCUUCAAUAUCUAAUAUUUGGAUUUGGAGUUGGAGUUGGAACACUUCUUCUAGUGAAGCACAAUCAGUUACUCUUAAUUUCUCCAACCUUUGGAAAACUCCAAGGAAAAAAUGUGGGAAAAUGUUUAACAAUGAAUCACAAUGCUCCACUUCCAACUCUUUCAAAUUAGAAAAUGAUUUUGAACAAGGCUGCUUAUACCACAUCCUCUUCACAUUCCUCAAAUGGGAGAUUGUGAGGUUCUCCAACUUGGGAAAAACAACCUACAAUGCAUUAUUCAUGCCAAUGAAAACAAUUAGUAGAAGAGGUAAAUAUCACAACAAGAGAAAAUUUUAAACUAAUAUUUUUAAUUCUCAAGUGUUCAAUUUCUUUAUAAUAUUUAAUAUUUUAAUAGUUCAACUAAGUCGAAAGUUCAAACCUAAUCGAGUGAAUUGUUAUGCUAUGUAAGUAAUAUGAGUUUGAAAUUUUAGAUUUGAAUUUUAUUUGCUAGAUAAAUUAGAAUACAUUAUGCAUAAAAAGUAUAAUAACUUAUUUCAAGUUGAUUAAUAUAGAUGGAAUUCAAAUUUAAUACUACAUAGGCCUUUAAUAAAUUCAUGAAUUUAAAAAAUAGUCAUGAAUGUUAUAUUUAUCCAUAUUUUGUCACUAAAUUUACAAUAUUUUUAAAAUCAAAGAUCCAUACAAUACUUAAUUGAGUUCAAAUUUCAUAGCUAAAUUAUCAUAAAAUCUUCAUUAAACUUCAUAGCUCAUAAGUAAUGAUUAGUCAUACGAUACAUGUUUAUUCUCAUGUGAUGCACAGGUGUGCAUAUCAAAUUUAUAAUAUUUUUUAUAACAUUAAUUUUUGUUUAAAAUAUUUAAUGAAUUUCUUCGAAAAUGAUUAAUAAAUUGAAAAGUAAUGUAAUUAAUUUUUUAAAAAUAUUUAAUUAAUUUAGAAUGAGUUAUAUUACUAUUUUUUAAUUUAUAAAAAUAUUUAAUAUAGCAUAAUUAAAAAAUUCAUCAUGGUUUGAAUAUUAAUAUUAAUAUAUUAUAAUUUAAAUAAUAUUAUUAAUAAAUUAUUAAAAAUUAUUUAUUUUAUAUAUAUUGUUAAAUUAAUUUAUUUUAAUGUCAAAAUCAUUAAUAUUCAAUUUUUUUUUGUAAUUUUAUAUUUAUCUUUCCUCUACUUUAAUCAAUCCAUUUAAUGAACUCUUAUUAUAUUUAGAAAAAUAUAAAUUUCAUUUGAUAAAUGUUAUUUUUAUGCAUCUUUUUUUUAAAACUAUAUUUUAAGCAUAGCAAUUUAAUAUUCAUUAAUUUUAAUAUGAUAACAUUAAAAGUUAAUUAAAUCAAGUAAAAUCCUAAAAUAAAAGAGAUAAUUUAUUUAAAAUCAAAUUUAUAUUUAACAUAUAAAAAAUUAUAAAUAAAAAAUUGAAAAAAAAAGCAUGCAAUAACUUAAAAAAAUAGAAGUCAAGGAGAAAAAAAAAUUUACCCAAAAUGUUAAUAACAACUUAAAUUAGAGAGUGUAAUGUGUAAAAAAAAAAACUAUAAUAUGAUGAUGAUUAUUUAUUUUCAUUUUUUGUAACCUCAUAUUGUUGUGGUAUGUAUAUGAUAUGAAAGAUACGCGAACAACCAUAGCCACAUAAAAGGAAAAUUAAAUGUAUAAAUGAAGACUUAUUCAAUAAAAUAAGCCUAACCUUAUCGGAGAAAAAUGCAGUAACGUUAUCAACUUCGUCACCAAUUAUUACUUCUUUAUCUUCAUCUCUUGAAAAUGUAGAAACAAAAGUAGUCAUGUUUGAACAGCCAGUUACCUUAAUUUUAACCAAGGAUGGAAAUUCAAGACAUUUACUUCCCCGAUAAAAGCUUGUCAUAUCUGGACAAGACUCCACUAUAAUGGAUUGGAGGCGAGGAAAUAUGCCAAUGAUCUUGCUACUAUCUGUUAUUGCUUCCUCAACCAUUGUAAUUGGACACUCUUCUUUGAUGACUUGUUCCAAAUUAUCGCAUCUCUUGAUUUCCAUUUGCCGGAGUUGCCCUAGGCUGAAGGCCGUUGAGAGGUAAAAAAUGUACCUCAAAUUGUUGGAAUCACAAAUCUCCAGAAAUUCAAGAGUUGUAAAAUCCAACAUUUUUUGAGGAUUUUUACUCCAUAUGUCUAUCAGCUCCGGAAACUUUGAGAACUUCAAAUGCUUUAGACCACGAUAUCCAACCUAAGAAGCAACAUAUCAAAAAGUCGAACUUUCAUAUCGACAUAUUUAACAAGGGUCCUACAAUGCUAUUGUGAAAAUGAAUUACACAAAUCAUAAUUAAAUGUAUAUAUCUUUCAAUGAAUUUUUAAAUCAGCACCUGCUCUUUGUAUAAUUGCUCCACCGUGGCAUUAAGGUCACCAUCCCAACGUCCCCUAACAUCUGUUUCUGUUAACUGCACUUUAUGCAGUUUUGGUGUGAUUAGCUUUCCUUGAUAGAAGUUCUUCAUUCUAGGACACUGGCUCAAAGUAACUUGUUCUAAGGAUGGACACCAUAAGGUGUAAUUCCCUGAACAAAAGCUUGUGAGGUUUUGUAAACAAUGAAGCUCCAAACGUUUCAGCACUCUAAAAACAAUAUCGUAUGAUGCUUCAUCCCCGUCACUUGCAACUACUUCUCUCAUCACUUCACAUUCUCUUAUCCUCAUAGUAACAAGGCACACCAAACUUUGGACUUUGAAAGAUGUAAUCAAUUCUGACAUCCCAUUGCACUUCCAGACAUCUAAAGUUGUAAGAGUUUUAAAAAAUGAGAGAUCUAAUCCUAAAUUAAUCAAAUUGUGACACUGCCAAACUUCAAGACAUUUGAGGCUUGCACAAAUAUGGUCAAGCAGGGAGUCUUGUUUCCACAGAUGUCUUAUGUUCUUAAUCAGAACCAAUUUCAACUUCUUGAUCUUUGGGAUCGUGAUGAUUAUGUCUUUAUCUUCACAUGCAUCGCUUUCAAAAGAAGCUAGCUCUUUGAAAUUGCAAGAACCCAGCUCAAGGCUUUCAAGAUUGUAAAACCUUUUAAGGAAAGAAAUUGGGAAAACAUCUGAUACAUUAGAGUAGCAAGAAAUCCGAAGAAUUUUUAUAUUGCAAAAUAAGUCGGACUCAUAUUGGCCAUCACUUAUCAUCUCAAUAUCACCACGAUUAAAUGAAACUUUCUCCAAUUGGGGGAUAACCUAAGAAGCAACAAAUAAGAACAAUGAGUUUUAUAGAGUAUUUGAUUUAGAAUCUCAUUUAAAUAGAAAGACCUAACACAAAAUAACAACCAUAAGAUAUGGUAUAAGCCCGUAAAGGAACUACGAAAUCAAAUGCUUGAAGUGAUGUGUAUUUGUAGUUUUAAUUUCUAUAUUAAAAAUAUGCAUGUUAGGUUUUCUUUAAAAAAAAAGCAAUAUAAUUUAUUAACUUGUAAAGAGUUACAAAAAAUUCGAAAUUAAAAUAAAAAUUUAGAGAUUAUUGGUUAGAUAGGAAAAAUAUGAAUUCGGUGAUUAUUUUAAUUAUUUUGUAUUUUCAAAUGAAUAUUUGAAUGGAUGUAUUAGUUGAGAGGUACAAAAUAAUUUAAAUACAAUUUAUAAACUUUGCCAAAAAAAAAAAAAAGGGUGUGGCAGUUCAUACCUUUUCAAUGAGGAAAAGUGGAUGUUGGAUUUGGGAUUCUUCAUGCCCAAAUAUCUUAAUCCUCCCACACCUAAAUAUCCUUAAUUGCUUUAGUGCAGUCCAUGUUGUUUUAUGCAUUCUUGGGUAGAAAUAUGUUAGGUAUGGUAGAUUCCAAAGUUCAAGGUAGAACAACUUAUUAAAUGCAAAACAAAUUUCCUGUUCGUCUGAUUCUUCAACGCUCUUUGAAACAAUCUCCUCUAACCCACACCUAUUAAUAGUAAGUGCUUCAAGUUGCUGAAGAUUUUUGGCAAUUGAAAAUGGAAACAAAGCUUUCAAGCUCCAACAUUCCUGAAUGCGCACUUGUUGUAGGCUUUCAAAAGAAAUAUUUCCUUUGUGAUUCUUGGUCCAAACAUGCUUCAACUUUGGUAGGCGAACGAGAUUCACUUUUUUUAAUUGACUGUCUAUCACAUAUGUUUCCUCAAUAUCUAAAUCUUGUACUUGGAGUUGGAACACUUGUUCUAGUGAAGCACAAUCAAUCACUAUUAAUUUCUCCAAUCUUUGGAAAAGCCCCAAAAGAAAAGGUGAAAAGAUGUUCAACAAUGCAUCGCAUUCCUUAACAGUCAACUCUUUUAGCAUAGAAAAGGAAUUCGUAUGAAGUUGGUCGAACCAUAUCCUCUUUGCAUUCCUCAAAUGGGAGAUUAUGAUUUUCUCCAAGUUGGGAAAAGCAACCUACAAUUCAUUAUUCAUGCCAAUGGAAACAAUGAUUAAAAGAGUUAAAUAUAACAACAAAAAGGAAAAAAGAGAAAUGAAAAAUUGUUGGUGCAAGAGGCAGCAACAAAAGAGAGAACAAGAGCACAGAACAUGAAGCAAGGUGCAAGAAACAUUUUUACUUGCUCACAAAUGUGCAGCAAGGGAGCUAAUGGCUGAUAGCUCAUUCAGCUCAUUCAUUCAACUAGAAAAAACAUACAUUUAUAGUCAAAUACAUCACCAAAUAGUCAACUAACCCCACUAAUCAGCAUUGAGACUAUUAAAACAUUGCUUGUACACAUAAACAAGCCACCUAAACUAGUCAUUCAACACCUAAUGCAUCAAGUUGUCAUCAACUUGUCCAUUUUAAACUAGAUUAAUUAGAAUGAAACUAAAGAGAAACCUUGCUGUUACAGCAAGCAUAUGUGCUGCAGCAUGUCAUCAAGCUGCAUGCACUUCAACCACAAAAUGUAACAGCAGCAUGGUUGGCCAAUUUCCAAUACUCCUCCUUGGACUCCAUGCUGCAAAUACCAGUCAUUCAUCAAGUUUUUUGAACUUGGCAGCUCUUAGAUGCUUUGAUUCAAGCUGACCAAUUCAUUUUCUUCUUGCACAAACAGUUCGUGAGUAUAGUUGCUUGCCUUCAUUCUGCCAUUUUGGCUUGCAAUUCGACAGGCUCACACUUUGCUUACUGUCUUCAAGAGGCUUGCAACUAUACAACACGCAUUGAGCUUCCACAUGUUGCUGAGCUCACACCUUUGACAGACUCACAUCUUUGCAUAUUGUCUUCAACAGGUGUCUUCAUCAGGCUCGCACUUUGCUAAGCUUGCAGCUUUGACAUCUUGCUAAGCUUGCACAUUUGGAAAGCUCACACCUUUCCUUUAAACUCCUCCUUCAGCUUAUUCAAGCUAGUUUGGGGAUCUUAUAAGUUUGAGCCGAUAUUAUCUUCUCUACAAGCAGUCCUUAAUGACUUGCUUGUGCUUUGACAGCUUCUUUCUUUUCAACAAGCAGGGGAAGCAAAAUCAAUGGUCCCGUAAGACAUAGGCUCAUGAUACCAAUUGUUGGUGCAAGAACAGAAUCAAGCAGACUCAGCAAGUAUCUUGUCGAGCAAGCCUUUUAACUUGCUGAGCAAACAAACAAUUUCGAGUUAAAGAAAGAAAGAAAAAGCUAAGAAAAUGGAGAGGAAUUUGAUGAACAAAAACUGAUUCUUUCAUAAGAUGAACAAUGGCAUAAUGCCAAUACAUAAACCAAGCAAUUUGCUUGUCAAAAUCUGCAUAAUGAUACCUAAUCAUCACCUACUACAACUAAUACAUUGAAACUUGAAAAACUAAGCUUGCACACUUAAACAAAGCUGACUUAACAGCUUAAUUGUCAUCAAAAUACAUCAAUCAUAAACCUAACAUAGUUCUAAAUGAACUAAAGUACAUUACAUUAACUUAAGAUUACAAGUUGAACAAAAUAGGUAUAGUUCAGCUCGUUCCAGCAGCUCCUGCAUGACUUGGUCUUGAUGGCCUGCAUGCUGUCGAGUUUGCUGCAUGCUGAACCAACUUCAUCAAAAAUGCACUGCACUAAAAAGAGCACCUUAUUAUUGAACAAAACUUCAUGGGUAGGGAUAUCUUUCCUCAUAGAAUUAUGGAUGAAUUCCUUCAACUCUGAACAAUUUUCUAUCUCAAGAAUCGUUAAGACUGGGAAUUCAACGGUAUAAUCUUCAUGGCAAAAUCCGAUGAGUUUCUGAAGAUCCUUCAAUUUGAGGGAGUUCAAUCGGGGGAAGCGGAUUAGAGCUCUAUUUUUGAAUGUUUGUUGGAUCAUCUUAUCCGUUGAUAUUAUCUCCUGUAUGCACUUGCAUUCACUAAUUUCCAAGCAUUUGAGCUGGUGCAAAUAUUCAGGCAUGGAGUCAGAUAAUACAUAUUUUAAGUUGGCGCAGCCCUCAAUGAUCAAACUUGUCAAAUUUUGAGUUGAACAAAACGCUUGGGAACUCCAUAUUCUUUCAAUGCCAAUUGAGGAUAGUUUCAACUUCUCCAGCUUAGGAAACAAUAUCUGCACACAAGCACUUGUUUACUUGCCAAAUCUAAUCUAAGGCAAAUUAAAAAAAAGCUCUUUAAUUUGAUAUUUCCACUGGCUUUAAUGCUACACAAAAUAUUAUAAAAAAAAUAUAAUUUAGUUUAUACAAAACAUUAAGUGAAUGUCUUGUGUAAUUGAAUAAUAUUUUGUGUAGUUUAUACAAAACUAUUGGAAAUUGGCCAACCAUGCUGCUGUUACAUUUUGUGGUUGAAGUGCAUGCAGCUUGAUGACAUGCUGCAGCACAUAUGCUUGCUGUAACAGCAAGGUUUCUCUUUAGUUUCAUUCUAAUUAAUCUAGUUUAAAAUGGACAAGUUGAUGACAACUUGAUGCAUUAGGUGUUGAAUGACUAGUUUAGGUGGCUUGUUUAUGUGUACAAGCAAUGUUUUAAUAGUCUCAAUGCUGAUUAGUGGGGUUAGUUGACUAUUUGGUGAUGUAUUUGACUAUAAAUGUAUGUUUUUUCUAGUUGAAUGAAUGAGCUGAAUGAGCUAUCAGCCAUUAGCUCCCUUGCUGCACAUUUGUGAGCAAGUAAAAAUGUUUCUUGCACCUUGCUUCAUGUUCUGUGCUCUUGUUCUCUCUUUUGUUGCUGCCUCUUGCACCAACAAUUGGUAUCAGAGCACAGAACAUGAAGCAAGGUGCAAGUAUCAAAUUCCUCUCCAUUUUCUUAGCUUUUUCUUUCUUUCUUUAACUCGAAAUUGUUUGUUUGCUCAGCAAGUUAAAAGGCUUGCUCGACAAGAUACUUGCUGAGUCUGCUUGAUUCUGUUCUUGCACCAACAAAAACAUUAUAAAAAUUGUAAAAAUAAGUGUAGUGGAUUAAAAUGCUUGCACUGGAUGAAGAAAAAAGUAUUUACAUACCUUUUGCUUGAAAAGGGCACUUUCUUGUGGAGAUAUGGAAGUUGAAAUUUCUUUUUUGGAGCAAAAGCUAAUGAGAUUCGGUAGACCCUGCAGUGUCAGUGACUCAAGUUGAAGAAAUUCAAUUUUCUGAACCGCAUCACUAUCUUUAAGGAUAUAUUGGACCAUCUCACCAUUUUGGAUAUGCAGAUUCCUCAGUUGCUGAAAAUAAUUCCCAACUUCUGAUUCAUGUAACAAAAUCUCCACACCUUUCACUUCAUCUAUAUAUAAAUUUUCAGCUUUCUUUAAUAAAACUUUAACUCCAUUAUUAAGAAAGCUAAUGUUUGUCCGCAGGUUAAGCUUUAGUGUUCUGGAGUAUUUAUAAACCCAAUCCCAAUUCCAAUCCCAAUGCGAUGCUUCUCCGAUGAAAAUAACGUACCUUUGCAACUUUUCAAAGGAGAAGCCUUUGGGAAUAAUCUUGGCAUUAGGGAUCUGAAUUUCUAAAGCAGUUAAACAUGACAAAGCAUUUAACUCAGCAAGACUUGAAUUGCUUUCGUUACUGGAGUGUCCCUCUGCACCCCAUUCAACAAGACUGUCAGGCAUAUACAGUUCUUCUAAUCUAGACAAUUUACACAAGACACCAGGUGAAAUUCUUUUGAGUUUGGAACAACGACGUAAAUUUAACCGCUUUAGCUUAGUCAGUUGUCCUAUUUCCUCCGGUAGCAUUUCAAUAUCAGACUCCAAAAUCGCAAAAAUUUCCAGAUUCUUGAGCUCUCCAAAAAGGGCUAUAUCUCCCAACACACAAUUAGUCAAGCAUAGUGCUCGAAGGUUUCCUAGCAAGGAAAUUGAAGGCAAGGACGAUAAAUUCAUGCCAGACAAAUAUAGGACUUUAAGAUUUUUCGUUUCCUUAAAAAAGUUUGCUGGUAUUUUCAUCCAAGGAUUCUUGCUACCCAUACUUAAAAAAGUAAGUUUGGGGCAUUUCAACUGAUCAGGAAGCUCGCUCAUACCAAAACAUGAUAUUUUAUCGCACUCUUUCACUGUUUCAUCAUCUGGCCAAUCAUUCGAAUCAUGUUUGUAUCUUAAAACAAACACAGAGUUGCCUCUAGAAGCGAUUGACAUGGCCACAUCAGAAAUAAGAUCAUGCAUAUCAAACUGCUUAUUGGUAUUACCAUCAAGUAACAAACAAGAGGCUUUGAGAUCAGUCACCACUGUCAAUAGUCUAUUCCGUGUUUCUUCAACUGUGUUGACACCAUGAAAUAACCCCAACCCCAUUGCAAACACAAGCAAAAGCUCAAGCGGAGCAUUAUGACCCAUUAGACUGCAAAGCAAGAAAGUCUGUUUAUGGUCCUCGCUUUGUAAACGAUCGAAACUCCACUCUAUAGUUGAAUAUACAGUUGCUGGUACUCCUUUGAAGUUGCUUGACGAUGGCUUGCUUAGUUGUCGCAAAGCAUCCUCCCAUACAAAUUGAGAUUUAUUUCUCAAAGACGUCGCAAGUGUUCUAAGGGCAAUUGGUAGACCACCACAUUUUUUAGCUACCUGAGUUGCUAUAGGCAACAAGUCAGAACUUUCAACACCAUCCCCUAUAAUCUUCUUGAAGAAAUGCCAUGCUUCUUCAUGUUCUAAAACGCCGAUUGGAAAACUCUUUUUAGCAUCCAUGUCCAACAAAACAUUAAGAUCUCUGGAUGUCAGCAGUAUGGUGCAUCCCUGAUCCUCGUCUCCCAAAGGAAUCCCCACUUCCAUCAGGUCUAAUUUUGCCCAAAUGUCAUCUAAAACAACAAGAAUCUUCUUCUCUUUCUUCAACCUUUCGCACAAACGACUUGCUCUUCCAGUCAUACUUUGCUCCUCAAAUUUCAAUCCCAACAUAUCUGCAAUUUGAUCUUGAAUUUUCUGGACGUCAGGAGUAUGAGUCACAACAGCCAUAACCACCGAGUCGAAUAACUUAUCUUCUUUGACUUGUCUGACAACUUCUUUCACAAGCGUAGUCUUGCCAACACCAGGCAUUCCGUGCACUCCUAUUAUGCUGACAUUAGGAUCUUUCACCGCCUCCAUGAUUUUGUUAAACAUCAGCCUUCUUGAAUCAAAGUCCUCAAAAUCUUUAGGAGAUACAAACAAUAUGGGCUGCGGGACAUCCCGAUAUGAUACUUUGUCAAACCCGCCUUGCUGGAGGAGUUCAUCAACGGCAGCAGCAUCUUCUUCUGCUUUCUUGCUAAGCUGAUAGCGAGCCUUGAAAUUAGGGCACAAGCCGAUGAAACACUUGUUCUUUGCUUCGUCUUCGAGACCCUUCACUUCCUUCAACUCUGAAUCAGUCAUUUGGUCGGCUUUCGCCAGCCAACUGUUGACUUCGGGGUAUAUAUUCUCACCGUUCUUUUCAGCAGCAUCAACAUCUAGCAGCACUCCGUCUCUUUUGUCUUUCAACGUCUCGACUUUCUCCUCGAAACCCGAAACCAUUCUUCUAUAGCUGCAAACAUGGCUGAAAUUACGUCUAACUUUUUGGAACACGUAUCCCGCAACUCCGGCAACAAGGUUGCUAACCGUGCCCGUAAUAACUUCCAUGUUUUUCUUGGGAAAGGGGUAUUCAAAACUCAAGCAAAAAGUGCAUGUGAUAGAAUAAGAGGGGAGCAGAUUCAAAUAAUAAUUAGGAAACAAGGAAACUGUUGUUACAAACAACAAGCUAAUGCGGAGCAGAAGAUGAUCAGAGGGGAGUAGGAGACAAAGAGUGAAGAAUUGGAAAAGGUUUAUUUUGUGGACUGAACGUAGCUAAGAUGGGAAAAUAGAGAAGGAAACUGUUGUGGGUUUUGGGUAGGCAGUAGCUGAGAUCUAAGUAACGGAGACGAGGAACCUGCAAUAUUCAAGCACAACAACCGAUGACUUUCAUGUGGAAAGUUAAAAAAGAUGUGGGACUCAGACAUCAAUUUCUAUAACUAUCAUCCUAAAUAGUAUUGAAAUGUAGAACUAUUGUUUUUCGAUAUAGAUAAAUGCAAGUUCGGAAAUAAUGGUAUGAAAUACUGACAUCAUAUUUAUAUACUUUUUAAAAAUUUAAUGUUAAUUUAUUCUAAAUUUCAAUAUUUUCAUUAAAAUUUUGAAAUUAAGUUAUUUUACUCGCUUGUCUUAGUUCUUUUCUCAUGUUCUUUUCACAAAAUCAUCUUUGCUUUUCUCCCUUUCUUUCACCAGCAUCGUCCCUUCUCUCAUCGGCGACAUUAAACAAAUCAAAACGCGUUGAGCUAUCUCGAUUUUGGUACAGUCUCUAUUUUCGCUAUUUCAGAAAUUAAACAUGUGACCUUAUUUAUUCUUGCUCUUCUAAUCUAAAUACCCAUAUCAUUUUGGACUAUUUUAUUUGUUCCUUUUUCAGAUAUCUAAUAAAUAUUAAGUUUUGGAUUUGGUUUAUUUCAAGGGUAAAUUACAACAAUAGUCACUCGAAUUUGAGGUAGCUGAUAAAAUAGUUACUCUAGUUUCAAUUCAGUCACCUAAUUUUCGAAAAAUAACAAAACAGUCACUAACAUUAUCGAAAAGUGACAAAUCAAUCAAUCAUUAACAUUUUCCAUACAGACCUAACGAGACAGGUGACGUGACUAGUUAACUAGCCACGUUGGAUGUCUACAGUGAAAACCCACCCAAUUUAAGAAGAAAUUGAAAAAAGAAACCUUAAUAACAAUGAAGAAGAAGAAGAUGAAGAAGAUGAAGAAGAAGAAGAAAAGGAGAAGAGACUGUAAAAUCCCUCUCAAAAUCUCCAACGGCCCUAAUACGACCGACCCCACAAACAAACCUAUAGCACUGACAAGUACUCCGACCACCACCACUUGCAUCGCCAUUAAACCGGGUUAGGGUUUUUUCCCCAGUAUUCUUCUUCUAUUGUGGAUAAAUUUCAAAGGUUAAACUUUGUCUCAUUGGAAACUUCUUCCUGAAAUACUAAAUCACCAAAAAAAAAAAAGCCUUCUCGCCUAAUUUUGGUCAAUAACCUUACAUAAGUAACCAGAACAAAAAACAAAGAUUGAAGGACAAUAAGAAGACUAAAAUAGGAGAAAGAGAGAAAGAUAUUUGUUUUUGGUAUUUUACCAGUUUCUAAAUCCUAAUUUUGGUUUCAAUUUCUUUUUAUUGUCCUUUCCUUUCUUUUCUUCCUAACAAGUUUGACAAAGUGAUUGUACAGAGUAAACAAACAAGAUGAAAAAGAAAAACACUCAACAUAGAGAAUAAGAAAAAAAGAGAGCAUAUAGAUCAAGGUUCUCCCCUUCCAUCUUUUGCUUCCUCACUGUUUUUUUUCUUUUUUGUUCUGGUCAAAUACUUCAAGUUAACAGGACGGUGUAGAGGUCGUCGUUUCCACGUGGGAUGCCAGCAUGGCAAGUUAACGGGCCACUUCAGUUUUUUGUUACAUCUGUAAUGGUAGUGACUGUUUUAUUAUUUUUCGAAAGUUGAGUGAUUGAAUUGAAACCAAGGUGAUUAUUUUAUUAGCUACCCCAAAGUUGAGUGACUGUUGGUGUAAUUUACCCUUAUUUCAAUUUUUUUAAUUUUCUUUAAAUAAUUUAUUUCAGAUUCGCUAUGUCUUGGUUAAAGCUUGUUUGUGACAUUGGCUGAAAGGCUGUGAAAAAUCUGUUGAAGUGUGAUAAGCAGUGCAAUUUUUUGUAUAGAGACAAUAAAGAUUUAAAUGAAACAGAUGGAGUGUGAUGAGAAGAUGGGACUAGUGGUGGUUUUUCUGGGAUUGAGAAGUCAUAUUCAUGGCCACGAGUUUUUUCUUAAGCUUGGUGUUAUGGUAGUUAUUGAUAUCAUUGUUAAUCCUUCUUAGUAACCAAGCAACUAUUGUUGGACAUAAAUAAUGUGGCAUCAAACUAUUAAGAGCCUAUAUUAGCUACAUAUUUGUGAAUUAUUUAAGUAUGUUUAUGAUAAAAUCAUAUUUAAAAGUUUUAUUAAUUUCUUAAAAGCAUAAUCAUUUAUUUGGGCUAAAUUUGAGGGAAAUGCCGAUUUUGAAAAAAAAAAAAGAAAUAUGUCAAUUUUUAGGAUAUUUGGAGAAAUAGAUCAAUUUUAGAGAAAAAAGACGGAAAUAUGUUUUGUUGGACGCUUUUUCAUCUUCUCCCCAAAAUCAGUCAUUUCCUUAAUUUUUUUCCCAAAAUUGGCAUUUUCCUCAAAUUUAACUAAUUUAUUUGGCUCUUUUAAUUUUAUAAAAGAAAAUCAUUUUAGUUAUUUAUUUAAUUUUUCAUCUCUUUUAGCUCUUAAACUCCAUGGAUUUAUUUGUUAAAUGGCAAUUGACACAUACAAUAAGUCUAGUUGCUUCUUGUGGAUUUCAUACCCUUGUUAUGCAAAAAUGGGAUAUGCAUUUGAAAUGGAGGCUAUUAUAUAAAGCAAAAGGGAUACAGAAAUGAAUUGAGUAAUCUCCUCCUUUGUUCAAGAAAAAAUCUUUCUAGUUUGCAUAGAUCAAUCAUUAAUCCCAAAAAUUUCUACAAUAAAAUUAGAUAGAUUACUAAUAUAGUUCCCUAGCAAUUUACUUUUACUAAAAAUUGGAAAAAGAAGAAGAUUGAAACAGGAGAAAUUGUGUUCUCUUGAUAGUAGAAAGAGUAAAGCAAGUACAACUUUGCAUAUCUCGAAAGUAAGAAAGAUUAUGACCGAACCUGUCAAUAAUUUUUAGUCAUUAAUUGAAUAAUAAAUAACUACAAAGGAUGGAGAUAUGCAAUUUAAAUAACAAAAAAAAUCAAAUAUUUAAAAAUUGUAUCUAGAAUUUUUUAAAAUAUAAAAAAUUAUAGAGUAUUAUUAUAAUUUUUAUUAUUAAAUAAUUUUGAUAAAUUUUACACUUUUUUAUUUUUUUUUAAAAAUUUCAAAAACUUUUAUAUAUAUUUAAAAUUAAUUAAUUGUUGCUGUGACAUACAGGUGGAUGUCAUUUUAACAAAAUUAACAAAUAUCAACUUUUCUAUUUAUUUUGAAAAAAAACAAAUUAAAAAUAAAAAAUAAAAAUAAUUUUUUUAUAUACAAAAUAAAAGUAGUAAAUAGAUGAGUACCCUUUUUAAAAGGACUAUGAAUUUAGUGUGGUACUUUAAAAGGGGAAUAAAUUGUUGUUUGUGGUGCAAGUGGUAAGAUAAAAUGAAUGCCACUUCUCUCCUCUUAAAGCAUGCUUUUUGUUUUCUUCUAUUAAGUUAUUUUGAUAAUUGUAGGUGGAAAUUAAUUAAAAUGACAACAUUUACAUACAAAUGAAAAAGAAAUAUUUGUAGCUGUCACCUUUUAAAUCAAGUAAAAAUGAGCUGGGAACACUAGUUUGAGAUUACUGAUGAGACAAAGUGGUGGACUAGUUUUAUUUAACACAAAUUAAAAACUUCAUAUAUUUGAUUUAAAUUUAACUAUUAUGACCUUCUCUUAUAUUUUGAUAUAAAAGGAAUAGUCAAAUACAAUAAAUUUAAAAUAUUAAUAGUAGCAAAAUAUUUAGAAAAUUAUACCAUAUUUUCUAUUAUUUAAAAAAUUUUAUUAAUAAAUUCAUCCUUAAAUUAUAUUUCAAUUACCAUAUUAUUCAUUAAAAAAGAAUUUGAUGAUAAAUUAUUAAUUUUAUCUCAUUUUGUCUAAAAAAUUAUACGACAUCUAAUAAAAAUAUUGCGGUCAUAUUCUUUUUAAUUGCAAUUGUUUUUUUAGGUUUAAAUAUUAUUUGUAAAACAAACUUUAAACAUAAAUAUACAACUUAAAAUAUGAUUCAAAAGUGAAUUUAGUAAUAAAUUUAUAUUAAAAAUAUAUCAAUAUUUUCUUUUUGUCAUAAAAAGGAAAUCCUAAAUUCACAUCAAAUUAAAUUGAGCAAAAGCACCAUUGACUUUGUCUUGUUGUACUAUCCCUAGAACUUCAUUAGGUGUGUCUUCAAAAAUUUGUAGACUUGACCUGCACACUAAACUUAAUUUAGCCAGACAAUCAGCAACAAUAUUACUUUCUCUUGGGAUGUCUCAGAUCCACCACUAUUAUUAAACCUUUAGAAUUUGUUGAAUCAUUCUAAGUACUGUAAUUCCUAAAUUUGUCGUCAUAUUUUUAAAAUAUAUCAUUAUUUUUAAACUAAAGGAAAAAAAAUCAUUUGAGAGGACCAAGACAUUUGUGCCACUUGAAAAGGAAAAGAAAAGAAAAGGAUGUAUGUUGGAGAGAAGUAAUCCCACUAAUUAGUAUUUCCUUUUCUCUCAUUCCAAUCUAAUUAUCUUCUAUUUGUAUAUUUUAUUAAAAAUUUGUUUUCAAAAUGACAGGAUUUAGUGUUGGAAGAUAUGGUAUCCUCUUAAUUCAUUAACUACAACUUUUUAUUAUAAUAUACAAAUAAAAUAACAGUAUCUGGAAGGAAAUGAGAGAAAGAAAAAAGGGUUAGUGGGAAAUUAGAUCAUCUUUUAUGUUCUAAAUUUAAGUGCUAUCACCUUCUUUCUGUCUUUUAUUUUUGUUUUUGAAAAGAAAUUAAAAGGAGUCGAUUGAGUGGGGAAUUCGCUUUUUAAAAUAUUCAACAAGGACGGUAAAAGGAGGGAAAAAUAAUUAGGAGCGAGCAAAAUUCGAAUCGAUUUAAAAAAAUGAUUUUUUUUUAAUUUUGAGUUAAUCGAAUCGUGUUGUUUAAAUUAUUAGAGUCAACUUGAAUUACUUAUUCGAGUUUCGAGUUAGAGUUGAGUUGAAUUUUACAAUUUGAAUAAUUUGAAUAACAAAUUGGUAUAAAUACCCUUUUUGAUCCCUGCCAAGUUUAAAAAUGAACAAAUAUGUCUCUCUUCGAACAAAAAUUAUAAAAUAAACAAAAUAAUUUUCAAGAAUUCAAGAAUUUAUAUUUUUAAAAAAUUUCAAAAAAAAUUAUAAAAAAUAUAUAAAGAAAUAUAAAAAAUUAAAAUUUUCUAAAAUAAUAAUUUUGAAGACCUAAAUAAGUUCAUUAAUGGUUCAAGUUUAUCAUACUAAAGGAUUCUUUUAUUAUUUUGCUUUGAAAAAGUUUUCAAAUAUAUAUGGUUUCAAUUUAUGUGCUUUAACAUAGAAUUAGUUAUACUGUAAUAAAAUUUUAAUUUUACAUAAUUAAUUUUUUUAAUUUAACUCGAUUCGAAAAAAAAUUUAAAUUAAGUUAAGAUAAAAAAAUAAGACUUAUCAACUCAAUUAACUCAAAAAUUUUUCACUCGAUUCGAUCAAAUGUUUCUCCCUAGUAACAAUCAAUUUGUCCAAAAUCUGUAUUAAAUCUAUAAAUAAUUAUGUAAAACUUGCUUUGAUACAUUGAACAACGUUAUUGAAGUGAUCACAAAAUUGGAAAUUUUAAUCAUCCAAUAUGGUUAGGGAAGAAAAAUAACAAGCGGUAUAAAAAAAUAUUUACUUUUACCAACAUUUAUAUGUAUCGGUGAAAUGCCCCUAUCAAGUGCAGGUCAAAAGUUUUCGGCGAGCCUGACAAUUAGUUUAUAUUUGUUGGAGUGACUUUUCCGGCGCUUUAAAAUACCGUUCUAUAUUGCAUUCAAGCAAUUUGGAGUUCAACACAUGUAAAAACCUCCAUCUAUGUCACAAGCUCCAAGCGUUAUGGAGUUUCAGUAUCAUGGUGUUGACACUAGUACUAGUUAGAAAUAGGGGUGAGUGUUCGAUCGAAUUGAAUGAAAAAAUUUAAAUUAUUCGAACUGACGAAUCAUAUUUUAUCAUCCUAACUUGAUUUAAAAUUUUCUCCAAUCGAGUCGAGUGAGAUGAAAUUCGAAUCAAAUAAUUAAAUUUGUUAUUAACUUUUAUCCCAUUAUAAUUUAUUUAUUAAUAUUUUAUAUAUGGGUUAACUUCUUUGCUUGCUUAGUUGUUUCAAUUAUCUUUUAAUUUUUUUUAUUAUGUAUUUCGAAAUUAAAAAUAUAUUAAAUGUAAAAAAUGUUAUUUUUUAAUAAAAAUUAUCUUAAAAAUAAAAUGUAAAAUUAAUAUCUAUAUAAAAUUUUAAUACAAAUAUUUUAUAGCAUCAUCAAUAAUUCAAUUGUUGAAUUUGAGCUACGAAAUUUUACUACAGUUAUCGGAGCAAAGCACGUAGAAUUCAUAGUAAUCAGUUCAUUCUAUUCUGAUUCUUGACAAAAUUGUAUAGAAAAUAUAAAGUUAAAUUGUAUAAGAACUAAUUAAAAUUUAGUAAAAGAGAGAAAAUGAUAGUGUGAGAAUAGAGAAAGAUAAGGGGUAAGUGGGGAUUAGCUUUACGAAACACAAACAACUUUUGUUUAUAAAAGAAGAAGACAAGAGGUGUUGAAACUUGAAAGGUGCUUUUGCUUUUAAAUGUUAUAUCUCAUUGAAAUCAUUAUAUAACGGAACUGUUUCAUGACAGAAUAUUUUUCACAUUAUUUGUUUUCUUACCAUCGAUGUUUCUCGAGGGACCAAUUCUAAAAAAUUCAAAAAAUUUAUUGAUAAUUAAAAUUAAAAUAUAAUUUUUAUAAUAGUAAAAAUAUAAUUUUAUCAUUUAAAUAAUUUAUAUUGUUAUAAUUUUUAAAAGAUUAAAUUAAUUUUUUUUAUCAUUUUAGAGAUUAGGAUCCUGCCCACCCUUAACUACGCUUAAUUUCUUUUAAAAUUAUUGAUAUAUUAUUCUAAAUAAUUAAAUUUACAUUUUUAACAAUUUUUUUUUGAUAUUAUUUGUUCCAAACUUAACUAUUACUAUAAAAUAAUUGAAGGGGCGUGGACGGUGGACUGCACCAAAUGGUCAUCAUCACCUUUAAAAAAAGUUGAAGGAGCCAUGAUUGCCUUGAAAGAACUAACAUCCAAAUGAGGGAUAAAAAUAAAAUAGAUAAUUAAAAAAUGGGGUCCGAAUUUAAAAAGAAGGAUUUGAAGGCACCCCAAACAAAGCAAGGCCCACAUUACAAGAUGAGCAAGAAAAGACACCACAUCAUACUACAGCAGAUGUAGCAAGCAGCACCAAAGUCCCACUCAGCAAAAGCAUUCAGAACCAUAAAAAAAAAAAAAAACAAGGCUCGAAUACAAUCCAAAACCAGUCAGGCCCCGUGAAUUUGCCAGGUUCCCUAUACUGACUAGCAAGCUGUUGGCUUAGAGCAAUAUGAAAGCCCUUAUUUUGUGGUAACUCUGAACCCCUUAAUUGCAUGUAAAGGCUCAGACUCUACUAAAUCACAUAUCUAUAAAUCCAAGAUUGGAAUUAAAGAUGAUGAACCAAUUCCACCAUGUUCAGAUCAAUGAUUCACUAUUUUAUGUGUUGCUUCAAGCAGCAUAAUGGAGACAAUGAUGAAACAUGCAAAGCAGAUUUAACAGGACAAGUUUAAUCAUCUUUCAAACAUAGUAAAAACAUGAAGUAGAGAAUAUAACCAUAUAUUGAGCAACACAAUACAAGCAUGUUAGAGAAAAAAGAGACUCUAUCUAAUUUGAAAUGUUUUGAGCUUGUUUUUGGUUUUGGAAUCAUUUAGAAACAGUUAGCUUGCUAACCACAGAUAUUGACUUUCCAAAUAGAAUUGUUUCAAGUAGGUUUAAUUAUAGCACUAGUCUCUAACUCUUCCAAGUUUUGAAAAUUACUCCCUCUAUUUUUAACUCUUAAGGACGUAGUCUCAUACUUGUUUGAUUUAAAAAUUAAAUUUCAGUUGAUGACUGAUAGUCACGAAACCAACUAAAAAUAUGACAAAAGCAAGUGCACCUAUCGAGAAGUAGUAUAGCUACGGUGAAUAAAUAUAUAGCUUCUACAAGGACUAAAAGUACUAGUAAUUACCGUUUUCCUAUUAUUUAAACGACAAAUUGGAAUAAUUGAUUUAAACUAAAAUUACUAAAUCAACUAACUAAAGAACUUAGGAAAGAAUAAAUUAGGAAAAUAAUCGAAUAAUUAAUAAUCAAGAGACGAAACAAUACCCAGGAAAUAAUCCACCUAAAUUUAAUCUGUCAUUAUGAAUCUGAAUUAAACAAUUUAUUCACUAGGUAUCUUGAUCCAUAGAAAUCCCUAAAUUAUGCUUAUACCUCUAUUCAAGCAUAAAAGCAACUGACUCUAGGUUGAUUAAUUGAAAUAAUUUUUUCUAAUUAAAACCCUUAUUGUCGAAUUAACUCGAUCUAUGGAUCCCCUUAUUAGAUUUGACUCUUAUCUAGUAUAUUUAUGUCGUUCUAUUUCUAGGAUUGCAUGCAACUCCACUCAAUUACGCUAAAUCUACUCUUAAACAAGGUCAAUUCCUCCUCUGAUUUAAGCAUAUCAAACAUAGAUUAAUAGCAUAUUAAACAUUUGCAACUUGUAAUCAACCACGAAUAUGAGCUUGCAUCAAUAAUAUGAGAUUGGGAAUGUAUAUUUAUAUGAGUCUCCUUAUAAUAUGUUUGAGCUAUUAAUUUGAGAUUUAAUUAUGACAUGAGUUGUCAAUUUUCCAAACAUUAGGAGGAGAGGAUAAAAAACUGGAUUAAUAAAUUACUUGAAAUGAAUUAUCAAUAUCUAAGAUCCUCGUACCAAGCAACGUGAACCAGAAGUUCAACAGAUUAUUCAUUUUACAAAUCAACUGACAGAUUCAUUAAAUCUCACAUACCACCUGAAAAUACUCCAAUACGAAUUGAUGUCCUAAUAGGGCAAACUGUUAGUGCAAAAGAGAGUAAUCCAUACCUGAAGCGUGGAAGACUGGUAGGUUCCAAAGAUAAAAAUCGCCGUAAAAGAAAAGGAGCAAACAUUCAAGAUCGUCAUAUUGUGGGUGUGAGGGAUCAUGAAGAGACCCAUGACAUAACUAAUUAUAAAACUCAAGAAGAGAUUCAGGUGCUUAAAAGUGGAAAUGAAAAUGAUGAAAAUAAAGAGAUCUCAAUAAGUUAUGUCAAUACGAGAAAAAGAUAGAAUUGAAAAAAAUGUAGUUGUCGACAAGAAUUUUGAUUAUAAUUUUGCUAUUGAAAUAAUAAAAGAAAAUGAGGAUCCUGAGUCUAAAUCUAUUGAGGAAUGUAAAAAUAGAAAAGGUUGGCCAAAAUGGAAAUAUGCAAUUCAAGCAGAAUUGAAUUCACUUUCUAAAUGUGAAGUUUUUGGACCUGUAGUCCAAACACCUAAAGGUGUAAAGCCGAGUAGGAUAUAAAUGGGUAUUUGUGCGAAAAAAAUAAAAUUGAUAAAGUUGUAAGAUAUAAAGCUCAACUUGUAGCAUAAGGGUUUUCGCAAAGGCUCGACAUUGAUUAUGAAGAGACAUAUUCUCUUAUGAUGGAUACAAUCAAGAUUAGAUUUCUUAUUAUUCUAGUAGUACGUGAAAAACUUGACAUGCAUCUAAUGGAUGUUAUUAUAUCCUAUUUAUAUGGUACACUUGAUAGUGAAACUUAUAUGAAAGUCCCUGAAGGAUUUAAAAUCCCAAAAAGAUAUAGAGUUUCUUGAGAAAAUUGGUCAAUCAGAUUAAAGAAAAGUUUAUAUGGAUUAAAACAAUAUGGACGUAUGUGGUACAAUCGUCUUAGUAAAUACUUGUUAAUAAAAAGGUUACAAAAAUGAUCCAAUUUGGCCAUGUGUCUUUUUAAAAAGGUUUGGGUCAGAUUUUGUGAUAAUUGCUGUUUAUGUUGAUGAUCUAAAUCUUAUUGAAACUCUUGAAGAGCUUCAAAAUACAAUAAAUUGUUUAAAGAAAGAAUUUGAGAUGAAAAAUCUUAGAAAAACAAAGUUUUACCUUAGAUUACAAAUCGAGCAUUUAAAAGAUGUAAUUCAUAUUCGUCAAUCAACUUAUACGGAAAAGAUAUUAAAGAAAUUUUACAUGGAUAAAACACACCCAUUAAGUACUUCGAUGGUUGUAUGAUCGUUAGAUGUAAAUAAAGAUCAAUUUCGUCCUUGCGAGAAUGAUGAAGAGUUUCUUGGUCUUGAAGUACCAUAUCUAAGUGCCAUAAGGACAUUGAUGUAUCUUGCAAGCAACAUAAGACCUGAUAUAGCUUUCUCUGUAAACUUGUGAGCAAGAUUUAGUUCUUCUCCAACAUGUAGACAUUGGAAUGGAAUAUUUUAGAUAUCUCAAAGGGACUAUUGAUAUGAGGUUAUUUUAUUCAAAUGAUUCAAAAUCUCUAUUAGUCAGCUAUGCUAAUGUUGGAUACUUAUCGAAUCCACAUAAAGGUAGAUCUCAAACAUGAUAUUUAUUUACAUGUGGGGUUUUGCCAUAUCAUGGCGUUCAACAAAGAAAACAUUAGCUGUUGCUUAUUCAAAUCAUGCAGAAAUAAUUACAAUGCAUGAGGCAAGUCGAAAGUGUGUUUGGCUAAGGUUAUUGACCCUACAUAUCCAGAAGAUAUGUAAUUUACCUUUACAAGAAAAGAUGUCGACUAUCUUAUAUAAAGAUAAUGCAGCAUGUAUAGCUCAAUUAAAUGGUGGUAUAUUAAAGGUGACAGAACGAAACAUAUUUCACUAAAAAUAUUUUUUACCCAUGAUCUUGAGAAAGAGGUGAUAUAAAUGUUUAACAAAUUCGUUCUAGUGAGAAUUUAGCAGAUCUUUUUACUGAGACAUUGCCAACUUCAACAUUUGAAAGACUACUACACAAGAUUGAAAUGCGUCGACUCAAAGAUGUAAAUGUAAUGUUGUCAUCAGGGGGAGUUUAAAAACAAGUUGUACUCUUUUCUUUUAACCAAGGUUUUGUCCCAUUGGGUUUCCCUGGUAAAGAUUUUUAACGAGGCAGCUUGUUAUAGAAGAUUGUGUAUUAUAUUUCCUUCAUUAGAUUUUUUUAUCCCACAGGGUUUUUCCUAAUAAGGUUUUAACGAGGCACAUUAUUUACCAAUGGACAUCCAAUGGGAAGUGUUAUAAAUAUCUUAUUAAGUGGAUGUCCAUCAUGAUAAAGAUAAAAUUUUGAUAUACUUUAAAUUCUAAUAGUUAUUAGAAUUAGAUCUCUACUUCUUUUAUACUUCUUAUGCCUAUAAAUAGAGACUCUAAUGAAGCAUUGUAAUCAUCCAUUUGAUUAAUAAAGUACAUUAUCUAUUGUUUUCAUUUUUUUCUUUGCUUUUUAUUCUUCCCAUCUCUCUUUAUUUUAUAACAAAAAGGAAUUAAAAAGACAAAAUGAGUGGCUAAAAUAAAAAUUUACUAAAAUUGUGUGACUAAACUGAGCGUACAACAAUAUUGAAUUAACAGUGGAUAACCAAAAUAAAGAUAAUAUCUCUAAUUAUAGUGCCUAAAAUACAAUUUUUUUAGUGACUGAAAUGGAAAUUUAUGAAAGUUGGGGACCAAUUAUGUAGUUUACCCAAAAUUUAAUAAAAGCAACAAACAAUUAACGCCAUGUUUAGAAAUCAUUGUACCAAACAUGGCCCCUUCAAACAAUUGCAGUAAGUGCAAUAGAAUUUUUUUCACCCUUUGUUUCAUGAGAUGAUAUGUCAUUCGUACAGUAAACCCUUCAUCAAAUUCUACUUUUUCAAAAAAUUAAUUUUACAAUUAAUUUAAAAGUUAAUUCUAAAAUAGAAAUUGAAAAGAUAAUGUUGUUUUUUUUAAUGUAAAAACUUAGUUUUGUUACACAUUUUCCUUAUAAAACCCAGGUUUCUCUUUUUUAUUGAAAAACUAAAGUUAAUUCUAAAAAAGAAAAAAAAGUAUUAAAAAAUAGUGAGCGACUAAAAUAAAAAGUUAUUAAAAUUGGGUGACUAAAAUAAAUGUAUAAUAUCAUUAAAUUAAUAGAGGAUGACCAAAAUGAAAACAAUUCAAAACAGCAGUGUCUAAAGUACAAUUUUUUAUUUUUAAUGACCAAAAUGAAAAUUAAUAAAAGCAAUAUGGGCAAUAAACAAUUAAUGCGAUGUUCGGAAAUGUUUGUAUCAAACAAUUAGAUUGCUUUGUAAUUUUGUAGCGGAAAAGAGUUUUUUUGUUUUUAACUUCGUUUCAUGAGAUGAAUUUUCUUAAUUCAAAUGUAUGUCACUAUAAAAAAAAAGAAUUUUAUAAAUAAUUUUAAAUUUUAAAAAAAAUGGAAAACCUAGAUUUUAAAAUGUUUUACUAUAAAAAUAAAAAAUAAAAUUAAUUUUAAAAGUAGAAAAAAAAGAAAUUGAAAAGAUAAAAUUAGUGACAAAAAUGAAAUACUAUUCAAGUUAGGUGACUAAAAUGAGUGUGCAUUGAAUUAAUAAUAAAUGAUGAAAAUAAAAAUUAUUCAUAAAAGCAAUUUCUAAAAUACAAUAUCUUUAUGACCAAAAUGACAUUUUAUAAAAAUUAAAAUGAUUAACUUAUAGUUUACCCAAAAUUUAAUAAAAGCAACUUAGGCAAUGGGCCAUAAACAAUUAACACGGUGUUUAAAAGUCUUUAAAAAUUAUUGUGGUAUUUAAAAGUGAUGACUAUAAACAGUUACCACAAAUAAUUGAAUUGCCUCAUAUUUUUGCAGCCGAUGAGAGAAAUAUCUUUUUAAAGUUUCCUUUCAUUAGAUGGAUUAUUAUUAUUUUUAAUUCAAAUAAAAAUUGAUAUCUCACUCCAUAAAUCUUUCAUCCGAGCUUUUUAGAAUAAUUUAUUUAAAUGUUAUAUUUUUAAGCAAUCUUAAAAAUAUUUACUGAUUUGAUACAUUCCUAUAAAAAAAUCUUAGUAUAAUUUUGACAUAUUCCCAAAGUCCCUAACGCCUUAAUAAUUAUAAUCUAUACAUUCCUAUAUUUAAAUGCUAUGAUUAAUGUUAUUUCUAUUUUUUAAAAUUAUUAAUAAUUAUACUAACCCUAAUGCCUUACAUGACAAUGGUUCAUUCAUUGCUUUUUUUUUUCUUUGGUACAAAGAGAAGAAUUAAACCAUAACUUAAACUAUACGUGACCAAGUCAUGCACUCUAGAAUAAUCAUCAUGUAGUGGUUGUAGGACUUCAUUCGGCGGUUGCAUGAAAAAGUAUCCACCCAUCGGUCUUGAGAACGUCAUUGAUGUUAACCCAUCAGCUACCUUAUUACCCUCUUUGAAGGUAUGGGUGACUUUAACCAUCCAAGAAAGUUGCAACAAAUUCUUAAUAGUACGUGUCACAACUGAGUUACUAUCCAACUCGAGAAUUAUUCAUUUUAGCAUAAGGUUCCAAGCGAGUUGGAGAACUUAUUCAUUGCUUUUUUUACAUGAGAAUAUAAUGGUCAAGUGGUUCUAAUCCCUUUACCUUUUUAAGAUUAUAUAAAAAUGAUUAAAUUUUAGUUUUGAUGUUUAUAUUUCAUUCAAAUUUGAUAUUUAAUUUAUGUACUUUAAUAUUUUAUAUAUUUAAAUUCUUACUUUAUAAUUUAACCAAAAAUAUAUAUGAAGAAUUGAGAGAAGGCAAAAGCAUGGGUGGAAAUCAUGUCGGUUGAUAAUGAUAAAAGAGGAAAAGUAAUUGAUGAGGGCGUGGACCGGUCAUCACCUUGAAAAGAAGUUAAAGGAGGCGUGUGAUUGGCUUCAGUAUGGAAAAUGAGGGAUAGAAACAAAAUAGAUAAAUAGCAAUGGGGAAGCCUAUAUCUACCCAUUUUUCCAACCUACAGUUUCAGAAUUAAAGCUAACAGAAAUAGAAAAAUUCAGAAUUCAUACUUGAUUUUCACUCUUUCAAACCUCCAAUUACCUUCUUCUAUAGUUAUUGUGCUCUAUCAUUGGUUGUGACUUAAAGGUAAUAGAACAACUGCUUAAAAUAUCAACCACCAAAUGAAAUUUCAAAGGAACAUGAUGUCCCUAAACUCUGUUUUCUAGAUUAGUAAAUCUUGAUUGCCUAUGGCACCUAAUUUAGUUCUCAUGUUAAAAUAUGUUAUAAAUCUCCAUAAUUUUUGUAUAACUGCAACUACACAAAGCUAAACCAACUAAACAAAUAAUAAUAAGGGCCUACAUAACAUAAGCUUACUUUUUAUUCUCAUCCAAAAUUAAUGCAUAAUAUUCUACACGUGAGGAAAAAAAUACAGAAAAAUGGCUCCUGUUAGCAUUUAGAAAACCCAGACAGAGAGAAUAACAGGACCAAAUUGUUUGAAAAUACAAAGAAUGCAAAAAUGUCUCUGAUUUUCGGGAUGUGACAUGGUUCCUUGAACAAAAGCUUGUAAGGCUUUGUAAACAGCAUUACAAUUCUCUAAGACUAAUUUCAUAUGAUAUUUCAUCCCCUCGCUUGCAAUUAUUUGUCUCAUCAUUUCACAUUCUCUUAUUCUCAUUGUAACAAUGCACACCAUACUUUGGGCUUUGGAGGAUGUAGUUGGCUCUAACGUCUCUUUGCAUUUCCAAACAUUUAAAGUUGUAAAACUUUCAAAAAAAAAAAAAGGAUUUAAUCUAACUGCCACAAUGUCAAAUUUCAAGACAUUCAAAACUUGCACAAAUAAAGUCCAGUAGGGAGUCUUGCUUCCAUAGAUGUCUUAUGUUAUUAACCACGUAUAUUUUCAACUUAAUUUUUGGGAGCAUGAUGACCAUGUAUUUAUCCUCGCAUGCAUCGCUUUCAAAGGAAUGACAACUCUUUGAAAUUGCAAGAACCUAGCUCAAAGCUUUCUAAAGGAAACGAAUAGGAAUAAUACUUGAUUCAUCAAAAUCGCUAGUAGUGCCAAGAAAUUUUAUAUUACAAAACAAGCCAACCUCAUCGCUUAUCAUCUCAAUAUCAUCACUGCUAAAAGAAGCUUCCUCCAAUUGGGGGACAACCUGAGAAGCAACAAGAAAGAAUGAUAGAAUAUUUGAUUUAGAAUUUCAUUGAGACACAAAAAAUAGCCAUAAUAUAAAAGAUAAUCCCAUUAACGAACCAUGAAAUCAAAUGUUUGAAGUGAUAUGUGUUUUGUUUUUUUUUUUAAAUUUUAUAUUAAGAAUGGGAUAAUAUUUGAUACAUUAUUAAUGUAUAAGUCUCAUAUAUUGUCUUUGAAUUACAUUAAGCCACUUAAUUAAUAAGUAAAAUAGAAUAAAUAACUAAAGAUUUAUAAAUAAAUAUUAAUAAGUUUAUUUAAGUAUAAUUAAAAUUUUUAUUUUCUCGUCCCCUUUCUUUUCCUAUAAAUCACCACAGUUGUUAAAACUUCGAUUGAAUUUUUUUGAAAUCUUGAAAAAGGUCAAUAGAAAUAGCUAAUAAAAAGUAUAUGUAAUUUAUAGUGAUAGAUCCUUAUAAGCAAGUUUAAAUCUAGAAAUUCUUGAUUACAUAAAACCCUGUUUGCUUAUUGAAAAUCUUUUUAUCAAAAAAACAACAAUCCUGACAUAUAUAAACUUGGUUUUGGGAAAGAGAUGCGAAAAAUCUUCUAAGAAAAAUAACUUCCUAUGAACAAACAACCUUUCAACAAUAACUUGAAUUGCAUUAAUUUAGUAUAAAUUUUCUUUUUAGGAUUUUACAGAAAUUUUCUAUGUCGAUUAAUUGAGAAGAAGAUGAAAAUCUAAUAAAUUUAAUUAAUUUUAACUAUAUUUAAAUAAUUUUUAGUAUUUAUUUCUAAAUCUUUAAAUAUUUAUUUUGUUUUGCUUAUUAAUGAAGUGAAUGUAAUUUAUUAAUGGUGUAUGGUUCUAUACACUAACGAUGCAUUAAAUAUUAUUCCAUUAAGGAUACGUUUAUUAGAUUUUUGUUUUAGUUAAGGUGGUAUGUUUCUAAUUCAACAAAGAAAAGAACUUUUCCAAAUUCAUUGUUCUUUCUUUUGGUAUGAAUGUAGUCGUAUGUUGCAUUUAUCAAUGUCAUAUCAUUGUAUUGCAUAGUGUCGAUUGUUUUUAUGGCUGCUGAAACAUGAUGUAUUUUCUAAUAAAUCCCUUAGCCUUUUUAAUUAAAAAACAAAAAUAUAAAAAAAUUAGAAGGUUAUAUAUAUAUAUGAAAGAAGGUAUAAUAUAGUUUUGUUGAAAUUAUAAGGGGUGUCAUUGAUUUGAACCAAAUUAAUCCAAUAACCCAUUAACAAUUACAAGCCAUACUGGGUUUGCAAGCCUGCUAUUUGAGACGAAAAGACGGUCCUUUUAAUCAAAACCCCAAUCUUGGAUGUACAAAACUCGUAACCCACUCAAAGGGUUUUGGGUUUUUAAGCUUUCCAUUCCUCCUAAUUUAUUACUCUUCUUGGUUGCCUUUCCUGCGCCUAGUUAUCAUCAUCUCUGAUUGGAUACGAUAUUUUUUACUCAUCAUAAUUAUACUAUUGCUUUAUAAGUGUGUUUGCUUUAGUCGUAUUUAUAAUUAGUUUAAUGACCAUUAAUGGCACUAGGUGGACUUCCAAUGCCUAAACAAUAAAUUAUUCUUAUAGAAUUAUGGAACUGUGAAUCACCGUAUACAUCUAAUCUACCUAUUAAAAGGGAAAUGUGUUUAUGAUGCAAAAAUUAAGCUGAAACAGAUGGGAUUCGACUGCCAUCCAGAUGCCCCAUCACACUCUUCACUCGGCAACAAGAAAGCAUAAGUUAAUGUUUUCAAAUCACCAUUUGUUGGGAGAAAGGUAAGGAUGCACUUAAACAGACAGGAGAAACAACUUUGAGUUUCAUUUUUUGUUCCGUAUCAUAAGGAUGAAUAUAUGAACUAGUAUUUCUCAAAUACGUAUGAUGAAGAUAGCCUCAGAACACCAUUUGGCAAGCUCAUCUCGUCAUAUAUCUACAUUGGAAAGCUCAAAGUUAAAAAGUGUUCUGAAUAAAUGGCCCAACCUUAAUAACAGUAAAAAGAGUAAAAACAUCAGAGAUAGACAUGGUCAUAAGGUGGCUUACAUAAAUCACGAAACUUUACUUAAAAAUGAUGAAAAAGGACGUGGAAGAAGAUACAUAAACAAGACAUCGGGACAUGCAUUACCAUAUAUUCCAUACACAUUCUUUAUUCAUCUUGAAUCAGCAUUGUGAUCUUUAUUCAUCUUGAAUCAGCAUUGUGAUAGAAUAUAUGCUUAUUUAGCAGCCUCUAUGCCACUACAACCUUUGAUUUCCCAAAGAUGUAAACUUGAAAUAAUAUUACAGAUAGAGCAAAACCUCUUCCAUCAUUAAAAGAAUAAGCUCAUGUGAGAAAUCCUUCUUAGUAAACAUGAACGUGGGUGUUGCAGGGUAACCUGUCAACAGGUAAAAGUCCAUAAUGUAGGAUUAACCAUUUACAUUUAAAAUGUCUAUCAAAGUCCCCCCCCCCUCCCCCUCAAAUGAAAAGGACUAGUUAGUACUAUUAAUUAGGGACUUGGACUGUAAUAAUUAUAAGAAUUGAAUAUUGUGAUCUGGAAAAAAUUUACUGCCAUUUAUCUUACAAUAAUUUUUUUCCGUUUGCUUUGGUUUUAUUAAUUAAUUUUUUUGGAAAGAUCAUUAAACAUUUUUUCUUCCUAAACAAAUAUCAUUUGAAUCUUUAAGGAUAAGGGUGGAAAUAGAGCACAUCGUAUGACGAAUUGUUUACAUUUUUGGAGAGUAGUUGCAACUAGGGAAUUGGUCAUUACCACCAAUAAUAGAUACCUUGAUUUUGACAACAAAAACUUUAUAUACUUGAUUUUCUAUUCAAAAUUUAUUUUAUGUACAAUUUCUUCGAUCAAACAUAGAAAUUAUUAAAUUUAUUAAGUUACUCAUAAAUUCACAUAUAUAUAUACAUUCCAUUUUAGUUGUUGGGGGUUAUAAAUACCUUGAAAAAAAUUAUUCAAACAUAGACAUAAAACUAUAACGCAUCAAAUAAGAUCUUUUUUUGCUGAUUUUUAGAUAAUAUUAUUGAAAAGAAUAACUGAGAGCCUUAAACAUGUUCACAGUUGGGAAGCACUAAAUUACACCGUUGAGCCAAGGGGGUGGGAAGUCCCUAUUGGUACCAACCAGUUGAGUUGGGCUAAAACACGAGUUGAACUUAAUAAAUUAUUUUUAUUUAUUUAAUUAAAUUUUUAAUUUUAAAAGUUUUAAAAAUUUAUUUAAUCAAAUUAAAUCAACGAUGGUAUAGAAAGUUAAUAAUUUGACUAAUCAAUUUGAUUAUAAAAAUAUUGAUUACUGCAAUAUUUUGAUAAUAAAAUUAAUAUUUUUAAUGUUAAAAUGCAUAAAUAUAAAUAUAUUUUAAUAUAUGAAUAAAAUUAUUCGCUUGAGUCUUUAGUUGUCUCUUUUUUUUCUUUUUUCUUAAAAAAAAUACGGGUAGGUCGAAAUACACACUUCUUAGCAACUAAUGGUUCCACAAAACGUUUUCAUUAGCAUUUCCCUUCCGUAAGUGUAAUUUCAUAAGUAGAGUUAAAAAUUUAUUAUGUGUUAUAUAUAUUAAACAUUUUACUAUAUUCUAUAAGAUAUUUGUCAUCAUUAAGAUUUCAUUUGUGGAUUCUAAAAACUUUAUUAGUAAUAUAUCAAAUAUUUUCUUUCACUUUUUUUAGAUAAUUUCUAUAAAAUGUACAUAUACCAUAGUUAGGGGUGUUUUUAAACUACACUCUACGUCACUAAAUUAUUAAUAAUAUAUUUUGAUCAUUUAAUUUAAUAAUAAAUUAUGUUAUUUAAAAAUUAAAAUUCAAUUGAUAAUAUAUAUUCAAAUUUAACAAAACUGAAUAAUUUUAAAUUUUAAACUAAAUAAAUAGGGGAAUUUUAAACGAAAUAUUAUUAGCUUCAAAUUAGAAUAGGAAAAGUGGAAAACCCGAUUUCAAAAGCAGUGCUUGCACUUUAUAUAAUAAGCAGUUACCUAAUGGAAGUAUUUUAUCAGUAUAGUACACCAUCCGAAAAUACAGAGCCACAAACUAAUCAGUCAACUUCGUUUAUCUCUUUAUUUAUUUGUAAUUUAGUGGUAUAUCUUGUGACUGCUAUUUAUAGUUGAGCUCCCCCAAAACCGAUGGCUACAAUUAAAAGUUGUAUUCAAUUAGGACUCUAACUUUACAGAAUUAGAAGCUGUGUACAAUUAGAACUUCUAAGACUACUUAGUCCUAUCUUCAUUAUCGGGCCCAUCAGGCUUCAAUGUGACAGGCCUGUCCAACAGCUCUUUGAAUCGGGCCAGUUCUCGUAGGCCAAAUGAUCCCCAUCUGAGCAACAGACCUCCAUUGGAUGCAUUUGGUGCGCUUGUCACGGGCUUUGAACUGCAGUCCGUGACAUUCUCCCCCACCCAUUCUCGCAACGCCCUCGUUGUGACUUCUGAAUGGCACUGACUUGAUUCGCCUCGGUCUCGUCUCGUCGCCUUAGCCUUUCCCUUUCUUUGGGAUUCUUGCCUCGGCUUCUGUCGCUUCUUAACUCGAGCUGUCCUGCUCAUCGCAUUUACUCUGGUCAACUGUCCCACAUGCAUCGCUUCUUUUCCUUUAAAGUCUGAUGCACCACCUACCUUUUCCAUAGGUGGAAGCCUUGUCGAUGACUCGGCUAACUCUGAUACUUCACUCAACUUGAGCCUCAUUGGUCCCAGCUUCUCUGUUUUCAUCGCAACUUUCUCCACUAAGUUAGAUAACAAACUCACCUCUUCCUUGGGUGGAAGCCCCUUCGACGACUCACCAAGCUCAGACGUUGCCUUUCUUUCGACUCCGGCUUGCUUUGGACAGUUCCGCAACUCAUGCGGACCACGGCACAAGAAGCACUUAACUUGCUUCUUUUUGCUCCUCUUUGCCCUCUUGGCUUCGGCUUUUCCCUUGCUCGAACAAAGCUUCUUGGGCUCAUUGUCUGCUCCAUCGUUCCCCUCGAUGACAGACUUCUUCGGACACUUCCGCAACCUAUGCGGACCAUGACACAAGAAGCACUCCACUUGCUUCUUCUCGCUUUCGGCCCCCUUGGCUUCGACACCCCUUGCGCUCGAACCAAGUACCAAGGCCUUACCCACCGGCUUCUCCUUAAGCGCGGAUUUCUUUGGGCAUUUCUUUAACAUGUGUGGACCGUCGCAGAGAAAGCAUUUCAGCUUGUCCCUUUUCCUCUUGGGUUUCUUCUUCCCAACGCGUGGUUUCCCAUUACCACCAUUGUUGCUAUUGCCAUUGCCAUCAACAAUGUCUUCCUUGUGAUCCAUUUCACAUACGCCCCUUUCCUCGGACUUGUAAGACCCAAGCUUGUUUUUCCCUAGACCAAGCUUCACCACGGACUCAACUACCGUCAUGGCUUCUGACAGUUUUUGGACACCUCUUUGUUCCACCUCCUGUCUGACCCACGGCUUCAAUCCCUUUUGAAAAGCAAGCAAUGCUUCUUCAUCGGUCAUAUCUGAAAUUUGGAGCAUGAGUUCCUUGAACUCUUGAACAUACUCCCCCACUGUGCCCCGUUGCAUUAUCUCUUGCAACUUUGCCCGAGCUUCUUCGUCGGCAAAUUCUGGGUAAAACUGUCCCUUCAACUCGCAUUGGAACUCUUGCCACGUCCCAAUCUCACCUCGCCUUUUAUUUGUGGUCCUACCUCGCCACCAUAAAAGCGCAACGUCAGUAAGAAACAUUGAAGCAGUGUUUACCUUAACCGCAUCCUCCAUGAUGCCUUUGGCACGGAAGUAAUUUUCCAUCCUCCACAAGAAAUUGUCCACAUCACAUGCAGACCUUGUCCCCACAAACUCUUUCGGCUUUGGGACAUCCUCAUUACUAAGUGCUGCAUUCGCCACUCCUUUUCCCACGGCUGCUUGACACAAGGCCAGCUCUCCCUCGAGCUCCUCUAUUCUUGUGCUCAAAGCCCUCGUCGUGGCCAUUGUUUCCUCCUUCAAAGCCAUCAUCAUGGCCUCGAGAGCAUCAUUCCUUUCCGACAGCUUAUCCCUGUGUGAAUUAAACAACUCGUUUACCUUAUCCAUGGUGGAAUCAAGAGACAUCUUUACAUAGUCUCUGGACUGCUCCUCCCAGUUUGCUAUGCGAUCCUCGACCCCAUCGAGUGCCUCCUUUACAUCCGCCAUGGAUCCCUCGAGUUUACCUACACGUUCCUCUACUGUCGAUAUUGUCUCCCUCAAAGACUUCCUCGCCCACCUUUGUUCGAACUCUUCUUUCGACAUCCCAACGGUGCCUUUGAACCAACUCGAAUGCUUGGCUCAAAACUUGGCUCGGAUACCACUUGUCACGGACUUGGAGUUUUCCCACACAUCCGUGCGGCCUUAGGCAGUUUCUUGGCUCAAAAACGCCUAAGUCAGCCUAACUUCCACCAAUAAUGGAUUCAACCGUAAAAACGCCUAAGUCAGCUCAACUCGCAACAAUAAAGGAUUCAACAGAAUUCCCUUAAAGUUUCCAUGAAGAACAGCGGAAGAACGAAUUAAGAACGAUCUUUGAAAGAUGAACAAAAGCAAGAACGCUUGAGAGAAAAGUUUGAGUAAAUGCUCUCAAUUCUUAUUCACAAAGAAUAAUGAAACAAUUACAGGAGUCAGUACAAAUGAGGGGGAGGCUCUCUAUUUAUAGUUGAGCUCCCCCAAAAUCGAUGGCUACAAUUAAAAGCUGUAUUCAAUUAGGACUCUAACUUUACAGAAUUAGAAGCUGUGUACAAUUAGAACUUCUAAGACUACUUAGUCCUAUCUUCAUUAUCGGGCCCAUCAGGCUUCAAUGUGACAGGCCUGUCCAACAGCUCUUUGAAUCGGGCCAGUUCUCGUAGGCCAAAUGAUCCCCAUCUGAGCAACAGACCUCCAUUGGAUGCAUUUGGUGCGCUUGUCACGGGCUUUGAACUGCGGUCCGUGACACUAGGAGGAACUGAUCAUAAUAUCUCACGUCUUGUUUGUGGCCAUGAAACAGAAGACAUACUCCAUGUGCUUCAAGAUUGUUCGACAACAAAGGAAGUUUGGUUACAGGUAAUAUCUUUUGAUAGACAACAAUGUUUCUUCUCUAGGUCUCUUCCAGAAUGGUUGACUUCAAAUAUUGCCUAUCACGUCCAAUUACCUAGUAAGGGGUAAUUUGGCCUUGUUUAUUCGGUUUAGUUGCAUGGCGCAUUUGAAAGAAUAGGGACCUAUUCAUCUUUCAAGACAUCACUUUGAUGACUUUUGAUACUAUCAAGGUCUAGUUCAGUUGGGUACAACAGUUUGAGUUAAGUCACAAAGGCCAUCAGGUGGACAUACUUGUCCACUAACGAAGCAGUAGGUAGUGGUGAUGGCAAUGCUUCCGUUAAAGGUGUUCUGCAGGACCAACAUGAGAAUUGGAUAUUGGGGUUCAAUCACUACUUAGAGAGAUGCUCAAUUUUUAAAGCUGAGUUACAGGGAAUUUUAGAUGACCUAUUAGUAUUGCUUAGCAAAGGAUUCAGAAAGGCCACAUUCAGUCUAAGGUGGUUAAGUUGGUUAACAAAUUCUGGUAUUACAAUGUUUAAAAGGAUCCCGAGAAUUUUAUGAGCUAAAGGAAAAUAGAGCAUUAGACACGUGCUUAGAGAACCCAAUCAUGCUGCUGAUUAUUUGACUAACAUGAAUUUACUCAAGCCUUCAUGUCUUUGAUGAUACCCCAAAUGAAAUUCUGAAGAUUAUACAAGACAAUAAAGUUUUUGUUAAUCUCGUGUUGAUGUAGUUCAGUUUUUUAUUACAAAUUUCGUUUAAGUGUACCCAUAUUUGUAACAUAUUUGUAAAUGGAUCAUUAAAUUAUUUUUAAGAGAGAGAUCCACUUACAUAUUAUUAUUUUUAAUAACACAUUUAAAUCCAAAGUUCUCAACACAACACUAUACUUUUAAUAACUCGGUACAAGCAUUUAAAAAAUUUCUUGACAUAAGUUGAAAGAGCAGAAUACAAUUUGGAUUUAGAUAAUGAUUUAUCAGUCUUGUUCCUACUCAAAAACUAAAAUACUGUUAAACUUGUCUGAAAGAAAUAAACAAUCAGCAAAUAGCUCAAAAUUGCAUAUAAAUUCAAGAGCUUCCUCGUCCAACUUAACGUGCAGGCUGCGCUUGUGCGGGUUCGAGAAGCUGGCCGACUAGCUUGUAGGUCCGCCCUUGAAGGGCCUUAGUGU